This 118388-nucleotide long non-coding RNA is filed under the name Citrus maxima (pomelo). RNAcentral's name for it is "long non-coding RNA (CMAX_LNC000736)". The stretch from base 40779 to 40917 matches the Rfam family "Small nucleolar RNA Z247". Lineage: Eukaryota; Viridiplantae; Streptophyta; Magnoliopsida; Sapindales; Rutaceae. The record is from RNAcentral.
GCCACUGUAGGUUGAAACAGCAAAAGAUUCAGCACCGAUUUUGUCACUGCUUGCUCCAUUAAAUUCUGGAUCAAGGCACUCAUAUUGGAGAGCUCCACCUAGUACUACUUCUGUUGAAUUUGUUAUUGUUCUCGGUUCUGUUUCUGAUGUCAGUGGGGUUAUCUUGCUUGUUAGUCCUUGCGGCUAUUCUGUGGCUGACACUCCGAUGGUAAGUGCCAUAUUUAUUCCCUUAUUUCCUUGUUGUUCAAUAAAUUUGGUGAUAAGCCAAGUGGCCUUAAUAAUGAAGCCCAGUACCAGGGGUGGUGGGUAAUCGAUAUUCAACUUGUGAAUAUUCCUAAGCAAACACUGAAUCAACAUAUACCUCGGCAAAAGUUCUCCAUGCUAUUAUAACAAAAGUCAUAUUUUGAAAUGAUUAAAACAGUCCCUGUGUAGUGCCAUUUCCAAAGAAAUUGCAGCUGGGGGUUUAGUUUCAUGUAGGUUAGUUUCCGAUAAUAAACUUUCCAUUUCAUUAAUUGCCGAUGGAAAAACCAAGUAAGAACAGUUUCGUUGCUCGUCAUUUAUGUAUAUUUUGGUAAACUGUAAUUUUAAAUUCUCAACGAUCUUCCCUUUGUAGGUAAGAAGAUGGUCCACUCACUUGAUAUUUAUGAUUGUAGAUCAGGUUUCUAUUGGUUUGCCUUUAUCAUUCGGAACCCAAGUUUGAUAUUAACAGAGAUCACGUCAAUAAUAUCCUAUUUGGGUAGAUGUGGGUGAGGAUUUAAAAUCAAAUUUGAAAUUGAGGGGAAAGAAGAGAAAAGGAACUACAAUAAUUAUUCUGAUGAGUUUUAAUCUCGAGAGGAGCAAUUUUCAAAUGCAAAUUUAACGGCUAGAGAAAUUGUAGCUUUUUGUCAUUAGUUAAGAGGAAAGAGAAUAAGAACUAUCCGGCCCUUUCCUUCAUGAAUGUGUGUUGAGGUUGCUGUAUUAUUUAGUCAGUAUUUGUAAUUUUCUUCCCUGCAGUGCUCUCUGCCUCCUGAAUUUGCUACUGAGUCCAUAUUUUUCUUUGAGCUGUUCCUUCCUAUUGCUGUUACAGUUACAAAUCUGGGCAAGCAAUAAGAUACACCGGGAGGAAAGGUCAUCAAGGGGAAAAUGGGAUGUCCAAUCCCUCAUCACAUCUUCUUCAGAUUUGUAUGGUCCAGAAAAGUCCGCUAGUGUUGAAAAAUUACCUAGGCAUGUACAAUUUACUUUUAAGAAUCCUGUUAGGUGCGCAUUGUUUGGAUCACAUUACGUCUUCAGAGACCUGGUUCGGCUUCAGUUAAUUUCGGGAAGGACUUCAGUCUUUUGUCUCUUGAUGAAGAUGAAAACCCCUUUGCACAAGUAGACAGACGUGCUUCAUUUGGAGGAGCAGUUGAAAAUGAACCAUGUAUUCAUGCCAAAAGAAUUCUUGUAGUCGGAAGCCAGUAAAAAGGGAGGGGCUUACCUCAUCACAGAGCUCUGAGCAGCUAAGUAUUAGAAACUGGUUGGAUAGAGCUCCACAAAUGAGUAGAUUCAAGGUAUUAGUUGCUUUCACUCUUUGUUCAUUCAUAAUUCCAGCUUUCUGCUUCACUGAUAAAACUCUUUUUUCUCUUCAGGUCCCAAUUGAGGCCGAGAGAUUGAUGGACUACGAUCUCGUCUUGGAACAGUAUCUACCUCCAGCAUCACCUUCGCUUGCCGGAUUCCGUCUAGACUCUUUCAGUGCAAUAAAACCUAGGGUUACCCAUUCACCUUCCUCAGAUUCAUUUACAUGAGAGAAAGAGUUUUGGGUUUGACUUUGAUUUUGAUUUGUAUUUGUUGUCAUUUCAUUGAAAUUUCUUUUUGUUGUAUAAAAAUCAGAAGGUAAAAGUAUUAAAUUCACUGAUGCGGUAAUAUCUGUGCUGGUUACAGGAUUUUAUGUUUAACUUGAAGUUAGUAAGCAAUGACUUAACAAUAGCACUUUGAAUUUAACGUGGAUCAUAUUGUAUUUGAAAUUAAAAAAUAAAGAGAGAGAAAUUAAUUGUUAAUUGAGUUGGACAAUUUUCCGUGGUUAAUUGCUCCCAGAAAAGAGAAGAAUGGGAUUGUGCUUCCUCACACGAAGAAAGACUCGAACGUCUUCGUGCUAAUUAAUCAAUGAAAGAUUUUGUCAAAUAUCUGGCCCUUUCUUUCUUGAAUGUCUGUGUACAAGUUGCUGUGUCAUUUAGUCAAUAUUUGCAAUUUUCUUCCCUGUAGUGCUCUCUGCUUCCUGAAUUUAUAUUAGUGAUCUGGUUUCUGAGUGCAUAUUUUUUCUUUCUCGUUGCUGCAGGUUUGUCGUUGUCAAACAGAAUCAAGUUAUAUUAUUAUUGUGAUCCUUAUGAGCUUGGAAAAUGGGCAAGCCUUUCUGGAGUUUGAUCGUUAUUUAUAUGUUAGAGAAAGAGUUCUGGGUUUGUUAAAACUCAUUAUUAUAAUUUGAAAUAUGUGUUAUUUCAGCUAAUGAUUAACACUAAAAAAAUUAUCACCCAUAUAAUUUUUUAAUUUGUGUAGGGUAAUAAUAAAAUUGAAAAUAAUUAAAAAAAUAGCACAAUAAUGAGUUUUAACAAUAAAACAAAUUAAAUGAAAAUUGAAAAUUUAGAAAAGUGUAUCUAAGAAAAUGGAUAUUUUCAGAAAUAAAAUGAAUAUAACUAAAAAUGGGGUUUUAUGAGGAGAUCAAAGGGGUGCCAAUAGUCCAACUCGUAAUUAAGAAUCUCCCAUUACAUUGUCAACCAAAAAGACACUUGCAUAAGAAAAAAAAUUUCUGUUUGAUUUUAUUUGUAGAUCCAACAUUUCUCAUAUCCUGGUCGCCUUUCCGUAUCAAAUUAAAAUAGUAUUAGCAAAAUCGUAGUGCAAAUUCAAUUAACCAACUAAUAGUCUAAGAAGCAAAGAGAGGAUUACAAGUUCACAACACCAUUACAAAGGAUUCAAAAUUCCCACACGAAAACAUCAAUGUACAGAUUAUAAACAAUCCGAAUUGGACACAAGAAAAACCCUUCAAUGGAUUGCUUGCCUUCCCAAUGCUAAAUACUGUGCAAACUGCGCAUUGGCCAAGAAAAUGUUUUCAAUUUAGUGUAUUUUCAAAAUGCUUAUUUUCUCAGAAUAUAAAAAAUGAAAAAAUAAAAAAAGAAUUCUUACAUGUUUCAUCAGCAUGAUUAAAAUCAAAGAAGAAAGCGAGACAUAAUGUCUCUGACAUAAUAAAAUUACAAAAAUUUCAAGAAAAAAAAAGGGUUAAAACAUGUAAUCUUCAGAAGCAUAUAAUAAAAGAAGACUUCCACAAGUUACUACAAUUACAUGCAGUAGAGAUUAACUGAUGCUUUGACUUAUUAGCAGGUUGCAAUGAAUUAUUAACUGAUGCUUUGACUUAUUAGUUCUGCAGCUAAGUUAAAUAAAAUAAGGUAUUUUCAAAAGCAAAAUGGAAUACAUAGACAAAACAUCAUCUUAAACAAAUCACAAUCUAGAAUUAGAGUGUUGAUUUGAGAUUCUAGAUUGUGAUUUGAUCGGCUCAUUUGUUAAGAAGUGUUGAUUUGAUCGGCUCUGCAAAUUCUCUUGGGACUCGGUUCCAAUUCCUCUUCAUCAAAACUGUAAUAUAAUUCCCCUUCAUCAGAACUCGAAUCAAAUUCACUUGCAGCAGUUCCACUCGCGCUUGGCAAAUCAUCUAAUUUCCAAACUUCGGUAGCAAAAUUGAGAGUAAAAGUGUUGGCUUUGAUCUCGCUGGGAUUUGCAUAUACUGGACAUACUCCGCAACGUUUUAUCUUCUGACCCUUUUGGACCUUUAGGUUUCGGCAACACUCAUUGAAGAACUUAAGUGAGACAGUUGUAUGAUGGUAACCAUCAGGAAAGCCAACAUUCAAGCAAGGUUUAAAACCAAGUAUGACAUGAUCUGAAUCAAUGAGGUCUUCAAUUGAGUGCGAAUCGAAACUCAGAUGAACAUGUUUGGUUUCAGAGAGAGUCUUUAUUUCUAAGUCGGAUCGACAGCCGACGUAAACAUUACGAAAACGAUCAGAAUAAAGUUGCUUAAAAUCAAGAACAGCACAAAAAGCAAACCCGAUUAAGUUUCUGCAAAAAGAGUGCGGUGGCAGUUGAAUACGUAUUGAAGAUCCUGAACUUUGAUUGCUGAACCAGUCAGGAAUUUUGCUCCCAGGUAAAACAAUUUGGGAUCGCCUGAGUUCAGAAAGUUUCUGUGAAACGACAUUUAAAAAAAGAAAAUUGUCAAAUGAAAACCAUGAUUUCAGAUAUAACAAAGAGGGACAGAGUAAACAAGAGAGGGAAUUUGAUACCUCGUCGAUUGUCUUUCCCCGUCUCAGUGAUGCUGCAAUUGCCAUACGUAGUGAAUCUGCCAAAAUCUUGUUGUUUGCUUUUCCAUCAAGUUUCAAGCAGUUAGUAAACCGAAAAUAAAUUGGUUGUGACAGUCGAUAUUCCGGAUGCCAUUCACAAAGGUCAGGAGAGGGUUUGGAUAGCUUUUCGAGUACGGAUGCAUCUAGUUCUUGUAGACAUGACGGAAUCUCUGGCAAAGAUUGAAGCCGGUUGCAGUUCGUUGCAUUUAGUGAAUGUAGACACAAUGGAAGUUCUGGUAAUGACCGAAGCAUGUUACAACCCGUCAAGUCAAGAGAUUCUAGACACAAUGGAAGUUCUGGUAAUGACUGAAGCAUCUUACAACCCUCCAAGUGAAGAGACCUCAGCUGCGACAGUUGCUUGAUACUUGCAGGUAAGCUCUCAAAGCUAUUUCCACUUAGAUUUAAUGUUGUCAGUGAGGAUAGACAGGCAAUCUCUUGUGGAAUUUCCAUUACAGCACAGUUCCUCAUAUCUAGAUGUCCCAAAUAAGCUAAACCUAAUAAAAACGAUCGAGGCAAUGAUACCAAACCUUUGCAGCGAGAGAAGUAAAGAACUCCAAGUCUGUUUGAAUAUGCAACAGAGGAUGAUGGUAGUUGACUAAUAGCUGAUCCAACUGCUGAGAUGAUAAACAAACAUUUUAAAUUGCCAAUGUUAUCCGGCAACUUAUCAAGCUUAGAGCAAUCUUCUACGAACAAUUCUUCAAGCCCCGGUAGAUUUUCAAAUGACGAUGGCAGCUCUGUAAUUGCCGUCUUGUUUAAAUUGAUGCGUUCUAAAUGUUCCAUUUUCUCCAAGAUUUCUGGGAAGCGCUCAAGGUUCACGCAGCCAUUAAGAAAAAGAUCAACCAAAGAUCUCAAUUUACAAAACCUAGUUGAAAUCCUCUUCAGCCGUUUGCAAUACUUCAAAUUCAACUUUUUAAGAUCAGUUAGGCACUCUAUUGAUGACGGAACUUCUUCUAUUGCAGACUUGCUCAAGUUUAGCGAUGUUACUUUCCCAGAAAUCAGUGGAAACUCUAUGAGAUUAACACAAUAGGAGAAAUUAAUAGUUACUGGACAAACAAAAUGAAGAUUGCUUGGAAAAGACCUAAGACUUUUGCAGCCCUCAAAAGACAACGCACUGAGAUACUUGAAAUUCUGGAUAGAUGAGGGAACACAAGCCAAGUUUGUAUAAUCCAAAAGAUAUGUUUCAACAUUUGGGGUUUCAAAUGGGCCUGGCAUCUUAAUGAAAUGUUGAGAAUGGCUGAGGUUAAUAGAUUUUAACUUGAAAGCUUCCUGCAAUAACAGAUAUAUAAAGACUAUAUUAAUUAAAAAGCAACAUUGAAUUCAACAAUUAAUUGCACGUAUAUUUAAAGAAAGAAAAAAUUAAUGUUUUAGUUUUAGUACAAAACUUACCUUUUCUCCUUCCCAAAGUUGCUCAACUUUACUACAACUCAAAUUCAGUGCAACAAGGUUCUUUGGCUUGAAAUUUGAUGGCAGUGUCCUUAAUGGAUAUGUGUCCCAAUGAAGAUAUCUCAAUUUUUUAGGAAGAUAAUCUAGGCCAUUUGGAAGCUGCACUUUAGAGUAUGAAAGAUGCUCUUCAAUGCUCAUACUUGGAAGCUUUUCAAUCCCAUAAAAUUUGAGCAAUCUCAUAUUAGACAUAUUUGUGAAGGCUCCGGGGUCUAAAUUGAUGCGUUUUAUUUUGGACAAAUCCAGAAAUAUGCCUUCAAUUGCAUCGGUCCCCUUAUUAAAAAAAAAAAAAAGAAUGAGUAAGCCUAAAACUCAAAAGAAACAUUCGUAAACUUUAUUAAUUAAGAGCUCCUUAAACAAAAAUAAAUUACGCAAUCUUUGAUUUUAUUUUUUUAAUAUAUUAAAUAUCUAUAUGCGAGAAAAGAAAAUUUUGGGGACCAUUGCAAAAUUAAACUAACUGAAAAAAAAUUCAAAAUUUCUCUAAUUUACAAACCUGUUAUCUUAAUAUCUAGAAGUUGAGAAGACAAGGCCUAUUUGAUUGGUAUAAGAUUUCGAUUUUUUUUUUUUUUAGUCCAUAGAAUCCAAAAUGUUAGUUCAAAAUUAGGGAAAAAGUCAUUUUUUUUCCACUAGCUGUAAUUGUAUCCAAGUCAAAUUGAGAUACGACCCUUUUCAAAAGGAUUUAACCAUCUUACAGCCUCCUUAAGGCACAUUUAAGCUAAAAGGAGUGAUUGGAGGCAGAACUAGGUGGGCCAAUCAGUCCAUUUUAUUAGUGACCGUUGCUUAAAAAAAAUUAUACUCUAAACCACACUUACUUUUUUGAAAAAAAAAUGUAAUUAUAUUGAAAUAAAAUCAGGUGGGCCAAUCCUCAUGGCACUCACUUUGUUCUAACACUCUUCACUAAAUUUGAAGAAAAAUAAAAUUAUACUCUUCACACUCGUAUUCAACAUUCCAAAAUUGAUAAAAUCGGGAGUUUUCUUUAAAAAUUUAAAAUUUGAAGACUUGUUCUCUUGACACCCUCAGUCAUUAAUUUUACCUAAUUAUGGUUUUUAUGAUUUUGGUUGUUUUGUUCAUAAAAAUGCUUUUACUAAAGGAUGUUCUGGUAAUAAUAAAAUUUAUAAAAAAAACAUGGGUGUGCUGAUAUAGUUGGAAAAAUAUGAGUGCAUAACUCCAAACAAAUAAAAGAUAUAUAUAUAUAUAUAUAAAUGGAGGAUUCUUACCUUAUUAUGCUUUAGUACGCGGCGGAUUUCCUUAGGAUCCCACAACCUGCUGCGUUUGCCUGGCUCUUUCUCAGAUUCUUGGCGAACAAUCUGUCGCCCCAUUUCUUGCAAUAUAUCAUGCAUCUGCAAGGAAUCACCUGAUAUUGAUAUGAGUGACUUAUCAAUAAGGACAUCCAGUCCAUCAGACUCAGAAUCAUCAAGAAUCCUUGCCAGAAAAUCUUUAUCCCCUCCCUCGAAGAAACACGCAAUAUCUAGAAAUAUGCUCUGCACCCUGGGCGUUAAUUCAUAAAAACUAAUCUUUAAUAUUUCAUAAAUAUUAUGAAUAUCAGAUUCACAAAUCCGAUUUAAGUCGUCCAAUACAUUUUCCCAAUGGCUUUUCCUCUUGAGAUACAGGGAGGAACCCAACACCUUAAGAACUAAUGGAUUGCCUUUGGCAUACUUUACAAACCUCCGUGAGUGCCGAUUGAGAUCUUCAGGACAAUGAUUUUCUUUAAAAGCGAAGUUACAAAAAUGCUCGAAAGCCUCAUCCAAUCUCAAUCCAUUGACCCUAUAUAUUUUCUCCACUCCAAAUUUUUCGAGGACUCGUUUAUCCCUGGUGGUUACAACAAUUCUACUUCCUGGACCAUAUUGAUCAAGCCCUCCAAUCAAACCCUCUAAUUGUUCAUCUUUAUUCACAUCAUCGAGUACAAUCAACACCUUCAUGCGUCGGACCCUCCCUUUAGUAAAUUGUGGAAUAUUGGGACCAGCUACUUCAAGUUUUUCACUUAAUAUUGUCGAAAGCAUUUCCUUUUGUAGGUCUUCUAGGCCACCCUCUGUUUCUGAUUUUCUCCUAACAUUUUUUGCAAAGUAUUUACCAUCAAACUCACCAGAGAAUUGAUCGAAAAUAGCUUCAGCAAGGGUAGUUUUGCCUAUACCACCCGUGCCCCAAAUUCCAACAAUUUGGACAGUAUCCCACAAAUCCAUACACAAAAAUGGUUUAAUCUGCUCAAUUCGUGAAUUUAAUCCAACUAGGCCGUUGGAUGAGUCCGUUGAGACUGUUAUUUUUUCCAACUUCUUCAAAACAUCUUCGACAAUUUUGUUUACAAGUUGCGCAUCAAGCCUAAUAUGAAGGUGCAAAGAUGCAAAAACAUUGAGUCAAAUCGGGCCAAGACAGAAACAGAGAAAAGAUGAAUUAGGAAAGAGAGUUACCUGAAUUUCGUGGAUUCAUGGCCGGCUAGAUGGGAUGUUUCUGUCAGUGCAUCCCUCCACUUCUGAACCAUUUCUGGUUUAUCUUUGAACUGUUUUUUGAGCUCAUCAAAACGGUCUCCAAAUGUUCCGUUUUGAUGCCGCACAUCAGAUGGACUUACUCCAUAGAAGACUGGAAUAAUAAUUUGGCCGUUUGUGUUCUUGCAUUCAAGAAUCUUGACAAGUUCAUUCAGGCACCAUUUUGAAGAAGCGUAGUCCUUUGAGAAAAUGACCACCGAAAUUUUUGAACCUUGGAUUGCGUACAAAAGGGCGGGUGAAAUCUCAUCUCCUCGCCUAAGCCCUUCAUCAUCAAUAAAUGUUUUGAUUUUCUUUCCUUCAUACAAUUUAUCAUAGAGAUAGCAAGUAAAGCUCUUACGAGUGUCCUCCCCUCUAAAGUUGAGGAAGACUUCAUAAUUGCCACAAGAAGAAGAGGAAGCCAUGAAGGAAAUUUUAGAAAAUUGGUGACAGAAACAGAGAAUUAAUCUUGAGAGUUGAGAGAGGAGAUGUAAGAAUGAACAUGUGUGAAGAUUCUUGCGAGUACAUAGUAAAUAAUUGAAUGGCUGGAGCUUUCUUAGUUUCCUGGAAAUUUCCUGGAGCUUUCGUAUACAUGAUUUGUCAAGUCAUGAAACAUAAUCAUGAUAAUGGGGCAGACCAAAAAGAAAAGCAACAAUUCAAAUAUUUGAUUCAACCAGUAUAAAAAGGAAGGAAAAGCAAAGAAAGGAAAUGUUGAAAGUAGAGUUAGGGAAUUAUAAAAAGCUGAAGGAAAUUGGAAUUUUGUACAAUUUCUCCAGCGAGGAACUUUCACAGUCGUUACCUCAUUGUUACAGUUUAGAUUAAGAUUUGAGGGUGCAAGCAUUUACCUAGAUUUUACCUCCGCACUAAAUUCUUAAGUUUGAAAAAUUAUGAGACCUUUAUAUUGGAAGAUAUUAUAAUCGAAUCAAAACUUAAAAUUUUAAUAUUGUUAAUCUUUAAUCUUUAAAAAAAAUUACCUUGCCGUUACAAUUUGGAUUAAGAUUUGAAUAAGCAUUUACCUAAAUUUUAUCUCCGCCUGUAAAUUCUUAUGUUUUAAAAAUUAUGAGACCUUUAUAUUGGGAGAUAUUAUAAUCGAAUCAAAAUUUUGAAUUUCAAUAUUAUUAUUCUUUUAAAAAAAUUUGAGAUAACAGAGUGAUUGAUAAUAGAGAACUUGUCUAGGCAAACACAUGCAUACACAAAAAUGUGAUGGAUUCAAAAAGAAAUUAAAGUGAUAAUGUACGUGGAUCCUUAAAACAAAAAGCGAAAUCGCUUGGUGGCCCAGUAAAAUUAAGACUGAAUAUUUUUUACACGAGAAGUCAAGCUCAUAAAUGGCAAAAGCCAUUUCAUUUCACUUUUACGCGUCAUUGACUUUUGUAACACGGUGUAUGCAUCGUCAAGUGGGGCAAAAGGGUUUCGAUUACAGUGGGAAAACAUGAACAAGAAUGCAUAAUGAAUAAUUCUUUCGAUAAAGCGAAAAUUAAACACAGAAUAAUCCUAAAAUUUAAACUCUAAUAUCUUAUAAUGUAUUGAUUAAAAAUAAUCCUAAGAGUUCCCAAUUGAAACUUUCAUAAGUAUUUUUAUUGUUUUGGAUAAACAAAUUGCACUAGGAAAACAAUUUGGCAAAUUCAGAGGAUAAUGAAAAAUAGCUAUGCUUCAAUAGGCCAAAGAUUAGAGAACAAAGAAGAAUUAGUUAUUGAUAUACGAAAGAGAAACACUCCAAAAUUUCAAGCAAAAUAUUUUCAUAUACCAUUUCGAUUUUGGAAGGGGUGUGGUUUUGAACUUCAAUAGUUUCCUCUAAAAUCAAAAGGCAGCAAUUAAGCUAGAAAGAGCAAAGAAGACUUUUUGGUACCUUAUUGAAGGUAAACAUUAUGGAACUUCCAAUGUCAUUACCUCACUGUUUAAUUUUUAUUGAGAUUUGUGCAAGCAUUUACCUAAAUCUUACCUCUGCCUGUAAAUUCAUAAGUUUUGAAAAUUAUGAGACCUUAUAUCGGGAGAUAUUAUAAUCGAACUAAAACUUAAAAUUUCUUUUCUUUUCUUUUUUUAUCAUAAAAGGGCUCUUAAGAGAGCUACGACAACACUAAGUGGGAGUGUGCAACCCCAUGAACAUCAUUAAUCAAUAUGUUUAGCGUAUUUGGAGGAAUAGAUUGAAAGCAAUGUAAACCCAAAGGAAACAAAAAGCUGUACGAAGUAAGGAAAUCUGCUGCUACAUUGGUUUCUCGGUAGAUAUGAUCCACUUUGAUCAGCCAAUCACGCCAAAGGAGUUCUUCGAUGGCCUGAAUGAGAAUAAAAUGCUCAUUGACGGGAGGGUUUUAGUUAGAGAUUAACUUCAUAACACACAUGCUGUCUACUUCCACGUAAAACUUAAAAUUUCAAUAUUAUUAUUCUUUAAAAAAAAAAUUGAGAUAUCAGAGUAAUAUCACAUAGAAAAACUUGCCCACGGACGGUAAGCCAAAUGUCUAGUCAACCACAUGCAUAAAGCUAAGUAGAACAAGAGAACAGAGAAACGCGUGGGUCCCUAAAGAAAAGGCAAGCACAUAAAUGAAAAAGCCAUUACAUUUCUAUUAACACGGUGUGGCAGCAUAUGCACAAUCAAGUGAGGCAAAAGGGAUUCGCUUAUCGUGGCAGAACAUGGACGAGGACGCGUGACGAAUAAUUCCUUCGAUAAAACGAAAAACAAACGCAGAGAAAAGAAUUUCUUAUAUGACAAGAAAUCAAAGAAAUGUGAAGGAACAUGAUGAAGAAAUUGCAGACUGAUCAAUUAUCCCCAUGGACUCCUAUAAAUUCAACCAAAAUAACAAUUCGAAUCUUACCAAAUUCUUGAGUUAAAUUUAUUCAAUGCUUUUAUUUUUUUAGAGAAAUUUUUUCCAUUGCUACUUUCCCUUUUUUGGGGAAAUUAGAACCGCGGCAUGUAUAGAAAACAUUGAGGUGUAAAGCAACAUUAAUUUCAUGGGAUAUGCGUUAUACGCAUAAUAUAUUUUCAGUCCAAAUUCAACUAUACAAAGAGGCUUGAGAACUUAAAAUUAAGCACAAACUAAACAGACGAAGUAAAUACAUGAUUAUGCAACAUAACAUUAAUUCUCUUAAUUUAUAACUGUUUUUGCCACAUGAAUCUUGCACAGUUAAUCCUAAUUGAAGACUAAAAAAGAGCAAUUGGAAGAAGGUUUUGGAAUAGAAUGGUAUACAAUCGAUAUGAUCCUUUUCCAGUAGUCAACGCUAAUUAACUGCAGUUUCUAGACUCCUAAUUAUACUAGCCAUAGAAAACUGGUGAUCAAAUUAGAUUUUGAAAGGAAAUAAUGUUCAUUUUCCCUUCGCUGCCUUUUUUUUUCUUUUCUUUUUAUAGCAAAGAAUUAUAUCAUGAAAAGAAUCAAUUUAAUCACCUUUUCCAGCAGCACAAUUUUUCUUUUAUAAAAUUUGACCACAGAGACAAAGAAGAAUUAUUCAUACCUUCAUCAGUGAGGAAAUACUUUUCGGUAUGGCUAGGGUGAGAAAAGGCUUUCCACAAACACUUGUACUUUGUAUUCCUGUAAAUUUUCUUUAAAGUCAAUAAAAACCAUAAGUUCUUUACAAUAACCACCUCUUUGAUAAAAAAGUGCCGUAUUCCUUUAGAAUUUAAAACCGGCAAAAUCGGAAUCAGUGUCUUUGAAGAGACAUAAUGGUCGUAAUUCUUUAAAUGAGUUGGCUAUGGAAAUCCUUAUCCAAGAUUCUUUUACGCCAUAUUCUUUCGUAAACCAAAAUUCAUUUUGGAAUACUCUGUUGAGAAUGUCAAAUAAAACGGCAUUGAAGGAAGUUUUCAAAGGUAGAAUCCGCACUUGUCAAAGGGAUGAUCUGCACUUGUCAAAGACACGAUCCGCGUCAAACGAAUCGACACAUUUCCUUUCGUAUUCGCAUAUGUAAUCUUUGAAAAAAUGUAGCUUCUGCAUCUAUAAAUAACGCUCAGUGUAUAAUGUUUUAUUCAAGAAAAAAAACAAGUUUCUUCAUACUCGUCGUCCGAACAUACAGAGACCGUCUCUCAUAACUUCAGCCGAAUACUUGUGAUGAUGAUCAUUUGUGAUUUCAUCAGGCAAAGGGUUGAUGGUGAAAAUUUUUGUAUGUGUGAAGAAUUGAGCUGUGGAUAUAGGGGACUUAAGUGUAAUCGAAAGAGAGUUAUUAGGUCAUAGUGCAGAUUGCAUUCAGUUUAUGGGUCGCUAUGCAGAUAAUUUGUUGACGUGGCGAAAUCUGUUAUGGUCGUUAGUAUUGUUUCUGGAAAUUUUCUAGAAACCUCAGCAUAAAAGGGGCUUUUGCAUAGCCUCUGGUGUGCGUGUGAUUUCUCUUUCGUUUCCUCAUCAAAUUCUGUAAUUCUUGCUUUGAUAAAAAGCUUGUAAUCUCUUCUGUAAUGUGUGAUCAGUGCGUAAUCAUUUUGAGCAAUAAACGCUUGUGGGUUUUUCCUUCAAACAGUGUCGUUUUGGUCAGUUUGUUAGUUUGAUCUGUUGGUGGAAUUUUCUUUGGUUAUUUGUUCUCAAAAUUCAACCGUAUAUAAAGUUUGAACUCUAAUGGCUUAUAAUGUAUUGAUUAAGAAUAAUCCUAAGAGUUCCCGAUUGAAAUUUUUAAUGACUAUUUUUAUUGUUUUGGAUAUACAAAUUGCAUUAAGAAAAAAUAUUGUCAAAUUCAGAGGAUAACGGGAAAUAAUUAUGCUUCAAAAGGCCAGAGAUUUGAGAACAAAGAAGCAUUCAUUACUGAUAUACAAAAGAGAAACACUCCAAAAUUGCAAGCAAACUAGUUUCAUAUACUGUUUGGAUUCUGGAAGGGGUGAAGUUUUGAACUUCAGUUGUUCCUCUAAAAUCAAAAGCAGCAAUUAAGCGUUCUCAAUUAGAAAUAGCAAAGAAGACUUAUUCGUACCUUACUGAAGCUAACAUUAUGGCACGGUUGUUCAUAUGUAAUGGCUGCUCUGUUAUGCUAUAUGCUCUGUUAUGCUAGCUUCUCUGUUUUUGCUUACAGUUUUGAACAUAAAUUCUUGCUCAAAUAACCCAUAAUUAAAUAACACUAAUAUGGCUCCUGAAAUCCCAUAAUAGCUAAUUACGCAACUUUCUCCUCCUCCUCAAUUAUGUCUUCCCCUGCUCGGACACUAACUUCAAAAUUCAAUGCCCCGAAAAACAACACAAGAAAUCUUUGAGUUAAAUCGUGACCAGUUUAUAUAUCGUAGCAAUUGAAAAAGAAAAAGAAGAAAAGAGUUAAUUAUUAUUCAGACCUUCACUUAUUAGGAAGUUUGUUCUGCUAUUGGGUGAGAUCAAGCUCUCAGCAUAUACUUCCACAUGAUACUUUCUAACAUUUUCUUGAAAGCCAUCAAUCAUAAAAUCUUCAUACUUUUUUCCAUCCUUUGGAUCAAUAAGUACAAAUUUCUCAUCUAAAACAGACAAAAUAAAAUCACUGUCCUUCAUGGAACAUAAUGGCUGCAAUGCCUGAACUGAAUUGGCUAAUGAAACAUAGUCUUCUUUUCUUUCUCGACAUGGAACAUAGUCUUCUUUUCUUUCUGGACAUAUGUCUCUGUACUUUUCUCUCUCUACUGAUCCACACUUUUUCAUACUUCUAACUAUCAUUUUGUUUUUUUUUUUGGUUAAGUUGUGAUUUAUUCAAUUAUUUUGUAUUUUUAAUGACAAUUAUUUAAUAUUUAGUUAGUUUUGAUAUUGAUUAGUGAUUGAAAGUGUAUUUUAGAAGACUUCCGGUCUCUUGGAAAAAGGAAAAAUGGAGACGAAGAAGAAGUGUUCUUGAUUUUUUUGUAGGCAUUAAAGUUAAACGGUUUGAAAUGAUAUUUUGUUUUAAUUUCACUCAUUAAUCUCAUUCAGGAUAAAAUUAUAAAUGCAAAUAAAUGGGGUUUCAUGAGUUUUUUUUAAUAGUGUUAAAAGGUCUACUCACUAAAUAAACAUGUUUUACCCAAACCAAUCCGAUUAAUAAAGUUAUUGGGUUGGGUUGAUCAGGUUAAAAAUCAAAAUUAAAAAUUAAAUAAAUAAAAAAGGCGUUAAAACUAUCUGUUACUUGAAAAUAAAAAGAAUUUCAAAUAGUUAGUUCUAAUGUCCCAUAUCCAAAACAUGCAUAUUAAAUAAAUAUUAUAAGUUAGAGAUAAAAUAUCCAAGAAAUAAUGAAUGAAUGAAAUACCAUAUUUUUGUUGAGAAUUAAGAGUGUGAUUUUAAUUUUGAUAUUGGAGUCUAAAGCAAUAGAUAGUACAAUGAAAUCAUGAAUGCCACAUUUAAAUAAUGUCUUUUAUAAAAUAAUAAAAAGAAGUUAAAAAUUAGGUUAGCCAUUUAGGCGUUUAGGGUUUAGCAGUUAAGGAUGAACAUAUUAUUAUUAUUGUUGUUGUUGUUGUUAUUAUAACAAUUAUUAUUUACAUAUUAAUUAAUCCAACCCAACCCAAUUAUUAACAAACUAGGAAAUAAAACCGCACUUCGUGCGGCUUUAAAAGAAAAUUAAUAUUAUUUUUUUAUUACUUUACAAUUGAUGAAACUAAUAAAAAAUAUGAAUUAUUUUUAAAAUGACGUAAUCUUAUAAAACUAAUGUUAUUUAUGAAAGUUAAUUAUUUUUUUGUUAACAUUAAAAAUAUAUAUUAAUGUGUAUAGUUAAGUGUACACAACUUUUUCAUCAAUAAAAAUUAUGUUCACAUUAAUCAACUCUCCAUUUUUCUUAGUAUUAACAGACUCUCACAUCUUACAAAGUCUGACCCUUAUUAUUCAACUAUCUUUAUCAUAGUUUAACUCAUGAAGAAAAUAGUACUCCAUGAAGCAUACAAUACUAAAAAUUUAAAUAAGUCAAAAAAUAAAAACACAAAAACAUUUCUAAAGAGAAUGUUGGUUAAAUAAUAAAAAAAACUCAAACAUAACAAAUCUUAAAUGCUUAAUAUUUAUAGAGCUUGAAGAAGCCAAAAGAUACUAAAUAAAAGGUUGCAUAAUUAAAUAUAGGAUUAUAACAUUAAAAUUAGGUCAUAAGGCAUUGGUGAGGGAAGAGGAAGGAACAUUCCUUCUUAUAUUAAUUAGUUGAUGUAUUUUAAACCACUAAAGUUUAUUUGUUGGCUUAAUAAAAUAAAUGAAUGUUUCAAAACUUAUAAUUAAUUUAUUAUUAAUGGUUAUAUAUUGUUGAAUUUAAAUAGAAAGAGAAAGAGACAUGUAAUCUUUUGUAAUCUAUUAAUUAUUUUAUAUUUUUAAUAUUUUGUAAUGUAAUUAUUUUUUAAUCUCAACCAAUAUGUUAGAUAAUAGAGAAUAUAAAAAGAUGAGAAAUAAUAAUGCCACAAAUCUUAACUACUUAAUAUUUAUAGAGUUUGAAGAAGUCAAAAGGUACUAAACAAAAGGUUGCAUAAUUAAAUAUGAGAUUAUAGCAUUAAAAUUAGACCCCACUGGCAUUAUUGAGAGAAGAUGAAGGAACAUUCCUUCCUAUAUUAAUUAAUUGAUAUAUUUAAGCUACUAAAAUUUAAUUGUUGGCAUAAUAAAAUAAAUAAAUGUUUCAAGAUUUAUAAUUAAUUAUUAUUAAUGGUUACAUAUUAUUGAAUUUAAAUAGAAAGAGGAAGAGACAUGUAAUCUUUUAUAAUCUAAUAAUUAUUUUUAUUUUUAAUAUUUUAUAAUGUAAUUAUUUUUUUAAUAUCAACUAAUUUAUUAGAUAAUAGAGAAUACAAGAAGAUGAGAAAUAGUGAUGUCACAUCACCUCCUCUAGUCCCAACUUUAUAUAUAUAUAUAUAUAUAUAUAUAAUAUUUUGUAAUGUAAUUAUUUUUUAAUCUCAGCCAAUAUAUUAGAUAAUAGAGAAUAAAAAAAGAUGAGAAAUAAUGAUACCACAAAUCUUAAAUAUUUAAUAUUUAUGGAGUUUGAAGAAGCCAAAAGGCACUAAACAAAAGAUUGAAUAAUUAAAUAUGAGAUUAUGACAUUAAAAUUAGACUCUAAUGGCAUUGUUGAGGGAAGAUGAAGGAACUUUCCUUCCUAUAUUAAUUAAUUAAUGUAUUUUAAGCCACUAAAAUUUAAUUGUUGGCAUAAUAAAAUAAAUGAAUGUUUCAAGACUUAUAAUUAAUUAUUAUUAAUGGUUACAUAUUGUUGAAUUUAAAUAGAAAGAGGAAAAGACAUGUAAUCAUUUAUAAUAUAAUAAUUAUUUUCUAUUUUCUAUUUUAAUAUUUUGUAAUGUAAUUAUUUUUUAAUUUCAACCAAUUUAUUAGAUAAUAGAGAAUAUGAAAUGAUGAGAAAUGGUGAUGCCACAUCACCUCUUGUAGUCUCAACUUUAUAUAUAUAUAUAUAUAUAUAUAUUAAUUCAUGUCUUUUAUACCACUAAAGUUUAAUUGCUAGCAUAAUAAAAUAAAUAAAUGUUUCAGAAGACUUAUAAUUAAUAUUAUUAAUGAUUACAUAUUGUUGAAUUUAAAUAGAAAGAGAAAAAAAUUACAAAGAAUAUCCACCAAUAUUUUAGAUAUUUUAGAUAAUAGAAAAUAUAAAAAGAUGAGGAAUGAUAUAUAUUAAUAAAGUUACUAUUUAUUAAAUGAGUUAAAUACAAUCAAAUUAAUUAUGAGAAGAUGAAAAGCCAAAUCUAAAAAAAAAAUCUCUAUUUAUUAGAUAAUAGAGAAUAUAUAAAGAAGUAAAAUGGUGAUGCCACAUCACCUACUCAAGUCCUAGCUUUAUAUAUACACUAGAAAAUAGAACCGCGUUUCACGCGGCUUUGAAAAAAAAUUUUAAUGUUAUCUUUUUUUUUUAUUUUGCACAUGAUGAAACUGAUAAAAAAUAUGAAUUGACUUUUUUUUAAGAUGAAGCAGCCUUAUUAAAAAAAAACUAUUAGCCAGCAAUACAAAUAAAGAAGUAAUGUAAGAUAAAAAAUAAAAUGAGAGAAUAUAUUAUAGAAUGAUUUUAUUCAUUCUAAUUGUGUGGUACAAAACAAAAAGAUGAGCUCUCAUUUUAUAGUUACAUAAUCACUCCAUGAAAUUAAUGAAAAAUUAUGGAUCAUAAUUCCUUGUGAGAUAGUGGGAGUUAUAGGGAAGCUAAAGGUUGCUAAUGGAAGAUAGUGGGGAGACUAAGAGAUAUAUGUUAUGAACAUCUACAUUUAUUUUAAUAAAUUCAUAACACUCCCCCUUUGAUGUUCAUUAUAAAAAAUAUGCCUCAUUAAAAUCUAUUAGCCAACAAUACAAAUAAAAAAGCCACACAAUAUAAAGAAUAAAAUGAGAGAAUAUAUUAUAGAGUGAUUUCAUUCAUUCCAAUUAUGUGUGUACAAAACAAAAAGAUGAGCUCUCCUUUUAUAGUUACAUAAUCACUCCAUGAAAUUAAUGAAAAAUUAUGGAUCAUAAUUCCUUGUGAGAUAGUAGAAGUUAUAGGAAAGCUAAAGGUUACUAAUGGGAGAUAGUGGAGAGAGUAAAAGAUAUAUGUUAUGAACAUCUACAUUUAUUUUAAUAAAUUCAUAACACUCCCCUUUGGAUGUUCAUUACAAAAAAUAUGUCUCAUUAAAACCUUUAUAUAAUUGUUAUUGUGUAAUAACAAUCAAAUUAAUUAUGAGAAGAUGAAAAGUCAAAUCUAAAAGAAAAUUUCUCUAUUUAUUAGAUAGAUAAUAGAGAAUAUACAAAGAUGAGAAAUAGUGAUGCCACAUCACUCUCUCAAGUCUCAACUUUAUAUAGAUAUAUAGAUUUGAAAUGAUUGACUCAAUUAAUCCACAAUAAUUCAUUCAACUCGUCUAAAUUAGAUUAUGUUGAAUUUGAUUUGCUACACCUACAUUGAGCAACAAACCUCAACGACAUUCUACGAGCUCUUUGAUUGUUUAUAAAAUUGAUUUAGAGUACAUAAAGUGUAUCGACAAUGAAAGUGCAAAACAAAUUAUUGUACAUAUUAAAAUGUGCAAAACAAUGAAUUAUAUGUACAAACGAGUGCAAACACAUUUUUCAAUAAGAAGUUAAAAGAUAUUUAUGCAUGAAAAAGCCUACGUUUGUAGUUAUUCUAAAUUUUAAAAACAAAAUUUACAUUUAGAUCCCUAAAAUUUACGUAUAAGUAUAAAAGUUUCAAAUAUUGUCUAUUAUUUUUUUAACAUGCCUAUUCCUUAUGGAUAAUUCUGUCUCAUCACUAAUGUUGUUUCUUGCUUAGAAAAAAUAAAUGUCAUCUCCUUUUACAAUUUUUAUAGCGUCUCGAAAUAGACAAUAGGGGAUUUUGAAUUUUUUAAGUCUCAAGAUAGUCUCUAAUCGUGUGAGAAAGAUUUUCUUUCAAUAAUUUGGAGCUAAACAUAACAUAUUUUUUAGACUAAAAUCUAACUCUGCUGGUUAGUAGUUGGUGGUAUCCUUUUCAAGACUUGAGUCUUUAGAUUCGAGUUUUAUAUAGUGUACAUGUGUAUUUAAUUAAUAAUUUUUUUCAAAAAAAAAAAUUACAUCAAAUACUAAUAUUCAUGACAUAAUUUAGUUCAUAAUUUUUUUAAAUACAUCGAAAAAUAUAAUUUUUUAACAACUUAUAGGCACGACAAAUUUCAAGAUAUAAAUAUCAGUCAAAAUAAAUGAAAGAAAUAAUGGUGUCAAUUCUAAUUUCUUAACUAAAUUAAUUAUUGCAUGAGCCCCGAAUACGACAUGAGAGUUUGAUGGGCUAACUUGGCACAAGAACGCGAAUAGUUAACUCAUUUAAGAAAUAAUUCAACAAAAAAUAUAAUUGAUAAGAAUUCAGUAUUGAAAUGAAUUUUUUACGAAACAUUGAAUUAAUGAUUAUUAAGCAAGAACAAUAAAAAAAUAAAAUAAAAAUAAAUAUUAACCAUUGAUAAGCUUCAACAAGAACUUAACACAACCCUCAAUCCUAAUUCAAAUCAUAAAUGUCAUUCAUAUAUUCAUUAUAAAUCAAUAACAAAGGUUAUAAAUGUUUAGAAAUUCUAGAGGGAAGGAAGCUAUCUCCGGGGAAUCAACAACUAAAUUUGAUGUAAUUGUGGCACACGAUGGAAUAUGGAAACUACACCAUAAUUUCAAAUGCCGCCAUAGACAUUGACUUAUCUACAAUAACAAUGAUCUAAUUAAAAUUAAAAUAAAGUUUAUGGGCAUUUAUUAUUUUGCCAUUUCUCAUUUGCAAACAGGGAUAUAAUUAUAAUUUUACUUAGUCAAAGCAAUCAGUAAUUUUCUUCAUUAUCGGAGUGAAGUAAAAACAUUUAGAUUUUAAUGAGUGUACGGAAAAUUUAUCUUUAAAAAUACUUUCUUAAUGUGUGUGUAUAUAUAUAUUGAAAUAUUAUGCUAUCAAAAGUUAAUUUUAGAAAUUCCAAAUCCAAUAGCUAACACAAUUCUUUAAAGAAAAAAAAAAAAAGGUUGAUAAUCAGCAAUUAGUAUUACUUUCUAAACUUACUUCAACUGGUCGUUAAUGAGGGGCCUUGGGCAAGAGUGAUGAAUGUUUAGUCGGUGCAUUUGAUUGAUAGAUAUAUAAAGGGCCGAAACUUGAGAUUAUAUUACUUUUACAAAUUUUAAUCCAAUCACAUAUUUACUGAAACACAAAAUGAGUUAGGAUACUUUAUUUAGAACCCACAUUUUAAUAAGGCUUCAUUUGAUGUAGUUUUUCAAACAGUGAUUAUUUGAGUAAAGUUUCCUCAAUAGAGUUUUUAUCAAAUAAAUUUUAUUUAUUUGGUUGUCGAUAAGAACUUUUAUUAAAAAUUAUAAAAUUAUUUAAAUAAACAUAUUUUUUUAAAAUUACAUUAUAAAAAGAAUUAAAUAAAGUUAUAAAAGUAAAAUAUAUUUUAGAUAUUUUAAUAUUUAAGAAAAAAAUUUUGAAUCUCUACUUUCAGAAGCUCAAAUUUUUAGUUUUUAGUUGUAGAGACAAAAUAUCUUAUUUAAUCUUUAAAAGUUCUGCUAAAAACAAUCAAAUAACUAUAAAAUUUUUAAUAAGAGUAUAUAAAAUUAAAUAAGCAUUUAUUAAUAAUCACUUUAGUGUACUUAUCUAAUGACCAUAAGUGUUUAUUUAAUCUCAUAAGUUCUUAUUUAAUCUCAUGAGCUCUUUUCAAUUUUUUUUGUUGUUUGCUUUUUUUAGUAGAGUUUUUGAAAAUUAAAUAAACUAUUUUGUCUCUAUUAGGAAAAACUCAAAUUUUAGGUUUUUGUGAGUAAAUGUUUAAAUUUUUUUAAAAAUAUUAAAAUAUUAAAGUAAAAGUUGUAGAGACAAAAUAUCUUAUUUAAUGUUUAAAAGUUCUGCUAAAAAUAAUCAAAUAACUACAAAAAUUUUAAUAAGAGCAUAUAAAAUUAAAUAAGCAUUUAUUAAUAGUCACUUUAGUAUACUUAUCUAAUGACCAUAAGUGUUUAUUUAAUCUAAUGAGCUCUUUUUAAUUUUGUUUGUUUGUUUUUUUAGUAGAGUUUUUGAAAAUUAAAUAAACUAUUUUGUCUCUAUUAGGAAAAACUUAAAAUUUAGGUUUUUGUGAGUAAAUGUUUAAAUUUUUUUUAAAAUAUUAAAAUAUCUUUUCUUUAUUUCAUAAUCUUAUUUCAUUCUUCACAACAUAACUUUAAAUAACUCACCUAUUAAAAUAAUUUCACAAUUUAUAAUAAAAAUUUUAAUUGACAAUCAAAUAACAAAUUUUUUUUUAUAAAAACUCUAAUAAUAAAAAUUCUACUUAAAUAAAUUAUAUUUGAAAAGGUAUACCAAACGAACCUAACAUAAAAACAAAAAUUUUUACAUCCACACAAUUAAGCUUAAAACAAUUUCAAAUGAAUUUUAGACUACUCAAAGUACAAUACGUACCAAGUUUGGUAACUUAUUGGGGUCCGCUUGUAAUACAGCUCAUGAGCUCUUUUUAAAAAAAUUUUGAAUCUCUACUUUCAGAAGCUCAAAUUUUUAGUUUUUAGUUAUAGAGACAAAAUAUCGUAUUUAAUGUUUAAAAGUUCUGCUAAAAACAAUCAAAUAAUUACAAAAAUUUUAACAAGAGCAUAUAAAAUUAAAUAAGCAUUUAUUAAUAAUCACUUUAGUGUACUUUAUCUAAUGACCAUAAGUGUUUAUUUAAUCUCAUGAGCUCUUUUUAAUUUUUUUGUUGUUUUUUUAGUAGAGUUUUUAAAAAUUAAAUAAAUUAUUUUGUCUCUACUAGGAAAAACUUAAAAUUUAGGUUUUUGUGAGUAAAUGUUUAAAUUUUUUUACAAAUAUUAAAAUAUUUUUUUCUUUAUUUCAUAAUCUUAUUUCAUUCUUCACAACAUAACUUUAAAUAACUCACCUAUUAAAAUAAUUUCACAAUUUAUAAUAAAAAUUCUAAUUGACAAUCAAAUAACAAUUUUUUUUUAAUAAAAAUUCUACUUAAAUAAAUUAUAUUUGAAAAAGUAUACUAAACAAACUUUUUUUAGACUAAUCAAAGUACAUCUUCUCAUAAAAUAAUUUCACAAUUUCUAAAAAAAACUCUAAUUGACAAUUAAGUAACAACUUUUUUUUUUUUGUAAAAACUUUAUUUAUAAAAAAUCUAAUAAUAAAAAUUCUAUUUAAAUAAAUUAUAUUUGAAAAUGUAUACUAAACCAACCUAACAUAAAAACAAAAAUUUUUACAUCCAGACAAUUAAGCUUAAAACAAUUUCAAAUGAAUUUUAGACUAAUCAAAGUACAAUACGUACCAAGUUUGGUAACUUAAUUGACAUCUUCUCAUAUAACCUUCGAUCAAGUCGAUUCUGACCUGACGACUAAUUGGUACAUCACCGUUGUUCUCUAUACUCGCAUGCAUCCGAUCACAAAUCUCACUCCAAUUGUCGUCUUUCUUCGGCGUUUUAGCGCAUCCUUCUUGAAUUUCCCGCAUUUCGUUCCCUCCUGUUACAAGUCUCCGGUCAGGUCAGUUCACUUGACGAUUAAUUCGGCAAAUCUCGAAUCUCUUCUCUAUCCCUCUCGUUUUCUCGUGUCUCCUUUCAGUUUAAGUGAUUGAAUCAAUUUUAUCGCAGUCUUAAGAGAAAUUAAGUAAUGCUCUUGGAUUUAAAAUUUUUUUGCUUUCGACUUUAGAUCUCGAAAGUCAAACUCUGCUACGAAUCCAUAGAUUCUCAAUGUUUAUAAUCUUAUUUGUGUUUGACCAGGUAACUGGAUCGUGAAAUUCGUCGUUUUGUAUCAAUUCAGGCUUUCGCGAGCUCAUGGAAUCACCUGGUGAGUUGUGGUGAAACGUUAUCGUUUCAAUUUUCGCUUAAUUCUUUAUUGCAUAUUUUUUCUCUAACAUUUCAGUUUAAUUUAGAAAAGAAAGAGGACCCAAAAAGAGAGAGAGAGAGAGAGACUCUACCAUACUCAAUUCCUUGCUCAUUCUGAUUUGGCCUGAAUGUUGGCAUUGACUAUUAUUUGUUUUCAUUUCGAUUUAAUUCUCAUUUAGACAGUCUUUACUAACGGUCAAUAAUAGUUUAAGGAAAAUGAUAAUAGGGAUUCUGCAAUAAUCUUUCUGCAUUGUUCAAGUUAGUAGACGAUGAAUAGGAUGUUUAUGUUUACCUCAUUUUGAACCCUGAGGGCUUCGUUGAGUAGUUGAUUCAACAUAUCCAGCAACGGUUGAUGUGAGAACAGGAUGCCACUUAGAUAGGCUUAAACUGAUUUUGGAGGUUUGUAUUGGUUCUAUUGUACGUCUUGCUUACAAAUUUUUUAUUUUUUAUUUUUAAUUUUGUAUAAUAUGCUCUUUGUUGGUAAAUCUCAUUUGACUUAGAAGAGAUAGUUUUAUCCCAACAGUGGGAUAAAUCAUUGAGAUGCAUGGCAGUGUGAAUAUAGUAGACAAAAUCAUUGAGACACAUGGUGGUGUGAACAUAGUAAACUUCAUGGAAGCAAUGAAGCUUGAAAUUGAACGUCUGCAGCUGAAUCUUUCUGCAGCUGAAAGGGAUAGAGCUUUAUUGUCAAUCGGAACUGAUCGUGCCUCUAUAAAUCCAAAUGUAUUGCUUGAUGAAUCUUACAUGGGAAGACUGUGUCGAGUAGCAACCACUCUUGCAUUACUUGGCCAAACUUCCCUAGAAGACAAAAUUGUUGGUGCAAUUGGCCUUGAGAAUAGUGAUGAUAGUGUUUUAGACUUCUGGAAUAUUACUAGAAUCGGAGAGAGUUGUUCUGGUGGCUGGUGGCGGGUGCAAGGUUCGUGCAGAAACUAAGGUGCCUGCUCUUGCUUCCUCAACUGCAACAUCUGUUGGAGCUUCACAAUCCCCUUUGUUGUGUUCUCAAUGUGAAAGAAAAGUUUGCAAAGUUUGUUGUGCAGGAAGAGGAGCUCUACUGUUUUCAAAUUAUAAAUCAAGGGAUGUGACCAACUACAAUGGCUUCUCAAGUCAGAGUGGAUCAAGCCAUGGAAGCCAAGUUGAUGUACCUACCAGUCGUUCACUAACACUGGAUGGCGUUGUCUGUAAACACUGCUGCCAUGAGAUUGUGCUUGAUGCAUUGAUGUUGGACCAUGUUAGGGUCUUGAUUAGCUUGCGAAGAAGUUCCCGUGCAGACAACACAGCAUACAAUGCUUUGAAUGAGGUUGUUGGAUCCUGCUUAAAGGAUAGUCUUUCUGAAAGGAUUCAGUCUUCCGAUAACGUGCAAGCUGCUGAAGUCCUUCACCAAUUAUGUGGUGGACAGGAAUCAGUUGCUGAAUUUCCAUUUGCUAGCUUUUUGCACUAGGUAUGUUCUUGGUUUGUAUUCAGUUCUCAUCAUGUUAUGUUUUCCUUUUAAAUUUCUUUUCUUGAUUAAAAUUUUUAGAAAUAUGUUUUAGUAUUUGUUCUUAUGAUAUAUGCCCAGAACAUUCAUCCCACUUAUCCAUGAGAAUCCUUGUCUGGUUUGAUUUUCAAUUGAGACAUUUUUGGGAACCCUGAGCAGGUUCCAUAUGCUAAUAAUCUUUGAGGUAAGGUGUUGUAGGAUGCCUUGAGAAGCUAAAAACCAAUUACAAGGAAAAGCUCUUGCAUUGUUUUGUGCAAUCUGUGUGCUAGCAAGUCAUGUCUCUAAUAAUUUCAUAGUUCGCUUGAUUGGAAUUUUUUAUCUUGAUAUGGAUUGUUUAUUCUAGAUUCCUUGGUGCCACUGUAGGUUGAAACAGCAAAAGAUUCAGCACCGAUUUUGUCACUGCUUGCUCCAUUAAAUUCUGGAUCAAGGCACUCAUAUUGGAGAGCUCCACCUAGUACUACUUCUGUUGAAUUUGUUAUUGUUCUCGGUUCUGUUUCUGAUGUCAGUGGGGUUAUCUUGCUUGUUAGUCCUUGCGGCUAUCUGUGGCUGACACUCCGAUGGUAAGUGCCAUAUUUAUUCCCUUAUUUCCUUGUUGUUCAAUAAAUUUGGUGAUAAGCCAAGUGGCCUUAAUAAUGAAGCCCAGUACCAGGGGUGGUGGGUAAUCGAUAUUCAACUUGUGAAUAUUCCUAAGCAAGCACGGAAUCAACAUAGACGUCGGCAAAAAUUCUCCAUGCUAUUAUAACGAAAGUCAUAUUUUGAAAUGAUUAAAAGAGUCCCUUUGUAGUGCCAUUGCCAAAGAAAUUGCAGCUGGGGGUUUAGUUUCAUGUAGGUUAGUUUCCGAUAAUAAACUUUCCAUUUCAUUAAUUGCUGAUGAAAAAACCAAGUAAGAACAGUUUCGUUGCUCGUCAUUUAUGUAUAUUUUGGUAAACUGUAAUUUUAAAUUCUCAACGAUCUUCCCUUGGUAGGUAAGAAGAUGGUCCACUCACUUUAUAUUUAUGAUUGUAGAUCAGGUUUCUAUUGGUUUGCCUUUAUCAUUGGGAACCCAAGUUUGAUAUUAACAGAGAUCACGUCAAUAAUAUCCUAUUUGGGUAGAUGUGGGUGAGGAUUUAAAAUCAAAUUUGAAAUUGGGGGAAAGAAGAGAAAAGGAACCACAAUAAUUAAACAAAAUAUUAGGAACUAUUCUGAUGAGUUUUAAUCUCGAGAGGAACAAUUUUCAAAUGCAAAUUUAACUGCUAGAGAAAUUGUAGCUUUUUGUCAUUAGUUAAGAGGAAAGAGAAUAAGAACUAUCCAGCCCUUUCCUUCAUGAAUGUGUGUUGAGGUUGCUGUAUUAUUUAGUCAGUAUUUGUAAUUUUCUUCCCUGCAGUGCUCUCUGCCUCCUGAAUUUGCUACUGAGUCCAUAUUUUUCUUUGAGCUGUUGCUUCCUAUUGCUGUUACAAGUACAAAUCUGGGCAAGCAAUAAGAUACACCGGGAGGAAAGGUCAUCAAUGGGAAAAUGGGAUGUCCAAUCCCUCAUCACAUCUUCUUCAGACUUGUAUGGUCCAGAAAAGACAGCUAGUGUUGAAAAAUUACCUAGGCAUGUAAAAUUUACUUUUAAGAAUCCUGUUAGGUGCCGCAUUGUUUGGAUCACAUUACGUCUUCAGAGACCUGGUUCGGCUUCAGUUAAUUUCGGGAAGGACUUCAGUCUUUUGUCUCUUGAUGAAGAUGAAAACCCCUUUGCGCAAGUAGACAGACGUGCUUCAUUUGGAGGAGCAGUUGAAAAUGAACCAUGUAUUCAUGCCAAAAGAAUUCUUGUAGUCGGAAGCCCAGUAAAAAGGGAGGGGCUUACCUCAUCACAGAGCUCUGAGCAGCUAAGUAUUAGAAACUGGUUGGAUAGAGCUCCACAAAUGAGUAGAUUCAAGGUAUUAGUUGCUUUCACUCUUUGUUCAUUCAUAAUUCCAGCUUUCUGCUUGAUGCCCUGCCUCUGAUAAACCUCUUUUUUUCUCUUCAGGUCCCAAUUGAGGCCAAGAGAUUGAUGGACUACGAUCUCGUCUUGGAACAAUAUCUACCUCCAGCGUCACCUUUGCUUGCCGGAUUCCAUCUAGACGCUUUCAGUGCAAUAAAACCUAGGGUUACCCAUUCACCUUCCUCAGAUUCAGAUAUCUGGGACAAAUCAGUAACAUUUUUAGAAGACAGGUACAUCUCUCAAGCUGUGUUGUAUUUACAAGUAUCCGCACUCCAGGAACCACAUAACAUGGUAACUAUUGCGGAAUAUCGACUGCCGGAGGCUAGAGCCGGAACGCCAAUGUACUUUGAUUUCCCAUGACCGAUACAGUCCCGACGAGUUUCAUUCAAGCUUCUUGGAGAUGUUACAGCAUUUGCAGAUGAACCUUCAGAACAAGAUGAUUCAGGAUUGAGAGCUCCACUUGUGGCCACAGGUUUGUCUUUGUCAAACAGAAUCAAGUUAUAUUAUUAUUGUGAUCCUUAUGAGCUCGGAAAAUGGGCAAGCCUUUCUGGAGUUUGAUCGUUAUUUAUAUGUCAGAGAAAGGGUUUUGGGUUUGAUUUUGAUUUUGAUUUGUAAUUUUUGUCAGUUUAUUGAAAUUUUUUGUUGUAUAAAAGCAGAAUGUAAAGGUAUAAAAAUUCAUUGAUGCUGCAAUGUCUGUGCUUUUGAGAAAGAAGAAUUAAUUGUCUUUUCUAUGCCAUUGGAGUUUCCCACUGCUUGUAUACUUGGGCUGUCGAAUGCUCUGUGAACCUUAAGGGCUAUAAAGUAAUUUUCAAGACUGAAGGAUUUAUUAAUCGAGUUCAAAAGAUUGUAAGUUGGUGACUGGUGAGCGUUGGCAUUUAAAAAUCAAUUGUUAUUCUCUCAAUAAUCUCUCUCUUCUCCUCGUGAAGUGUUUUCUUUUUCGAGUGAAGGUGGUUUUCCACUUGCAUACGUCGGGGGUCUUAUGAUAUGUAAUGUGUGAAAUUUCUUUCUCAUUUUACCAUAAAGAAAAAUGUUGUAAUAAUCUAAAGCUCGAGUCUUAAAUUAUCUUAAAUUUAUAUUUAGAGUGGAGCUAUUCGCAACCCUAUAUUAAAAUUACAAUUAAAAACAAUUGAAAAUUAAACACUUAUAGAUUCUUUUUACAGCAAAUUACUUAAUUCAUAAUCAAUCCUUUAAAAAAAAAAUACAUAUGUUAUUUCUUAUCUAACUAAAAUAAAUUGUACAAAUUUAGAAUAAUCUAUUGUUCUCUUUUGAUUUCUUAUUAUUUAAAUAUUUUUAUACAUAAAGUUACUUUGAAAUUAUAAUUUGAAAUAUGUGUUAUUUCAGCCAAUGAUUAACACUAAAAAAUUUAUCACCCAUAUAACUUUUUAAUUUGUGUGUAGGGUAAUAAUAAAAUCGAAAAUAAUUAAAAAAAUAGUACAAUAAUGAUUUUUAACAAUAAAACAAAUCAAAUGAAAAUUGAAAAUUUAGAAAAGUGUAUCUAAAAAAAGGAACGUUUUCAAAAAUAAAAUGAAUAUAACUAAAAAGAGAUUUUAUGAGGAGAUCACUGGGGUGCCAAUAGUCCAACUUGUAAUUAAGAAUCUCCCAUUAUAUUGUCAACCAAAAAGACACUUGAAUAAGAAGAAGAAUUUAUCAGUUUGAUUUUAUUUGUAGAUCCAACAUUUCUCAUAUCCUGAACGCCUUUUCGUAUCAAAUUAAAACAGUAGUAGCAAAAUCGUAGUAUUAAAAUCGUAGUGCACAUUCAAUUAACCAACUAAUAGUCUUUGGUAUAAGAUUUUAUAUUAGGUAGCCAAGUAGGUUGUCCAUCCCACUCAGACAUGCACGAAAGCUAAAUUCAUCAAAUGAAUUACUUAAGAAGUAUUUGAUAAUUUUGAAAUUAUCAAAAGGUGUUAUACUAUUAAAUAUUUUUAUACUUAAAAUUGUUUUGAAAUUAUAAGUUCAAAUUAAAAUAAUAGUAGCAAAAUCGUAGUGCACAUUCAAUUAACCAACUAAUAGUCUAAGAAGCAAAGAGAGGAUUACAAGUUCACAACACCAUUACAAAGGAUUCAAAAUUCCCACACGAAUACAUCAAUGUACAGAUUAUAAACAAUCCGAAUUGGACACAAGAAAAACCCUUCAAUAGAUUGCUUGCCUUCCCAAUGCUAUAUACUGUGCAAACUGCGCAUUGGCCAAGAAAAUGUUUUCAAUUUAGUGUAUUUUCAAAAUGCUUAUUUUCUCAUAGUAUAAAAAAUAAAAAAAAUAAGAAAGAAUUCUCACAUGUUUCAUCAGCAUGAUUAAAAUCAAAGAAGAAAGCGAGACAUAAUGUCUCUGACAUAAUAAAAUUACAAAAAUUUCAAGGAAAAAAAAAGGUUAAAACAUGUAAUCUUCAGAAGCAUAUAAUAAAAGAACACUUCCACAAAUUACUACAAUUUCAUGCAGUAGAGAUUGAAGAGUUGAAUUCCACUAAUUUUAAUAAUGAAAACAACAACAGAGGAUUAACUGAUGCUUUGACUUAUUAGUUCUGCAGAGCAUCUCCAAAAGCCUAUAUAAAUUUUACUCUUCAAAUACUUAUUUGCUUACCUAUGUGGCAAAUAAAAGGGUGAAAAAAUAUGAUAUUCUCCAAAAGACUCUUCAAAUAGAAAAAAGUUAAUAUUAUUUUAAUCAUAUAAUUAAUUUUUUAAAGAAAAAGUCAAUAGCAAUUAAAGCACUUCUCUCUCUUUCUUCAAUGAAAAGUAAUAAAAUAUAAAUUGAAGAGGGAGAAAUUAACUCUCCAAAUUUGAAGAGAGAGAAUUAAUUCUUAUUUAAAGAAUCUUAAUUGAAGUGUCUUUUGGAGCUUUAAAUAUUGAUGUGGCUCUUCAAAUAAGUAAUAAAAUCUUAUUUGAAGAGCCUUUAAAUAAGGUGCUUUCAAAAGCAAAAUGGAAUACAUAGAUAAAAACAUCAUCUUAAACAAAUCACAAUCUAGAAUUAGAGCAUUUUCGACAUACCUAAGGAAAACGAAUACGUGAAAACGGGUGAUUCAUUUGUUAAGGAGUGUUGAUUUGGUCGUCUCUGCAAAUUCUUUAGGGACUCGGUUCCAAUUCCUCAUCAUCAAAACUGUAAUAUAAUUCCCCUUCAUCAGAACUCGAAUCGAUGCAAUAUAAUUCCCCUUCAUCAGAACUCGAAUCAAAUUCACUUGCAGCAGUUCCACUCGCGCUUGGCAAAUCAUCCAAUUUCCAAACUUCGGUAGCAAAAUUGAGAGUAAAAGUGUUGGCUUUGAUCUCGCUGGGAUUUGCAUAUACUGGACAUACUCCGCAACGUUUUAUCUUCUGACCCUUUUGGACCUUUAUUAUGUUUCGGUAACGCUCAUUGAAGAACUUAAGUGAGACAGUUGUAUGAUGGUAACCAUCAGGAAAGCCAACAUUCAAGCAAGGUUUAAAACCAAGUAUGACAUGAUCUGAAUCAUGGGGGUCUUUAAUAGAGUCCCAAUAGAAACUCAGAUCAACAUGUUUGGUUUCAGAGAGAGUCUUUAUUUCUAAGUCGGAUCGACAGUAAACGUAAAAAUAACGAGAACGAUCAGAAUAAAGUUGCUUAAAAUCAAGAACAGCACAAAAAGCAAACCCGAUUAAGUUUCUGCAAAAAGAGUGCGGUGGCAGUUGAAUACGUAUCGAAGAUCCUGAACUUUGAUUGCUGAACCAGUCAGGAAUUUCGCUCCCAGGUAAAACAAUUUGGGAUUCCCUGAGUUCAGAAAGUUUCUGUGAAACGACAUUUAAAAAAAGAAAAUUGUAAAAUGAAAACCAUGAUUUCAGAUAUAACAAAGAGGGACAGAGUAAACAAGAGAGGGAAUUUGAUACCUCGUUGUAUGCAUUUUCAUAGCCCAGUCUCAGUGAUGCUGCAAUUGCCAUACGUAGUGAAUCUGCCAAAAUCUUGUUGUUUGCUUUUCCAUCAAGUUUCAAGCAGUUAGUAAACCCAAAAUAAAUUGGUUGUGGCGUCACAUAUUCCGGAUGCCAUUGACGAAGGUCAGGAGAGGGUUUGGAUAGCUUUUCGAGUACGGAUGCAUCUAGUUCUUGUACACAUGACGGAAUCUCUGGCAAAGAUUGAAGCCGGUUGCAGUUCAUUGCAAUUAGUGACUGUAGACACAAUGGAAGUUCAGGUAAUGACCGAAGCAUGUUACAAUCCUCCAAGUGAAGAGUUUCUAAACCCAAUGGAAGUGCUGGUAAUGACUGAAGCAUGUUACAACGCCACAAGUGAAGAGUUUCUAGACCCAAUGGAAGUUCUGGUAAUGACUGAAGUAUCUUACAAUCCCUCAAUUCAAGAAAUUUUAGGCCCAAUGGAAGUUCUGGUAAUGACUGAAGCAUAUUACAAUCCUCCAAGUAAAGAUAACUUAGCCACGACAGUUGCUUGAUACUUGCAGGUAAACUCUCAAAGUUAUUUCCAUUUAAAUUGCCAAUGUUAUCCGGCAACUUAUCAAGUACAGAGCAACCACUUACGGACAAAAGUACAAGCCCCGUUUGCAAUGCCUCAAAUCCAACUUUUCAAGAUCAGUUAGGCACUCUACUGAUGAUGGAACUUCUUCUAUUGCAGUCUGGCCCAAGUUUAGCGAUGUUACUUUCCCAGAAAUCUGUGGAAACUCUAUGAGAUUAACACAAUAGGAGAAAUCAAUAGUUACUGGACAAACAAAAUGAAGAUUGCUAGGAAAAGACCUAAGACUUUUGCAGCCCAUAAAAUCCAACCUACUGAGAUACUUGAAAUUCUGGAUAUAUGAGGGAACACAAGCCAAGUUUGUAUAAUCCAAAAGAUAUGUUUCAACAUUUGGGGUUUCUAAUGGGCCUGGCAUCUUAAUGAAAUGUCGAGAAUGGCUGAGGUUAAUAGAUUUUAACUUGAAAGCUUCCUGCAAUAACAGAUAUAUAAAGACUAUAUUAAUUAAAAAGCAACAUUGAAUUCAACAAUUAAUUGCACGUAUAUUUAAAGAAAGAAAAAAUUAAUGUUUUAGUUUUAGUACAGAACUUACCUUUUCUCCUUCCCAAAGUUGCUCAACUUUACUAAAACGCAAAUUCAGUUCAACAAGGUUCUUUGGCUUGAAAUUUGAUGGCAGUGUCCUUAAGGGAUAUGUGUCCCAAUGAAGAUAUCUCAAUUUUUUAGGAAGAUAAUCUAGGCCAUUUGGAAGCUGCACUUUAGAGUAUGAAAGUUGCUCUUCAAUGCUCAUACUUAGAAACUUUUCAAUCUCAGGUACAUAAAAUUUGAGCAAUCUUAGAUUAGACAUUUUUGUGAAGGCUCCAGGGUCUAAAUUGAUGCCUUUUAUUUUGGACAAAUCCAGAAAUAUGCCUUCAAUUGCAUCGGUCCCCUUAUUAAAAAAAAAAACAAAGAAUGAGUAACCCUAAAACAGAAAAGAAACAUUCGCAAACUUUAUUAACUAAGAACUCCUUAAACAAAAACAAAUUCUGCAAUCUUUGAUUUUAUUUUUUAAAAAUAUUAAAUAUCUAUAUAUGAGAAAAGAAAAUUUUGGGGACCAUUGCAAAAUUAAACUAACCAAAAAAAAAAUUCAAAAUUUCUCUAAUUUACAAACCUGUUAUCUUAAUAUCUAGAAGUUGAGAAGACAAGGCGUAUUUGAUUGGUAUAAGAUUUCGAUUUUUUUUUUAGUCCAUAGAAUCCAAAAUGUUUGUUCAAAAUCAGGGAAAAAAACGAAAGUUAUUUUUUUUUCCACUAGCUGUAAUUGUAUCCAAGUCAAAUUGAGAUACGACCCUUUUCGAAAGGAUUUAAUCAUCUUAUAGCCUCCUUAAGAUACAUUUAAGCUAAAAGGAGUGAUUGGAGGCAGAACUUAGUGGGCCAAUCAGUUCAUUUUAUUAGCGACUGUUGCUUAAAAAAAAUUAUACUCUAAAACACACUUACUUUUUUGAAAAAAAAUAUAAUUAUAUUUAAGUAGAACCAGGUGGGCCAAUCCUCAUGGCACUCACUUUGUUCUGACACUCUUCACUAAAUUUGAAGAAAAAUAAAAUUAUACUCUUCACACUCUUAUUCAACAUUCCAAAAUUGAUAAAAUCUGGAGUUUUCUUUAAAAUUUUAAAAUUUGAAGACUUGUUCUCUUGACACCCUCAGUCAUUAAUUUUACCUAAUUAUGGUUUUGGUUGUUUUGUUCAUAAAAAUGCUUUUACUAAAGGAUGUUCUGGUAAUGAAAAAAUUUAUAAAAAAACAAACAUGGGUGUGCUGAUAUAGUUGGAAAAAUAUGAGUGCAUAACUCCAAACAAAUAAAAGAUACAUAAAAAAAAAAAAGGAGGAUUCUUACCAUAUUAUGCUUUAGUACGCGGCGGAUUUCCUUAGGAUCCCACAACCUACUGCGUCUGCCUGGCUCUUCCUCAGAUUCUUGGCGAACAAUCUCUCGGCCCAUUUCUUGCAAUAAAUCAUGCAUUUGCAAGCAGUUAUCUGACACUGUUAUAAGUGACUUGUCCACGAGGACAUCCAGUCUGUGAGACCCAGAAUCAUCAAGUAUCCUUAACACAAAAUCUUUAUCCUCUCCCUCAAGGAAACACGCAAUAUCUAGAAACAUACUCUUCACCCUGGGCGUUAAUUCUUUAAAACUAAUCUUUAAUGUAUCAUAAAUACCAUGAAUAUCAGAUUCACAAAUCCGAUUUAAGUCGUCCAAUACAUUUUCCCAAUGGCUUUUCCCCUUGAGAUACAGGGAGGAACCCAACACUUUAAGAACUAAUGGAUUGCCAUCGGCAUACCAUACAACCCUCCAUGAGUGCCGGUAGAGAUCUUCAGGACAAUGAUUUUCUUUAACAGCGAAGUUACAAAAAUGCUCGAAAGCCUCAUCAAAUUUCAAUCCAUUGACCCUAUAUAUUUUCUCCACUCCAAAUUUUUCGAGGACUCGUUUAUCCCUGGUGGUUACAACAAUUCUACUUCCUGGACCAUAUUGAUCAAGCCCUCCAAUCAAACCCUCUAAUUGUUCAUCUUUAUUCACAUCAUCGAGUACAAUCAACACCUUCAUGCGUCGGACCCUCCCUUUAGUAAAUUGUGGAAUAUUGGGACCAGCUACUUCAAGUUUUUCACUUAAUAUUGUCGAAAGCAUUUCCUUUUGUAGGUCUUCUAGGCCACCCUCUGUUUCUGAUUUUCUCCUAACAUUUUUUGCAAAGUAUUUACCAUCAAACUCACCAGAGAAUUGAUCGAAAAUAGCUUCAGCAAGGGUAGUUUUGCCUAUACCACCCGUGCCCCAAAUUCCAACAAUAUGGACAGUAUCCCACAAAUCCAUACACAGAAAUGGUUUAAUCUGCUCAAUUCGUGAAUUUAAUCCAACUAGGCCAUUGGAUGAGUCCGUUGAGACUGUUAUUUUUUCCAACUUCUUCAAAACAUCAUCGACAAUUUUGUUUACAAGUUCCGCAUCGUGCCUAAUAUAAAGGUGCAAAGAUGCAAAAACAUUGAGUCAAAUCGGGCCAAGACAGAAACAGAGAAAAGAUGAAUUAGGAAAGAGAGUUACCUGAAUUUCGUGGAUUCAUGGCCGGCUAGAUGGGAUGUUUCUGUCAGUGCAUCCCUCCACUUCUGAACCAUUUCUGGUUUAUCUUCGAACUGUUUUUUGAGCUCAUCAAAACGGUCUCCAAAUGUUCCGUUUUGAUGCCGCACAUCAGAUGGACUUACUCCAUAGAAGACUGGAAUAAUAAUUUGGCCGUUUGUGUUCUUGCAUUCAAGAAUCUUGACAAGUUCAUUCAGGCACCAUUUUGAAGAAGCGUAGUCCUUUGAGAAAAUGACCACCGAAAUUUUUGAACCUUGGAUUGCGUUCAAAAGGGCGGGUGAAAUCUCAUCUCCUCGCCUAAGCUCUUCAUCAUCAAUAAAUGUUUUGAUUUUUUUUCCUUCAUACAAUUUAUCAUAAAGAUAGCAAGUAAAGCUCUUACGAGUGUCCUCCCCUCUAAAGUUGAGGAAGACUUCAUAAUUGCAAGAAGAAGAAGAGGAAGCCAUGAAGGAAAUUCUAGAAAUUUGAAAGUAGAUUUAGGGAAUUAUAAAAAGCUGAAGGAAAUUGGAAUUUUGUACAGUUUCUCCAGCGAGGAACUUUCACCUCCGCACUAGAUUCUUAAGUUUUGAAAAUUAUGAGACCUUUAUAUUGGAAGAUAUUAUAAUCGAAUCAAAACUUAAAAUUUUAAUAUUGUUAAUCUUUAAUCUUUAAAAAAAAAUUACCUCGCCGUUACAGUUUGGAUUAAGAUUUGAGCAAGCAUUUACCUAAAUUUUAUCUCCGCCUGUAAAUUCUUAUGUUUUAAAAAUUAUGAGACCUUUAUAUUGGGAGAUAUUAUAAUCGAAUCAAAAUUUUGAAUUUCAAUAUUAUUAUUCUUUUAAAAAAAAAAUUGAGAUAACAGAGUGAUUGAUAAUAUAGGAGAACUUGUCUAGGCAAGCACAUGCAUACACAGAAAUGUGAUGGAUUCAAAAAGAAAUUAAAGUGAUAAUGUACGUGGAUCCUUAAAAUAAAAAGCGAAAUCGCUUGGUGGCCCAGUAAAAUUAGAGAACAAAGAAGAAUUAGUUAUUGAUAUACAAAAGAGAAACACUCCAAAAUUUCAAGCAAAAAUAGUUUCAUAUACCAUUUCAAUUUUGUAAGGGGUGAGGUUUUGAAUUUCAAUAGUUUCCUCUAAAAUCAAAAGGCAACAAUUAAGUUAGAAAGAGCAAAGAAGACUUAUUAGUACCUUAUUAAAGGUAACAUUAUGGAACUUUCAAUUUCAUUACCUCACUCUUCAAUUUUUAUUGAGAUUUGUGCAAGAAUUUACCUAAAUAUUACCUAAAAUUGAGAUAUCAGAGUAAUAUCAAAUAGAAAAACUUGCCACGGUAAGCCAAAAGUCUAGUCAACCACAUGCAUAAAGCUAAAUAGAACAACUAACAAGAGAACAGAGAAACGCGUGGGUCCCUAAAAGAAAAGGCAAGCACAUAGAUGAAAAAGCCAUUACAUUUCGAUUUUACAUGUCAUUAAUUUCUGUAACACGGUGUGUGGCAGCAUAUGCACAAUCAAGUGAGGCAAAAGGGAUUCGAUUAUCGUGGCAGAACAUGAACGAGGACGCGUGAUGAAUAAUUCCUUCGAUAAAACGAAAAACAAACGCAGAGAAAAGAAUUUCUUAUAUGACAAGAAAUCAAAGAAAUCAAAGUAAUGUUUCAUUUUCCCUUCCCUACCUUUUUUUUGUUUUAUUUUUAUAGCAAAGAAUUAUAUCAUGAAAAGAAUCAAUUUAAUCACCUUUUCUAGCAGCACAAUUUUUCUUUUAUAAAAUUUGACCAGGGAGACAAAGAAUAAUUAUUCAUACCUUCAUCACUAAGGAAAUACUUUUCGGUAUGGCUAAGGUGAGAAAAGGCUUUCCACAAAAACUUGUACUUUGUAUUCCUGUAAAUUUUCUUUAAAGUCAAUAAAAACCAUAAGUUCUUUACAAUAACCAUCUCUUUGAUAAAAAAGUGCCGUAUUCCUUUAGAAUUUAAAACCGGCAAAACUGAAUCAGUGUCUUUGAAGAGACAUAAUGGUCGUAAUUCUUUAAAUGAGUUGGCUAUGGAAAUCGUUAUCCAAGAUUCUUUUACGCCAUAUUCUUUCGUAAACCAAAAUUCAUUUUGGAAUACUCUGUUGAGAAUGUCAAAUAAAACGGCAUUGAAGGAAGUUUUCAAAGGCAGAAUCUGCACUUGUCAGAUGGAUGAUCUGCACUUGUCAAAGACACAAUCCGCGUCGAACGAAUCGACACAUUUCCUUUCGUAUUCACAUAUGCAAUUUUUGAAAAAAUGUAGCUUUUACAUCUAUAAAUAACACUCAGUGUAUAAUGUUUUAUUCAAGAAAAGAAAACAAGUUUCUUCAUGGUAUCAGAGCCAUGAAUACGCUCAAGUUUCUUCAAGUUUCGCUGCUCUGUUUGUAACAAAAACAGAGAAAACCAAAAUCUUCCCACAACCAUUUUUUCCACCAUUUUCUUCCUUAAAAUCAUUCCUACCAUUAUAGAAAUCCAUGCCGAUCAAAAAACAAGCCACCCAUACGUAAAAAACUUGAGUUUACAAAUUUAUCAACAAUCUCAUAAAUUAGAUACAAAACAACGUGAUGUUAAAUCUCCAGAACUGCAGCAGUCUUAAAACGACAUGUCGUUUCUAUUCCAUCAGAACCGACAUAUCAUUUCUUUAAGCAGAGGCCAAACGACUUGUCGUUUUUUUUUUUAUCUAAAAAAGUUAUUUUUUCUUAUUUCAAUCUAGACGCCAAAAAAAAAACAAAAAAAUGGAGAAAACUCCAACUGAAUCUGAUCCUGUUGUCAUUCAAUCUGUUCAAUCUGAUGAGUAUUUAAUGUUGGAAUUAUCUUCACUGAGACAAACUACGAUAUUUGGUCUUAAAUAAUGGAGUUGCAUCUCGCAGAAAGAGAAAAACUCUCAUAUAUUUGUAGCAACACAAAGUCAUCUGAGGAAUCUUCAAAGGAAUAUGAGAAAUGGUAUAGUGAGAAUGAAAAGGUAAAAAAAUGGUUACUCAUAUCCAUGUCUCUGGAUAUCAUGAAGUGAUAUUUACGAAUUCCUACAGCCUACGAAAUAUGGGAUGCAUUAUCAAAAGCCUUCUAUGAUGGAAUCGAUGAAUUACAAGUUUUCACUCUAAACCAGAAGGCGUCUCUACCAAGAAAAAUUGACAGCCACUAUCUAAAUUCUACGGAGAAUUGAUCGAAAUAUUUUGAGAACUUGAUCACCGAGAUAAAGUGAUCAUGAAGGAUCCAGAAGAUGUUGUAAUAUACAAAAGGUCUGUUGAAAGAUUGAGAGUUCACAUUUUUCUUGUUGGGCUAGAUGAAGAAUUUAACCAAGUUCGUGGAGAAAUUCUAUGAAAAGAUAUUAUCCCAGACUUAGAAGAAUGUUAUUCUUUGAUCUGAAGAGAAGAUGUACGGCAAAACAAACUAAACAAGAAGGUCGACUCAGAAACGUUUGCUAUGAUAGCACGACAACAGCCUCAAAGGAAGCUUGUUGACAAGUCAUCACUCCAUUGCACUCAUUGUAGGAAGAAGGGUCAUAUGAAAGCACAAUAUUUUGAAAUCAUUUGAUAUCCUGACUGGUGGGAUACUUGAAAGAAAAACAUCAAGCAGGGAUAAAAAACUGCAGUAGCUGAAUCCACAUCCACUACAGAUCUUAGAAAAGAAUCUUCAGUGCAAAUCGCAACCUCUGUUAGUCCAGGUAAGGCCCUUAAAACUCUUAUACUUGUUAUUAAUAGUACAUGGAUAAUUGAUUCUGGGGCAACUGAUCAUAUGACUUUUGAUUCUCGACAAGUUUCUCAAUUGAUACCAUCUUCACAAAAACAUGUUUCCACUCCAAAUGGAACCACAACCUUAGUUAUUGGGGAAGGAUCUUUACGACUCACAUAUAAAUUAAAUUUAGACUCUGUGUUAAUUGUUCCAUCUUUAGAUUAUAAUCUUUUAUCUGUGUCUCAAUUAACCACUUACUUAUCAUGUGUUGUAAUUUUUUGGCCUGAUCAUUGUGUGUUUAAAGACAUCCAAACGAAGCAAACGAUUGGUUAUGGUAUUAGACGGGGCCACUUGUACUAUUUGGAGAUGACAUCAACAAACACUGGAAAGCUAAGCCCUGCACUAGUCGCAGAUAGUUCCAUAAAAAAAAGGAAAUCAGAAAUUUGGUUAUGGCAUAGACGUUUAGGGCAUGUGUCAUUUGGUUACUUAAAAAAAUUAUUUCCUAGUUUAUUUCUGAAAUUUGAUAUUUGUAACUUUAAAUGUGAUGUUUGUGAACUUUUAAAAAGUCAUCGAACUACUUUUCCAUUGUCCUUAAAUAAGAAUCAAGUUCCUUUUAUGGUAGUACAUUCUGAUGUAUGGGGGCCAUCGAAAGUUUCUACAAUUGGAGGUGCUCGUUGGUUUGUUACAUUUAUUGAUGAUUGUAGCAGAAUGACAUAGAUUUUUCUGAUGAAAUCGAAAGACGAAGUAAACUCUUUAUUUUAAAGAUUUCAUAAGAUGGUGACGACUCAAUUUCAGACACAAAUUCGAGUUCUACAUACUGAUAAUGGAGGCGAGUAUAUGAGCACAACAAUUCAACAGUUUCUGAAAUCACAAGGAACUGUCCAUCAAACCACUUGUGUGGGGACACCCCAACAAAAUGGCAUUGUUGAACGAAAAAACAGACAUUUACUAGAAGUUGUUCGAGCAUCACUAAUCCAGGCCCACAUGCCACUAUCUUAUUAGGGAGAAGCACUGGCAUCCGCAGCAUACUUGAUCAAUCGAACACCUUCAAGCUCCCUUGGAUUCCAGACUCUUUUCCAGGUUCUAAAUGAUGCAAUUAUGUCACCAAAUGUGCCGAAUUUACCCCCACAUGUGUUUGGCUGUGUUGCCUUCGUUCAUUUGCCGCAACAAGACAAAUUAUCUCCUCGAGCACUACGUUGUGUGUUUGUAGGGUAUGCCUUACAGCAAAAGGGAUACCGAUGAUAUGAUCCACCAUCAAGAAAAAUAUACAUCACCAUGGAUGUCGUCUUUCAUGAAGAUAUCAUAUACUACUUGUCAAAGCCUGAAUUUCAGGGGGAGUAUAAUGAAGAGGAAAUUCAUAAUCUUAUAUAUCUUCCACCUAAAGAAGAUCAAUCUUCCAUUGAGGUUGUAAACCUUCAAGAUACUGGAAAAGAAAAUGGUGGUGAUUCUCAGGCUGAGAUAAGUGAAGACACAUUUGGGGAGCAAAAUAACUUAGACACAACUGCAAUCGAGAAUGAGUCACAUGAAGAAAUACCUAACUAAUCGUCUGCAGAGGAUGUUCCUACCACAAGUCCUAGUCUAGUCAGAAGAAUUCUUCCUCAGCGUCAAAAUAGAGGUAUCCCUAAACCCACAUAUGAGCCCGACCUUUCUAGUAGAGUCAAAUACCCUAUGAUUUAUUUUGUGUCUAACCAUCGCUUGUCAGAAUCAAAUCAGUCAUUUGUGAAUCAAUUAUCUACUGUAUCUAUUCCUAAUAGUGUGCAGGAAGCCUUAAAAGACCCAAAGUGGAAAGCGACUAUGAAUGACGAAAUGUGAUCUCUUCAAAAAAAUCAAACAUGGGAACUAGUUGAUCUUCCACCUGGAAAGAAACCAGUGGGUUUCCGAUGGAUCUACACUAUAAAGUACAAAGCAGAUGGCUCUAUUGAACGAUACAAAGCAAGGCUCGUAGCUAAGGGUUACACCCAAACCUACGGGAUAGAUUAUGCCAAUAUGUUUGCACCGGUAGCAAAAAUUAAUACUAUUCGUAUCUUAUUAUCAUUAGCAGUCAACUUGGAUUGGCCAGUGUAACAGUUCGAUGUAAAGAAUGCUUUCCUCCAUGGAGACCUGUCUGAAAAAAUUUAUAUGGAUAUGCCACCAGGAUGUAGUGGACCAGAACGACUCAAUCAGAAAGUAUGCAAAUUGAAGAAAUCAUUGUAUGGGUUGAAGCAACCCCUAAGAGCAUGGUUCGGGAAAUUCACAAAGGCUAUGGUUCUUUUUGGGUAUAACCAAAGCAAUUCAGAUCAUACCUUGUUCAUUAAAAAAUGACAAGGUAAAAUCACUGCCCUCAUUUUCUAUGUGGAUGAUAUGGUAGUCAUAGGUAACGACGGGGAAGCAAGAGAGGCUCUUCAGAAGUACUUGUCGAGAGAGUUUGAGAUGAAGGAUUUAUGAGCCUUAAAAUACUUUCUUGGAAUUGAGGUUUCUCGAUCUAAGGGAGGAAUUUUCCUGUCUCAAAGGAAAUAUGCUUUAGAUCUAUUAAACGAAACGUGAAUGACAGCUUGUCAGCCUAUUGACACCCCAAUAGAAGAAGGACUGAAGUUUUGUAUUACCUCAGACUAAGUUCCAGUAGACAAAGGAAGAUAUCAAAGGCUGAUUGGAAGAUUGAUGUACUUGUCCCACACAAGGCCAGCUCUUGCUUAUGCAUUGAGUGUUGUAAGUCAGCUUAUUCAUAAUCCCGGAGAACAACACAUGAAAGCAGUAAUGCGGAUCCUAAGGUACCUGAAGUCAAAUCCAGGAAAAGGAAUCCUAUGUUCCAAAAAUGGAGAUUACAGCAACAUAGAAGUUUAUACUGAUGCAGAUUGGGCCCGGUCAGUUAGUGAUAGACGCUCUACCUCAGGAUACUUUACCUUAGUGGGAGGCAACCUUGUCACAUGCUGCUUCACUUGCUGCCAAUCCAGUUCAUCAUUCAAGAACAAAACAUAUAGAGAUUGAUGUUCACUUUGUGAGAGAUAUAAUUUCCAACGGCGGAGUGGAAGUAAGAUAUGUCCCUACUGAAUAUCAGCCUGCAAACAUCUUCACAAAAGCUCUUCCUGCUGAUAUGUUUCAACAGUUGCGAGACAAGCUACAUAUUCUUCCUAGAACAUUGCGCUUGAGGGGGCAUUAUGAAAAUAUUGUAGCAGAGCUACCAAACUUGAGUAAUACGAAUUCAAAGUUGUUAGAUGACAUGGCAGCACACUUGGCAUUCAUUGGUGUUUUGGAAAGUUAAAGUGAUCAACCUUAUCUCUUAGCUUAUCAUUAAUUCAAGCUGCACUUUUGUAUUUAUCAAGAUCAAGAUAAAGAUAACAAUUGUGCUAGGCUUGAUCUUAUUCUUGGCAUUAUCGUGUUUCCUGUAGAGCAUUAUAAAUGUAAUGAUUAUGAGAUGAAUAAAAUAACGAAAAUGUGUUUUGUUUCUUCUUUAAGCUCAUCUUUAUAAUUUAAGUUGGUAUCAGAGCAUGGCGAGCUCCAAUUCUGCGAAAUUAGUCAAUAUGAAUACUGUAAACCAAACACCACAAAUUUCUAAUUUUUUGACUCCUGUCAAAUUGGAUAGGCAAAAUUUUAUGAUAUGGAAGUCUCAAGUGCUACCUUCCAUUCGUGGUAACAAUCUUGAAAGCUUGAUCAAUGGAGCAAAACUUGUACCCACUAAAUUCUUGGUGCAAGUAGAAGAGGAUCAAACAGUAACGACUGUGGAAAAUCCAGAAUAUAUACAAUGGCUGAGACAAGAUCAGCUUUUACUUAGUUGGCUUUUGUCCACUAUGACUGAAUCAGUUUUAAGCAUAGUGGUGCAGUAUACAACCUCUUUUGAGGUUUGGAAUGCCUUGAAGACAUUGUUUGCAUCUCAGUCAAAGGCUAGAAUUUUGUAGCUCAAGAUGCAACUCCAAACCACGAAAAAGAAUGCUAUGACCAUGAGUGACUAUGUCAACAAAAUGAAAAAUUUAGCUAAUAGCCUGGCAAUGGCUGGAAAAUAUGUUACUGAAGAUGAUUUAAUUUCUUAUAUUCUUGCAGGUUUAGGAACUAAAUACGACCCUGUGGUUGUAAAUAUUACAGCAAGAACAAAUGAUUUAUCUCUGCCUGAAGUAUCCUCUCUUUUGCUCAAUCAUGAAAGUCGAAUGGAACAACUCUCAGCUGCUGCAAAUCUUGAGUCUAAAGGCAGUUUUAAUGCAAAUUUUGCAGGAGCUUCUUUUCACAAAAGGAAAGUUAUAAGAAAAGGCUUUAUGUCAGGAAGUUUAUGAGGCAAUGAACGUGGUAGAGGCAAAGGAAGAACCAAUUUUAGCCGUGGUGGAAAUAGGCCAACCUGUCAGAUAUGUGGCAAAUAUGGACAUUCAGGAUAUCAAUGUUUCUUCCGCUUUGAUCGGGGGUUCUCUGCAAGACAAGAGGCAACACAAGCAGGUCAAGCCUCUGCCUAUAUGGCACUCCCUGCUGAAGAAAUAGAUAAUGGAUGGUAUUUGGACAGCGGAGCAACACACCAUGUUACAAAUGAUUUAAACAAUCUGCAGAUUAAGUUAGAAUUUAAGGGAGGUGAGAAGCUGGUAGUAGGUAAUGGUAAAACUUUAGCAAUAUCUCACAUUGGCAGUGCACUUAUUUAUAUUCCAAACCAUGAACCAUUGUUGCUUAAUGACAUUUUAUAUGUGCCCAAAAUCACCAAGAACUUAAUUAGCAUUUCAAAAUUACUUUCUGAUAAUAAACUAAUGCUUGAUUUCUGUGACAAUGUUUGUACUCUUAAGGACAAAGUUCUGGGGAAGAAGCUGCUGCAGCGAAAAAUUGAAAGAGGCUUAUAUCGGCUACCAGUGCUUUCAAGACAAGCCAUUCUAUCUGAUUCAAAAAUUAUUUCCAAUAAAUCUUAUUAGUCUUCUCUUCCAUUUAGCUGUUUCAAUUCUAGCUCAACAAUAAGUUCUGUAAAUGAACAAGAAUUUAUUUCCAAUUCCAAGCCUAGCAGUUUUAUAAAUCUUUUGCACAGAAGGAUGAGACAUCAUCAUCUUGCUGUACUAAAACAAAUUCUACCUUUGUGUAACAAAACAAGUCAGUUAAAUAAAAAUCUCAUUCCUCAAUUCUGUGAUGCAUGUCAACAAGGAAAAAGUCAUAGGCAAACUAUCAAAGCAUCAAAUAGUAGAGCUUCAGAACCUUUAGAAUUAUUGCAUCUUGACUUGUGGGGGCCUGCACCUUUAAUGUCUAGAAAUGGCUACAAAUAUUAUUUGAGUAUUGUAGAUGACAACACACGUUUUACAUGGAUAUUUCCACUUAAAGUUAAAUUACAAGCGUUUGAAGCUUUUAAGUAUUUCAAAGUUCAAGCCGAAAAACAAUUAGGAAAGAAAAUCAAAAGUUUACAAACUGACGGUGGAGGAGAGUUUCAAGCAUUUACAAUUUUUUAAAAGAACAGGGUAUUAUUCACUGACUUUCUUGCCCACACACGCAUCAUCAAAAUGGUAGAGUGGAGCGAAAACACCAACAAAUUGUAGACACUGGUUUAACACUUUUGGCAUAGGCUGGCAUGCCACUCACUUUUUGGUGGGAUGCUUUUCAAACAUCUGUUUAUUUAAUUAAUAGAAUGCCUACUUCCAUCUUAGAAAACAAAUCACCAUUUCAAAUACUUUAUGAUGAAGAAUAGGAAUCAAUAUUAUACUAGGAUUAGUUUCCUUAUUAACUAAAGUUUAAGACUUUUAAAUUCCUUUCUAAUUUAGAAUUUUGUUUCCCUUUCAAUUUAGGAUUUUGUUUUACUUCAUGAAUUAGGAUAAUUAUUACUACUAUAAAUAGCUCCCUCUUGUAGCCUUUAAAGGCAGAGAAUUUUGAGUUUAAUAAUAUUUCAAUUUUCAAAUCUCUUUGUGAGUAUUUGAACAGUUAAUUCUCGGUAUUCUGCGAAAUCAACGAGUCUUAAAUCCCUAAGUUCGCGGUAUUCUUUUGAAUCAACAUGAAUUUAGUUGUUCUUUUAUUCUGGUAUUCUCUAGAAUCAACGGAAUAUUUUGAAUAUUAAACUUCCACUGCAUCACUUUACAAGAAAAUACCUGAUUAUUCUUUUCUAAAAGUUUUUGGAUGUGCUGUAUUUCCUCAUCUUCGAGAUUACAACAAACAUAAAUUAGAUUUUUGAUCAGAUAAAUGUAUAUUUUUAGGCUAUAGUACAGCUCAUAACGGGUAUAAGUGUCUCCACAAGUCAGGAAAAAUUUUUGUAAUGCGACAUGUUGUCUUUAAUGAAUAUGAUUUUCCUUUUAAAAGUGAUCCCUCCUUCAAAAUCUCAAAGAGUUAUCCAAAUCAUGAUUCUAGUACUCUCUUUCAGUCUCCUAUGUUUGCAGGUUUUGAAAGUCCUAGAGCCUAUAAGACUCUCUCGGUUAUUCAUGCAACAGACUCUCUACUAGAGUUGGUUCAUAACACAAUAGUUAUAGAUCAGGCAUCAAGUCAAGAUGAGGAAACCAAUUUUGAAUCCAACACCAAAAGCCCACCUGGAAAAGCCAACCUUGAAUCAAGCACUGAAAUCCAAGCAACUGAAAACACCACACAAUCUUUAUCUAUCCCCGCGUUUAUCAAUCAAGAAGCCGAUCACACAAUCUCUCAACCACCUAGUUCAACUCCUCAUUCUCAACAGCCAACACAUACACAAUCCACUCAUCCAAUGAUCACUCGUGCCAAGGCCGGCAUCUUUAAACCCAAACCUAGACUUUACCUAACAACCUCUCAUACCAAAAUAAGUGUACAUGCCAGUGUUAGUGAAGCUUUGGAAGAUCACAAUUGGCGUAAUGCUAUGACAGAAGAAAUGAAUGCUUUGGCUAGGAAUAACACACGGUGUUUAGUUCAACCUACUUCUGACAUGAAGAUUGUGGGAAAUAAAUGGGUUUUUCGGAUAAAACAAAAGGCUGAUGGUUAGAUAGAGCGAUAUAAGGCUCGGUUGGUUGCAAAAGGAUUUCAUCAGACCCCAGGAAUCGAUUUCAACGAGACUUUUAGUCCUGUUGUUAAAGUUGCAACAAUUCGAUUGGUGUUAAGUAUUGCUGUGAUGAAAAAUUAGGGUGUAAUACAACUGGAUGUGAACAACGCCUUUUUAAAUGGAGACUUAGUAGAAGAUGUUUACAUGAUGCAGCCUGAAGGCUUUAUCAACAAAGCACAACCAAAUCAUGUGUGUAAAUUGAGAAAAGCAUUGUAUGGGCUUAAGCAGGCUCCAAGAGCUUGGUUUGAAAAACUCAAGAGAGCAUUGAGUGACUGGGGUUUCACAAAUUCUAAAUUAGACACAUCACUAUUUAUUUUGCAGCAAGGAAGGGAUAUAAUAUUUGUCCUUAUUUAUGUGGACGAUAUUUUAAUAACAGGAAGUAAAGAAAGUUUGGUGCAAGAAGUUAUUGAACGACUUAAUUGUCAGUUUGCUUUAAAAGUGCUCGGACCAUUAAGCUAUUUCCUUGGUCUUGAAGCUCAUCGCACAGAGAAUGGCCUACAUCUUAGCCAACACAAAUAUAUUUGUGAUCUCUUGAAGCGCACAGAUAUGGAUGGCUGCAAGGAAACAUCUACUCCUAUGAGUGUAGUACCGAAACUUUCAGCUGAAGGUGGUAAGCAAUUUUCUGAUCCUACACUUUAUCGUAGCAUCGUUGGAGCCUUAUUAUACGUAACUAUUACUCGGCCUGAAAUUUCUUAUGCUGUUCAUCGUUUAAGUCAGUAUAUGCAAAAUCCUUUACAGCCGCAUUGGCUUGGGUGUAAAAGAAUCCUUAGAUAUUUACAAGGAACAGCUGAUUAUGGAAUUUAUUAUACUACCAAAGGAAGAAUGACGCUCACAGGCUAUACAGAUGCAGAUUGGGCAAACAAUAUUGAUGAUAGAAAAUCAACUGGAGGCUACUGUAUUUAUCUUGGCAAUAACUUAAUCUCAUGGAGUUCAAAGAAACAAAAUGCAGUAGCAAGGUCUUCAACUGAGUCAGAGUAUCAAGCACUUGCAAAUACCACAGCAGAAAUUUUAUGGCUUCAAUCUGUGCUUAAAGAGUUGCAGGUGCCACUAACUGAAAUUCCAAUUAUUUGGUGUGACAACACUGAAGCUGCUUCACUUGCUGCCAAUCCAGUUCAUCAUUCAAGAACAAAACAUAUAGAGAUUGAUGUUCACUUUGUGAGAGAUAUAAUUUCCAAAGGUGGAGUGGAAGUGAGAUAUGUCCCUACUGAAUAUCAGCCUGCAGACAUCUUCACAAAAGCUCUUCCUGGUGAUAGGUUUCAACAGUUGCGAGACAAGCUACAUAUUCUUCCCAGAACAUUGCGCUUGAGGGGGCAUCAUGAAAAUAUUGUAGUAGAGCUACCAAACUUGAGUAAUACGAAUUCAAAGUUGUUAGAUGACAUGGCAGUACACUUGGUAUUCAUUGGUGUUUUGGAAAGUUAAAGUGAUCAACCUUAUCUCUUAGCUUAUCAUUAAUUCAAGCUGCACUUUUGUAUUUAUCAAGAUCAAGAUAAAGAUUACAAUUGUGCUAGGCUUGAUCUUAUUCUUGGCAUUAUCGUGUUUCCUGUAGAGCACUAUAAAUGUAAUGAUUAUGAGAUGAAUAAAAUAACGAAAAGGUGUUUUGUUUCUUCUUUAAGCUCAUCUUUAUAAUUUAAGUAAAGGGACUUUUGCAUAGCCUCUGGUGUGUGUGUGAUUUCUCUUUCGUUUCCUCAUCAAAUUCUGUAAUUCUUGCUUCGAUAAAAAGCUUUUAAUCUCUUCUGUAGUGUGUGAUCAGUGCGUAAUCAUUUUGAGCAAUAACAGCUUGUGGGUUUUUCCUUCAAACAGUGUCGUUUUGGUCAGUUUGUUAGUUUCUGUGUUCGUCUGAUUCCAUUGCUCUUGUUCUCUGUUCUUGAUCUGUUCGUGGAAUUUUUCUUUGGUUAUUUGUUCUCAAAUUUCAACUGUAUAUAAAGUUUGAACUCUGAUUGCUUAUAAUGUAUUGAUUAAGAAUAAUCCUAAGAGUUCCCGAUUGAAAUUUUUAAUGACUAUUUUUAUUGUUUUGGAUAUACAAAUUGAAUUAAGAAAAAAUAUUGUCAAAUUCAGAGGAUAAGGGGAAAUAAUUAUGCUUCAAAAGGCCAGAGAUUAGAGAAUAAAGAAGCAUUCAUUACUCUAUCAAAAAAAAAAAAAAAAAAAAAGCAUUCAUUACUGAUAUACAAACUGCUUUUAUUUGGAUUUUGGAAGGGGUGAAGUUUUGAACUUCAGUUGUUCCUCUAAAAUCAAAAGCAGCAAUUAAGCGUUCUCAAUUAGAAAGAGCUAAGAAGACUUAUUGGUACCUUACUGAAGCUAACAUUAUGGCACAGUUGUUCAUAUAUAAUGGCUGCUCUGUUAUGCUAGCUUCUCUGUUUUUGCUUCUAUUUUUGCUUACAGUUUUGAACAUAAAUUCUUGCUCAAAUAACCCAUAAUUAAAUAACACUAAUAUGGCUCGUGAAAUCCCAUAAUAGCUAAUUACGCAACUUUCUCCUCCUCCUCAAUUCUGUCUUCCCCUGCUCGUACACUAAAUUCAAAAUUCAAUGCCCCGAAAAACAACACAAGAAAUCUUUGAGUUAAUUCGCGACCAGUUUAUAUAUAGUAGCAAUUGAAAAAGGAAAAAGAAUAAAAGAGUUCAUUAUUAUUCAGACCUUCACUUAUUAGGAAGUUUGUUCUGCUGUUGGGUGAGAUCAAGCUCUCAGCAUAUACUUCCACAUUAUACUUUCUAACAUUUUCUUGAAAGCCAUCAAUCAUAAAAUCUUCAUACUUUUUUCCAUCCUUUGGAUCAAUAAGUACAAAUUUCUCAUCUAAAACAGACAAAAUAAAAUCACUGUCCUUCAUGGAACAUAAUGGCUGCAAUGCCUGAACUGAAUUGGCUAAUGAAAUUUGAGUCCAGGAUUCUCUCAGCCCAUAUUCUUUCAUAAUCCAAAAUUCUUUUCUUUCUCGACAUGGAACAUAGUCUUCUUUUCUUUCUGGACAUAUGUCUCUGUACUUUUCUCUCUCUACUGAUCCACACUUUUUCAUACUUCUAACUAUCAUUUUGUUUUUUUUUUGUUAAGUUGUGAUUUAUUCAAUUAUUUUGUAUUUUUAAUGAAAAUUAUUUAAUAUUUAGUUAGUUUUGAUAUUGAUUAGUGAUUGAAAGUGUAUUUUAGAAGACUUCCGGUCUCUUGGAAAAAGGAAAAAUGGAGACGAAGAAGAAGUGUUCUUGAUUUUUUUGUAGGCAUUAAAGUUAAACGGUUUGAAAUGAUAUUUUGUUUUAAUUUCACUCAUUAAUCUCAUUCAGGAUAAAAUUAUAAAUGCAAAUAAAUGGGGUUUCAUGAGUUUUUUUUAAUAGUGUUAAAAGGUCUACUCACUAAAUAAAUAUGUUUAACCCAAACCAAUGCGAUUAGUAAGUUAUUGGGUUGGGUUGAUCAGGUUAAAAAUUAAAAUUAAAAAUUAAAUAAUUAAAAAAGGCAUAAAAACUAUCUGUUACUUGAAAAUAAAAAGAAUUUCUAAUAGUUAGUUCUAAUGUCCCAUAUCCAAAACAUCCAUAUUAAAUAAAUAUUAUAAGUUAGAAAUACAAUAUCCAAGAAAGAAUGAAUGAAAUACCAUAUUUUUGUUGAGAAUUAAGAGUGUGAUUUUAAUUUUGAUAUUGGAGUCUAAAGUGCCACGUUUAAAUAAUCUCUUUUAUAAAAUAAUAAAAAGAGAUUAAAAAUUAGGUUAGCCAUUUAGGCAUUCAGGGUUUAGCAAUUAAGGAUGAACAUAUUAUUGUUGUUGUUUUUUGUUGUUGUUGUUGUUGUUGUUGUUGUUAUUAUUAUUAUUUAUAUGUUUACUAAUCCAAUUUACGUAUAAGUACAAAAGUUUCAAAUAUUGUCUAUUAUUUUUUUAACAUGCCUAUUCCUUGUGGAUAAUUCUGUCUCAUCACUAAUGUUGUUUCUUGCUUACAAUUUGUAUAGCGUCUCAAAAUAGACAAUAGGGGGAUUUUGAAUUUUUUAAGUCUCAAUAUAGUCUCUUAUCUUGUGAGACAGAUUUUCUUUCAAUAAUUUGGAGGUAAACAUAACAUAACUUUUUGGACUAAAGCCUAGCUCUGCUAAUUAGUAAUUGGUGGUAUCCUUUUCAAGACCUGAGUCUUUAAAUUCGAGUUUUAUAUAGUGCGCAUGUGUAUUUAAUUAAUAUUUUUUUAAAAAAAUUACAUCAAAUACUAAUAUUCAUGACAUAAUUUAGUUCAUAAUGUUUUUUUAAAUACAUCGAAAAUAUAAUUUUUUAACAACUUAUAGGCAUGACAAAUUUCAAGAUAUAAAUAUCAGUCAAAAUAAGUGAAAGAAAUAAUGGUGCCAAUUCUAAUUUCUUAACUAAAUUAAUUACUGCAUGAGCCCCCAAUACGGCACGAGAGUUUGAUGGGCUAACUUGGCACAAGAACAAUAGUUAAUUGAUUUAAGAAAUAAUUCAAUGAAAAAUAUAAUUGAUAAGAAUUUAGUAUUGAAAUGAGUUUUUUUCGAAACACUGAAUUAAUGAUUAUUAAGCAAGAACAAUAAAAAAAAUAAAAUAAAAAAUAAAGAUUAACCAUUGAUAAGCUUCAACAAGAACUUAACACAACCCUCAAUCCUAAUUCAAAUUAUAAAUGUCAUUCAUAUAUUCAUUAUAAAUCAAUAACAAAGGUUAUAAAUGUUUAGAAAUUCUAGAGGGAAGGAAGCUAUCGCCGGGCAAUCAACAACUAAAUUUGAUGUAAUUGUGGCACAAGAUGGAAUAUGAAAACUACACCAUAAUUUCAAAUGCCGCCAUAGACAUUGACUUAUCUACAGUAACAAUGAUCUAAUUAAAAUUAAAAUAAAGUUUAUGGGCAUUUAUUAUAUUUGCCAUUCCUCAUUUGCAAAUAGGGAUAUAAUUAUAAUUUUACUUAGUCAAAGCAAUCAGUAAUUUUUAGGGGUGUUCAAAAUUCAAUCCGAUCCGCUCAAUCCGUCUGAUCCGUAGAAAUCCGAUCCGUAAAAAUCUGAUCUGUGGAUUGGUAGAUUGGAUUGAAUUGAAAAUUUGAUAAUCCGCAAUCGGUGGAUUGGGUAUGGAUCUACUUCUGUAAAUUCGUAAAAAUCCGUGAAUCGGCAAAAAAUAAAAAGUAUUUAUUUAUUAAAAAAUAAAACUUGUAAAUAUGGCAAUAGUACUUACUAGUAAAUAAAUAAGUUAAAAUAUAGUUACAUUAACACUAUAUUAUAUCUUAUCCGAUAAUAAUAAAAAAUAAAAAAUAAUUAAAUAAACAAAUAUAACUUUCUAAAUAGUUAAUUUUCAUGUACUGAUCUAAACGAAUGAGAUUUUUUUUUUUUCAUUUUGGUGUGUUAUGUUUUGAACUUUAAAUGUAAUUUUUAGUUUUAUUUAAACAAGUAAUUUAUUUAAAUCUUAUUUAAUUUUAAAUUUGAUCGGCAAUAAAAUUAUUUAUAUUAAUUUUUUUUUAUUUAGUUAGUUCGUAGAUUGGACAGUAUUAAAAAUUUUCAGUCCGUAAACCAAUUCGCAAAAUGGUGGAUUGGAUAUGGAUUGGGUCAAAUCCGCAUCCAAUCCGCAGAUGUAUGAAUUGAAUUUCACCAAUCCAUGAAUUGGAUUGGAUUAAAAAUUUAUAAUCCGCAAAAUCGUGGAUCAGAUAUGGAUUGAGGUCCAAUCCGUAAAAUUUGAUCCGGAAACACCCCUAGUAAUUUUCUUCAUUAUAGGAGUGAAGUAAAAACAUUUAGAUUUUAAUGUAUGUACGGAAAAAUUUAUCUUUAAAAAUACUUUCUUAAUGUGUGUAUAUAUAUUGAAAUACUCAAACCAAUUUUGGUUAUUAUAUAAUUAAACAAAUUUUAAAAUAUGAAAAAUAUAAUGUAGUUAUAGUGGAUAAACAAUAAGUGAGCGCAAUAUAAUUAAUCAAAUAUCAUGCCAUCAAAAGUUAAUUUUAGAAAUUCCAAAUCCAACAGCCAACACAAUUCUUUUAAAAAAAAGCUGACACAAUUAAUAAAAUUAGUGACAUGAAUUUCACACCAUUGAUAAUAAGCAAUUAGUAUUACUUUCUAAACUUGCUUCAACUGGUCGUUGAUGUCCGGGGUCACCAAAAGUAUAAGCAAUAAUAAGGGGCAUUGGGCAAGAGUGAUGAAUGUUUAGUCGGUGCAUUUGAUUGCUAGAUAUAUAAAGGGCCGAAACUUGAGAUUAUAUUACUUUUACAAAUUUUAAUCCAAUCACAUAUUUAAUGAAAACAAAAUGAGUUAGGAUACUUUAUUUAGAACCCACAUUUUAAUAAGGCUUCAUUUGAUGUAGUUUUUUAAACAGUGAUUAUUUAAGUAAAUUUUCCUCAAUAGAGUUUUUAUCAAACAAAUUUAUUUAUUUAGUUGUCGAUAAGAGUUUUUAUUAAAAAUUAUAAAAUUAUUUAAAUAAACAUGUUUUUUAAAAUUACAUUAUAAAAAUAAUUAAAUAAAAUUAUAAAAGUAAAAUAUAUUUUAGAUAUUUUAAUAUUUAAGAAAAAUUUUCAAUCUCUACUUUCAAAAGCUCAAAUUUUUAGCUUUUAGUUGUAGAGACAAAAUAUUUUAUUUAAUCUUUAAAAGUUAUGCUAAAAACAAUCAAAUAACUACAAAAAUUUUAAUAAGAGUAUAUAAAAUUAAAUGGUAAUUUUUAAAAACCUCCCCUGAGGUUUGGGCUUGUUGCAAGUAGAUGGCGAGAAUCCAUUUAUUUGUAACAAACCCCCUACCGUCAGUUAAUUUUUGCAUUAACCGUUAGUUGACUGUGCAAAGACAAUAUUGUCCCUAAUGACAGUUUGUAGACUGACAUAGCUAAAAAAAAUGCUGAGAUUGUCGGCACGAAAAUCACAAAUAAUUUUUUUUUGACAAUUUUGUCCUUGUUAAUUCCAAGAUUUACAAUGUCAUAAGUAAGGAUUAUGACUAUUUUACCCUCUUAAAAUUAUUGAUAAUUCCUUAAAAUUUCUACAAAAAAGAUAAAAUUAAAAACUUGAAGAAAAAUAAAGUUCUCAAGCCGGCUAACCAAACACAUAGAAUAAAAAAUCCAUCGUUUGACAACAAAAACAACUUUCCAUAAACCCAAACAAAAAUAAACAAGUCCCCAUUACUCUAAUUGGCUUUGCUUGGAGCUGUUACUAUUGUGCAUACAUUUCUAGGCAAAGCAAAAUGACCCCAUGAUAUAAACCUUAUAAAACAUGCCUCCACUAUUCUUAAUUUUGGUAUAAUAAUAAUAAUAAUCACAAAAAAUUAAUUGAAAACUUGACUAAUUAUCUUUGGUGGAGAAUUUUAAACCGAAACCGAUUCAGGAACCUUAAAUUGAUCAAAAGGAAGCUAAUAAUGACAAAAAAGUAACCGAUCAAAAAUCAUUAAGCAUAAAAAAAUAUUGAAUUUAAAUAACUAAAAAUGCCAUCGGAAAUUGAAAUUAAUUAUUUAACAUAUAGCAUGAAAACAAAUCUUCACUAUUGGUGCUAGGCGGCUGUCGUUUAGCUUGGUUCUAAGAGGUGGCAGUCAGUCAACUUCGAGACGGUGCGUUCGAAGUCAACUAAGCUGCAGCAGAGGUUGCAGGGGGCAGAUUGCAGCGAAGUCGCGGUGGAGCAGAGGUCGCGUCGCGGUGGAGAAGAGGUCGCGUUGCGCUGGCUUGGCUUCACGGUGGUGGGAUGGCUGGGCGGGCUGGCCAGCUGUGUGCGCAUUGUAUAUGAUUGUUUUUCACUUUUUUAAUAUUUUCUUGUGCAUUAGUUCAGAUUAGAUUAGUGAGUUUGUGUGUGUGUUUGCAGUUGAUUUGGUUAAGAUAUUUAGGUUAAAAUAAUUUUUUUUAAUAAAUUUUUUUUUUCAAAAUGUCAACAAUGCCCACAACUACCCAAAUGGCAACUAAGCAGAGUAAAAACGUAGGGGUUUUUUUUUAUAAAUAAAUAGAUUCUCGUCAUCUAUUUGCAACAAACUCAAAUCUCGGGGGAGGUUUUUAAAAAUUACCCUAAAAUUAAAUAAGCAUUUAUUAAUAAUCACUUUGGUAUACUUAUCUAAUGACCAUAAGUGUUUAUUUAAUCUCAUAAGUUCUUAUUUAAUCUCAUGAGCUCUUUUCAAUUUUUUUUGUUGUUUGUUUUUUAGUAGAGUUUUUGAAAAUUAAAUAAACUAUUUUGUCUCUACUAGAAAAAACUCAAAUUUUAGAUUUUUGUGAGUAAAUGUUUAAUUUUUUAAAAAAAUAUUAAAAUAUCUAAGAUAUCUUUCCUUUAUUUCAUAAUCUUAUUUCAUUUUUUCAUAACAUAACUUUCAAUAACUUACCUAUUAAAAUAAUUUCACAAUUUCUAAUAAAAACUCUAAUUGACAAUUAACAAUUUUUUUUUGUUUGUAAAAACUCUAUUUAUAAAAAAUCUAAUAAAAAUUCUAUUUAAAUAAAUUAUAUUUGAAAAGGUGUACUAAACCAACCUAAGAUAAAAACAAAAAUUUUUACAUCCAGACAAUUAAGCUUAAAACAAUUUCAAAUGAAUUUUAGACUAAUCAAAGUACAAUACGUACCAAGUUUGGUAACUUAUUGACAUCUUCUCAUAUAACCUUCGAUCAAGUCGAUUCUCACCUGACGACUAAUUGGUACAUCACCGUUGUUCUCUAUACUCGCAUGCAUCCGAUCACAAAUCUCACUCCAAUUGUCGUCUUUCUUCGGCGUUUUAGCACAUCCUUCUUGAAUUUCCCGCAUUUCGUUCCCUCCUGUUACAAGUCUCCGGUCAGGUCAGUUCUCUUGACGAUUAAUUCGGCAAAUCUCGAAUCUCUUCUCGCGUCGUUUCACUUCAAUUUUUUGUGUCUCCUUUCAGUUUUAGUGAUUGAAUCAAUUUUAUUGCAGUCUGAGAGAAAUUAAGUAAUGCUCUUGGAUUUAAAUUUUUUUUGCUUUCGACUUUAGAUCUCGAAAGUCAAACUCUGCUACGAAUCCUUAGAUUCUCAAUGUUUAUAAUCUUAUUUGUGUUUGACCAGGUAACUGGAUCGUGAAAUUCGUCGUUUUGUAUCAAUUCAAGCUUUCGCGAGCUCAUGGAAUCACCUGGUGAGUUGUGGUGAAACGUUAUCGUUUCAAUUUUCGCUUAAUUCUUUAUUGCAUAUUUUUUCUCUAACAUUUCAGUUUAAUUUAGAAAAGAAAGAGGACCCAAAAAGAGAGAGAGAGAGAGAGACUCUACCAUACUCAAUUCCUUGCUCAUUCUGAUUUGGCCUGAAUGUUGGCAUUGACUAUUAUUUGUUUUCAUUUCGAUUUAAUUCUCAUUUAGACAGUCUUUACUAACGGUCAAUAAUAGUUUAAGGAAAAUGAUAAUAGGGAUUCUGCAAUAAUCUUUUUAAGGAAAAUGAUAAUAGGGAUUCUGCAAUAAUCUUUUUAAGGGAUGUAUAACUUAUUAAUCAGAGUCCUGUUAUUAUGGUUUGACACUACUGACAUAUUGUGUUGGUAUUUAUUUGUACUUCCCUUGGUUGAAUUAUUUGCUGUCCCCAUGCCAUUCGAUAUGGUGCUACUUGGUUUUUGAUCAUCCAUGACGCUAUAUAUAUGUAAAGGAUGAAUUGAUUGUUUUGGCUUGUAUUCUCACAUUUUAUGAUUGAUCGAUGGAAAGGUCUUCAUGUAUUAAAUUCAACCUCACAAGCGUAAGAUUGACAGAUUCUGGGCAAAUUUUCAGGAAAAGAAACUAGACUUCAUGGAAGCAAUGAAGCUUGAAAUUGAACGUCUGCAGCUGAAAGGGAUAGAGCUUUAUUGUCAAUUGGAACUGAUCCUGCCUCUAUAAAUCCAAAUGUAUUGCUUGAUGAAUCUUACAUGGGAAGACUGUCGAGUAGCAACCACUCUUGCAUUACUUGGCCAAACUUCCCUAGAAGACAAAAUUGUUGGUGCAAUGGCCUUGAGAAUAGUGAUGAUAGUGUUUUAGACUUCUGGAAUAUUACUAGAAUCGGAGAGAGUUGUUCUGGUGGCGCGUGCAAGGUUCGUGCAGAAACUAAGGUGCCUGCUCUUGCUUCCUCAACUGCAGCAUCUGUUGGAGCUUCACAAUCCCCUUUGUUGUGUUCUCUGUUGUGUUCUCUGUUGUGUUCUCAAUGUGAAAGAAAAGUUUGCAAAGUUUGUUGUGCAGGAAGAGGAGCUCUACUGUUUUCAAAUUAUAAAUCAAGGGAUGUGACCAACUACAAUGGCUUCUCAAGUCAGAGUGGAUCAAGCCAUGGAAGCCAAGUUGAUGUAUCUACCAGUCGUUCACUAACACUGGAUGGCGUUAUCUGUAAACACUGCUGCCAUGAGAUUGUGCUUGAUACAAGUUCACAACACCAUUACAAAGGAUUCAAAAUUCCCACACGAAAACAUCAAUGUACAGAUUAUAAACAAUCCGAAUUGGACACAAGAAAAACCCUUCAAUGGAUUGCUUGCCUUCCCAAUGCUAUAUACUGUGCAAACUGCGCACUGUCCAAGAAAAUGUUUUCAAUUUAGUGUAUUUUCAAAAUGCUUAUUUUCUCAGAAUAUAUAAAAAAAAAAAAAGAAUUCUUACAUGUUUCAUCAGCAUGAUUAAAAUCAAAGAAGAAAGCGAGACAUAAUGUCUCUGACAUAAUAAAAUUACAAAAAUUUAAAAAAAAAAAAGUUAAAACAUGUAAUCUUCAUAAGCAUAUAAUAAAAUAACACUUCCACAAAUUACUACAAUUUCAUGCAGUAGAGAUUGAAGAGUUGAAUUCCACUUAUAGACACCGACCUCUUAUUUUGUCUAAUGUUAACAAUGAAAAUAACAACAGUAAUGAAAACAACAACAGAAUACAACAACAGAAAACAACAAUCCGCUCUGCAAAUUCUCUUGGGACUUGGUUCCAAUUCCUCUUCAUCCGAAGUUCCACUCGAAUCAAAUUCACUUGCAGCAGUUCCACUCGCGCUUGGCAAAUCAUCCAAUUUCCAAACUUCGGUAGCAAAAUUGAGAGUAAAAGUGUUGGCUUUGGUCUCGCUGGGAUUUGCAUAUACUGGACAUACUCCGUAACGUUUUACCUUGUGACCCUUUUGGUUUUGGUAACAAUUAUUGAAGAACUUAAGUGAGACAGUUGUAUGAUGGUAACCAUCAGGAAAGCCAACAUUCAAGCAAGGUUUAAAACCAAGUAUGACAUGAUCUGAAUCAAGGGAGUAUUUAUUUCUAACACUUGUGGUUGCGGGCCCACUGAAACCUAGAUCAACAUGUUUGGUUUCAGAGAGAGUCUUUAUUUCUAAGUCGAGUUGAGAGCGGCCGAAAACAUUGCAGCAAUAACAAGAACCAACUUUCUUAAAAUUAAGAACCGCACAAAAAGCAAACCCGAUUAAGUUUCUGCAAGAAGAGUGCGGUGGCAGUUGAAUACCUAUCGAAGAUCCUGAACUUUGAUUGUUGAACCAGUCAGGAAUUUCGCUCCCAGGUAAAACAAUUAGGGAUGUCCUGAGUUCAGAAAGUUUCUGUGAAAUGACAUUUAAAAAAAGAAAAUUGUAAAAUGAAAACCAUGAUUUCAGAUAUAACAAAGAGGGACAGAGUAAACAAGAGAGGGAACUUGAUGCGUUCUAAAUGUUCCAUUUUCUCCAAGAUUUCUGGGAAACGCUCAAGGUUCAAGCAGCCAUGAAGAAAAAGCUCAACCAAAGAUUUCAAUUUACAAAACCUAGUUGAAAUCCUCUUCAGCCGUUCGCAAUCCCUCAAAUCCAACUUUUCAAGAUCAGUUAGGCACUCUAUUGAUGAUGGAACUUCUUCUAUUGCAGACUGGCUUAAGUAUAGCCGUGUAAUUUUCCCAGAAAUCUGUGGAAACUCUACGAGAUUAACACAAUAGGAGAAAUUAAUAGUUACUGGACAAACAAAAUGAAGAUUGCUUGGAAAAGACCUAAGACUUUUGCAGCCCACAAAAUCCAACCUACUGAGAUACUUGAAAUUCUGGAUAGAUGAGGGAACACAAGCCAUUUCUCCUUCCCAAAUUUGCUCAACUUUACUAAAACGCAAAUUCAGUCCAACAAGGUUCUUUGGCUUGAAAUUUGAUGGCAGUGUCCUUAAUGGAUAUGUGUCCCAAUGAAGAUAUCUCAAUUUUUUAGGAAGAUAAUCUAGGCCAUUUGGAAGCUGCACUUUAGAGUACGAAAGUUGCUCUUCAAUGCUCAUACUUAGAAGCUUUUCAAUCUCAUACUUAGGUACAUAAAAUUUGAGCAAUCUCAGAUUAGACAUAUUUGUGAAGGCUCCGGGGUCUAAAUUGAUGCCUUUUAUUUUGGACAAAUCCAAAAAUAUGCCUUCAAUUGCAUCGGUCCCCUUAUUAAAAAAAAAAAAAAAACAAAGAAUGGGUAAGCCUAAAACAGAAAAGAAACAUUCGUAAACUUUAUUAACUAAGAGCUCCUAAAACAAAACAAAUUCUACGAUCUUUGAUCUUAUUUUUUUAAUAUAUUAAAUAUCUAUAUGCGAGAAAAGAAAAUUUUGGGAACCAUUGCAAAAUUAAACUAACCGAAAAAAAAAAUCAAAAUUUCUCUAAUUUACAAACCUGUUAUCUUACUAUCUAGAAGUUGAGAAGACAGGGCCUAUUUGAUUGGUAUAAGAUUUCGAUUUUUUUUUUAGUCCAUAGAAUCCAAAAUGUUAGUUCAAAAUUAGGGAAAAAAAUGAAAGUUAUUUUUUUUCCACUAGUUGUAAUUGUAUCCAAGUCAAAUUGAGAUAUGACCCUUUUCGAAAGGAUUUAAUCAUCUUAUAGCCUCCUUAAAGGAGUGAUUGGAGGCCUAACUAGGUAGGCCAAUCAGUCCAUUUUAUUAGCGACUAUUGCUUAAAAACAUUUAUACUCUAAAACACACUUACUUUUUUGAAAAAAAAAUAUAAUUAUAUUGAAGUAGAACCAGGUGGGCCAAUCCUCAUGGCACUCACUUUGUUCUGACACUCUUCACUAAAUUUGAAAAAAAAUAAAAUUAUACUCUUCACACUCUUAUUCAACAUUCCAAAAUUGAUAAAAUCUGGAGUUUUCAUUAAAAAUUUAAAAUUUGAAGACUUGUUCUCUUGACACCCUCAGUCAUUAAUUUUACCUAAUUAUGGUUUUUAUGAUUUUGGUUGUUUUGUUCAUAAAAAUGAUUUUACUAAAGGAUGUUCUGGUAAUAAUAAAAUUUAUAAAAAAAAACAUGGUUGUGCUGGUAUGAUUGGAAAAAUAUGAGUGCAUAACUCCAAACAAAUAAAAGAUAUAUAAAAAAAAAUGGAGGAUUCUUACCAUAUUAUGCUUUAGUACGCGGCGGAUUUCCUUAGGAUCCCACAACCUCUUGCGUUUGCCUGGCUCUUUCUCAGAUUCUUGGCGUCGCCCCAUUUCUUGCAAUAUAUCAUGCAUUUGCAAGCGGUUAUAUGACACUGUUAUGAGUGACUUAUCAACAAGGACAUCCAGUCCAACAGACUCAGAAUCAUCAAGAAUCCUUGCCACAAAAUCUUUAUCCUCUCCCUCAAAGAAACACGCAAUAUCUAGAAAUAUGCUCUGCACCCUGGGCGUUAAUUCAUCAAAACUAAUCUUUAAUUUCUUAUAAAUAGCAUGAAUAUCAGAUUCACAAAUCCGAUUUAAGUCGUGCAAUACUUUUCCCCAAUGGCUUUUCCCCUUGAGGGAGGAACCCAACACUUUAAGAACUAAUGGAUUGCCAUCAGCAUACUUUACAACUCUCCGUGAGUCAGGUUUGAAAUCUUCAGGACAAUGCUUUUCUUUAAAAGCGAAGUUACAAAAAUGCUCGAAAGCCUCAUGAAAAUCCAUUCCAUUAACCCUAUAUAUUUUCUUCUCCUCCACUCCAAAUUUUUCGAGGACUCCUUUAUCCCUAGUGGUUACAACAAUUCUACUUCCUGGAACAAAUUGAUCAAGCUCUCCAAUCAGACCCUCUAAUUGUCCAACUUCAUUCACAUCAUCGAGUACUAUCAACACCUUCAUACGCCGGACCCUCUCUUUAGUAAAAUGUGGAAUAUUGGCACCAGCUACUUCAAGUUUUUCGCUUAAUAUUGUUGAAAGCAUUUCCUUUUGUAGGUCUUCUAGGCCACCCUCUGUUUCUGAUUUUCUCCUAACAUUUUUUGCAAAGUAUUUACCAUCAAACUCACCAGAGAAUUGAUUGAAAAUAGCUUCAGCAAGGGUGGUUUUGCCGAUACCACCCAUGCCCCAAAUUCCAACAAUUUGGACAGUAUCCGACAAAUCCAUACACAAAAAUGGUUUAAUCUGCUCAAUUCGUGAAUUUAAUCCAACUAGGCCGUUGGAUGAGUCCGUUGAGACUGUUAUUUUUUCCAACUUCUUCAAAACAUCUUCGACAAUUUUGUUUACAAGUUCCGCAUCGUGCCUAAUAUAAAGGUGCAAAGAUGCAAAAACAUUGAGUCAAAUCGGGCCAACACAGAAACAGAGAUAAGAUGAAUUAGGAAAGAGAGUUACCUGAAUUUCGUGGAUUCGUGGCCAGCAAGACCGGAUGUUUCUCUCAGUGCAUCCCUCCACCUCUGAACCAUUUCUGGCUUCUCUUUGAACUGUUGUUCGAGCUUACCAAAGCCGACCCCAAAAAUCCCAGUUUGAUGCCGCACAUCGGACGGACUUACGCCAUAGAAAACCGGAAUAAUGAUUUGGCCGUUUGUGUGCUUGCAUUCAAGAAUCUCGACAAGUUCAUACAGGCACCAUUUUGAAGAAGCGUAGUCCGUUGAGAAAAUGACCACCGAAAUUUUUGAACCUUGGAUUGCGUUCAAAAGGGCAGGUGAAAUCUCAUCUCCGCGCCUAAGCUCUUCAUCAUCAAUAAAUGUUCUGAUUUUCUUUCUUUUAGACAAAGCAUCAUAGAGAUGGCAAGUAAAGAUCGCACGAGUGUCCUCCCCUCUAAAAUUGAGGAAGACUUCAUAAAUGCAAGGAGAAGAAGCCAUGAAGGAAAUAUUAGAAAUUUGGUGACAGAAACAGAGAAUUAAUCUUGAGAGCUGAGAGAGGAGAUGUAAGAAUGAACAUGUGUGAAUAUUCUUGCGAGUACAUAGUAAAUAAUUGAAUGGCUCGAGCUUUCUUAGUUUCCUGGAAAUUUCCUGGAGCUUUCGUAUACAUGAUUUGUCAAGUCAAGAAACAUAGUCAUGAUAAUGGGGCAGACCAGGAAGAAAAGGAAAUUGGAAUUUUGUACAAUUUCUCCAGCGAGGAACUUUCACUGUCAUUACCUCACCGUUACAGUUUGGAUUAGGGUAAUUUUUACCCCGCACCCAAAUGUUUUGACAUACAGCACAACGCACCCAAUUCUUUUGCCCAUGAGCACCGCGCACCCAUUUCCGUUUAUUUUUCAGUUAACUGUAACAGAUCAGGGUAAAAUUGGAAUAACGCAUCAAAAUUUAAAAAUAAAAAAAUAGGUAAACUCGAUGUUUGCGCCAAAAUAAUUUCACAUCACUGUGCUUAUGUUCACUGCGUUUGCGUGUGAGACCAAGAAGCAUGGCCACACCUCCAUUGAUGCCAAAAUCGAGGAGGUGGGUGAAGAAGAAUUGGCGCCAAAAUCAUUCACAUAUGAUGUGCAAGGAAAUUAUUUCAGCCUUUAAAUACUUUUUUAUUACAGCAGCAUCAGCUAUUGCUCUGUUUCGAAGAUCUGCUCAAUUUCUAAGACAAUAGUUGGUUUGAGAGUUUAAGGGAAGUGAAUCCACUGAGCGUGCUAUUGAAGAAGUGGAGGUCAGUUUCAUUUCUUGCUCAAUUGUUUUAAUUUAUUCCAUUUUGUUUGCAUGUCAAUUAUUUACACAUUUUUAGCUGGAUUUUGCUUAUCUAUAAAACUUGAAUCAUUGUUAAUCAAAUCAGCUAUAAUUUACGCCUCAAUGUGGUUUGUAAGUUUAAGUUAUGUUGGAUUAUACCUGAAUAAUGUGGUGUUUGCGUUAUUGAUUUCAAUUUCUAUUGAUGAUUUUGAGUAUACAUAUUAGUGGAUGAAAGUUUUUAAUUAGGAUGAUUGGUCACGCAUAUAUGUCAUAGCAACUGUGUUUUUUUGGGUUAUGGUUGUACUGUAGAUCAGUAGUAGUAGUGAUUUGGAUAUAAACGCUAGUGCUUUUAUUGUAAAUGAUAGUGAUGAAGAUCCAGUGUUACAGAAUUUGAUGUAAAAGUUAUUGGUUUUUGGCUAAAUAUCUUAGAUAAAUAUGAUGCUCAUGCAAUCAAAUCCAAUGCUUAUGCAAUUUACACCAUGUUUAUGAUAAGUAAUUAAAAAAAUAAAUGACUAUUCCAGGUGAAAAUGGAUGAUGAUGAUAUUACAACUGUUCUUUGUACAUUCAAGGGCAAGACAUAUAAUGUUGGUGUAAUUGAUCCAGAUAAGUUUAGUAGAGUUUCUGUAAUUAACAAGGUUUUAGUUAGAGUCUAUGGAAGAAAGAUGAGGCCUGAUGAGAAGUUUACACUAAGUGUUUGGGUACCAUGGGUCUAUAAGGAAGUAGAGAUUAUGUCUGAUCAUGACUUAAUAUUCCAGCUGAGAGAGCAUAAUAAGAUGUUGUUCUACUGCAUGCAAUUGUAUAUUGAAGAAAUCCAUGUACCUCAUGAGUUUGUACCUAGAAGGGCUUUGUUUCAGCACUCAGCAGAAGAAAGCUUACAAGGGUAUGCUGAAACAAACUUUCCAGCCACUACUGACCUGCACAAACCUUAUACACAUGCUACAUCCACCAACACAAAUCCUUAUGAAAAUGACAGUAAUGACCAUUCGAACCAUGAACCCCCUGUCAAGAACUCCAGCAGCAUAAUGAUGCAUAAUGUUGCACUUGAUAGCAUCCAAUCACAGACCAAACCAGAUACCAACCCUGACCUAUAUCAAGACUUUUUGGAUACCUAUUUCAGAUCAUCACCACAACAGAAAACACCAUCAGCUGCCCAAACUAAUGCCGAAAAUAGUGAUAGUGAUAACACAUCUUCAUUUGGUACAAAUAAGACUCCUACUGAGCAGCUUCAACAAAACUUUGCCAUCUCUUCUGAGUUGUCCCCUUUAUUGCAGCAACAUGGACAUCAUGCAUCCCAAAAUGAACCUAUACCUUUUCACCAACCUGAGUUCUCAUCUCAACCAAUAACUCAAAACCCUCAGUCACAAGUUGUACAAGCAGAAAACUUCCAGCAACCAGAAGCCACUACACCAGCACUAGUAGAUUAUAACUCAGAUGAUAGCCAUUAUAGUGUAACUGAUAGUGAGGAAGAUCCAGAUCAUCCAUUAGGUGCUCCAAACAUUAAUAAUACUCCUAGGAAACCUUCUGUUAAUGUUGACUUAGGCUCUAUGCCUUCUGAUGAUAGUGAUGAAGAUUGUAUGCUAUCUGAUUGUGAGAGUGAUGACAAUGAGUUUGGGGAAGAAUCUGAUGAAGAGAUUGAUCAAGUGCUGGUCAGAAUGGAUGCUGUUAUGAGAGAGAACAUGUACAUUCCUAGUGAUACACCUGUUCAAUUCUUUAUUGGGCAGUGUUUUAGGAACUUCAGGCAGCUGGCAUGGGCAAUAAGGACUUAUGCUGUGGAAAACAAGUUCAAGGUUUAUAAGCACAAGUUUGAAAAAUCCAGAGUAACUGUUGGAUGUAAUUAUUUCAGGUGCCCAUGGUUUUUACAUGUUGCAAAAACUAGAUUUGGACAAACCUUUAUUGUUAGGAGGCUUCACAACGUACAUACAUGUCAGAGAGACUUAAAGAAUCCUGAAUGCACUGCAGAGUUCAUUGUUGCCAAGUUUGCUGCAACUAUAAUUGAGCAUCCAGAUACAAAGGUUGGGUGGAUUCAAAGUGAACUUAGAAGGAUGUAUGGAGCUAAGAUACACAAGUAUAAAAUUUAUAGAGCAAAGAAGAAGGUUUUACAGAGACAAUGAGCUGAUUAUGAGUCUAGUUACAUGUUGAUCAGAAAUUAUGCUCAGGCCAUACUUACUAAGAUGCCACAGGCCUUGGCAUUGGUUAAGGUUUUCAGGAUGCAUGGUCAACAACCUCAAACUCACUUUGACAGCACUGUUAUAUCUUUCCAUGCCCUCAGAGAUGGCUUCAACCAAGGUUGUAGACCCUUCAUUGGUAUUGAUGGAUGCCAUUUGAAGGGUCCAUAUAAGGGUGUUCUUUUAUCAGCAGUUGCUAUUGAUGCCAACAAUGGAAUCUUCCCACUUGCAUUUUGUGUAUGUAGUGUCGAGAGUACAACCAGCUGGACAUGGUUUCUAAGCCACUUUAGGGAAUUUUUACAAGAUACAAGACAACUGACCUUUAUGUGUGAUAGGCAGAAAGGAAUUCAGAAUGCUCUUGCCUUAGAGUUUCCUAAUGCACAUGUUAGAUUCUGUGCUAGACACAUCUUAGCAAAUAUUAAGUUAAAACAUCCUCAAUCUGACUUUAAAGCAUAUUUCUGGGCAGCAGCAAGAGCAUCAAACAGAAGGGCAUUUGAUGAUGCUAUGCAAAACAUAAGAGCAGCACAUGAGGGUGUAUAUGAGACUCUUAGGAGGAUACCACCAAAUUUCUGGUCAAGGCAUGCCUUUGACAAUAAUUGCAAGUCUGAUCAUUGCACUAACAACGUAACUGAAUCUUUUAAUGCAUGGAUUGGGAUUCAAAGAAAGUUGCCAAUAAUCUCAAUGCUGGAGUGGAUUAGGAAGAAGCUGAUGAAAAGAAUGAUUGGAAGAAGAAAUAAGGCAGAGUCUUGGGACAGUGAUAUACCAAGAAGAAUUUAUGCACAAAUGAUGAAGAAUUUACAGAUUGGCAGUGCAAACCCUAUCUGUAGAGCUAGUAAAUGGCUUUAUGAAGUGGAUGAAAAUACCAAGACUUAUAUCGUUGAUCUUGAACACCAUAUGUGUGACUGCGGACAAUGGCAAGUUAGUGGGAUUCCAUGUGUACAUGCAAUGCCUUGUAUUGUGAAUAGUCAAAAAGAUCAAGCUCAGUUCAUUAGCCAAUGGUUGAAGAAAGAUACUUACCUAAGGUGUUAUUCUGGAUUGAUUAAACCAAUUCCAGAUAGAACGUCAUGGGUAGAUGCUGGUGGUGAUGAAAUACUGCCCCCUUUAGUGAGAAGACCACCUGGACGACCUAAGAUGACAAGAAGAAGAGAAGCUGAUGAGGUACCAGCACAUAAUAAACGAUACAAGAUGCAAUGCACUAUUUGCAAGGGAUUUGGACACAACAGAAGGGGUUGUCCUGUUAACCCUCAUAAUGCUCACAAGACAACAAGACAAUAUAAGGUGAGUGUGUAUGCUUGUAAGAGAAUAUUCAAUUAUUUUUUGAACCAUGUUCCUCCCAUGUGAUGACAGCUAAUGUGCCUUGUUUGUUUGUGCUUUUUUAUAGAAUAACCUGAAGAAGCACGUGACAAGGACAAAUGGGGAGCAAAGUGAAGGUAUAAGAGUAAUUUACUAAGUUAUAUUACUAUAUUACUUUACAGCUGUAUUAGAUAAUUAUAUAGUUGUGUAUCACCAAACUAUAUUAAAUUAACUUAUUUAUUUAACGUUGCUUUAUUGGUAAUUUAUAAGGCCAAGUUCACGGAAUUACCUCAACUAUUUUGGAAAGCCAAGACAAUGACAUGGUCCAAGUAACUGUCUCAGGCCAAAACAUAACAAAGAACCAGCAGACUGCAUCUAACAAACGCAAGAUUGGCAAUCAAGCAGGGCCAUCAAAAGCAAAUGAAGUCAUUGGCAAGAGCAUGAAUGGGGUCAUAUCUGUAGCUCCAUGGGUAGGUGAACAGGGAAGAAAAGUAAUGUCAGCCGCUGGAUUAACCUUCAGCAAAGAGGAUGAAGUCGGCAACUAUACUGAAAUGAAGCAUUUGGACAAAGGGAAGGCACCAGCCUUCCCUUCGUAAAGGGUAAAACCAUAGUUUUCUAUUGAUAUAAAUUAAUAUUGGUUUUGGAAAUGAUAUUUAUAAUUUGUAACUUGUUUUGUAGUGAUUCUUUGGCUAUGAUGGAGACAUUGGCAGCAAACUUAUUAACAAACAGUGGAGGCAACAUUAUCAUUUUUUGACACCUUCCACAAUGCCACAUCAACCCACCAGGCACAAGGUUAAGGUUAUCUGGAUGCUGAUUUCAUUAGGAUCAAGUGGCCAAGUAAUGACCAGGCAUGUCAUUGUUUUCUUUUUCUUUUUUAUUUUGGAGCUGAAAUUGGUGGAAGUUGUUGGACAUUAAGCUUAAGCAUUAUAGAGCUGGAAGCUGUGAUGACCUACUAUAAGUAUGAUUGGAAGGGUUUAUGGCAUUUUGAAAGUUUUUGGGAUUAAGAUACAUAUAGGACUGAUAUCAACCAAACCAACACUUUUUUUUUUUGUUUUUUGGUCACAUGUAUGUAAACACCAGAUUGGAUGUGACUAACAUUGUAAGUUGCUGCCAAUAUGCAUUUAUAGAUAAAAUAACUUAUUGCUAUUAUUGAUAUCAUAUUUGAUUAAAUGGUAUAUGUCAAGAAACGAAUGCAUUUUAUUGAUCAUAAGAUUUCAUUUUACACAUUGUUCUAGCAUUCCUUACAGUACAAUACAAGCAAUACAAGUAUAGUUAUCACUAUAAUCGUGAUUUGAUACUUCUUAUUUUUAUGAAGUAAACCUUCAAUAUUGAUGAACCUGUUGUGGAAGUCCUCAAUGUUAAAUUGUUGAAUCUCACUUGCCCUGUCUGCAGCUUCUUCUUCAAACCUUUGUAACGCUGCUUCAAUUUCUAUAGCCUCACCUGUAGAUGGUUUCCACCAUCUAAAGAAACCACAAGAUGGGUCAUUAGGGCAUGUGUAAUAUAGUUUGUUGGGGUUUGUUUUUGAUUCUGACACUUUGAUUUCUGCCCUUCUUCGACAGUAGCAUACUGUGUUAUAGAACUUGAUGAUGCCCCCAUUGAUUUUAGGUAAAUCCCUUCUUCUGUUAUAAGUUGAUGAACUUGAUGCAUUCCUUGAAGUGGACAUUUUCUUCAAAUUUCCAAUGUCGUGUCUGUUAUAUUCUUUUUGAAAUACAGCACAACGUAUCUGAACUUCAAGUUGUUGUGCUUGUUUUGUGUGUGAAUGAAGCUGCUGUUGAAGUUGUAUUGUUUCGGUGGGUAAAACCAAAUGUUGUACUACUGUAAGUUGUUGCUGAGUAAAAAAAAUGGUGGAGUUUCCAGGUGAGUCAAUGAAAAUCACUGAGGUGUGAAGAGGGUAGGAAUUUAUAUGUGUUAAACAUCACAGCUUGUGGUGAUGCAUCAGCUCAAAUUUAUCAAUUUCUUUUACUGUUCUUGUAACCAUAUAGCCGUUAUUACUGUUGCUCAGAUUUUAUAGCCGUUGGAUUUUUGAUGCGCAUGGUAAUAAACCAAUAUGCUAAGGGCAAUAUAGUCAAUAUAAUUUAACAGUUAUAGUUGGUCUUCGUGUGUAAAUACACCUUUAAAUAAUGGCCAGUGGUAAAUUCCUUAGUUCAAUGACUCACCUGGAUGCAUUUGAAUUCAACGCAAGGGUAUAUUUGUCAUUUAAUCAAAAUAUAGACUGAUCCGUUACAAUUAACUAAAAAAUAAACAGAAAUGGGUGCGCGGUGCUCAUAGGCAAAAGAAUUGGGUGCGUUGUGCUGUAUGUCAAAACAUUUGGGUGCGGGGUAAAAAUUACCCUUUGGAUUAUGAUUUGAGGGUGCAAGUAUUUACCUAGAGUUUACCUCCGCACUAAAUUCUUAAGUUUUGAAAAUUAUGAGACCUUUAUAUUGGGAGAUAUUGUAAUCGAAUCAAAACUUAAAUUUUUUAUAAUGUUAAUAUUUAAUCUUUUAAAAAACAAUAACCUCGCCGUUACAGUUUGGAUUAAGAUUUGAGUAAGUAUUUACCUAAAUUUUACCUCCGUCUGUAAAUUCUUAAGUUUUGAAAAUUAUGAGACCUUUAUAAUCGAAUCAAAAUUUUGAAUUUCAAUAUUAUUAUUCUUUAAAAAAAAUUUUGAGAUAACAGAGUGAUUGAUAAUAUAGGAGAACUUGUCUAGGCAAGCACAUGUAUACACAGAAACGUGAUGGAUUCAAAAAGAAAUUAAAGUGAUAAUGCGAAAUCGCUUGGUGGCCCAGUAAAAUUACGACUGAAUUUUUUUUUUUUUUUUUACAAAAUUCAAGCUCAUAAAUGACAAAUUUCAUUUCCCUUUCACACGUCAUUAACUUUUGUAACAUGGUGUGUGCAUCGUCAAGUGAGGCAAAAGGGUUUCAAUUACAGUUGGAAAACAUGAACAAGAAUGCAUAAUGAAUAAUUCCUUCGAUAAACCGAAAAUUAAGCACAGAAUAAUCCUAAAAUUUAAACUCUAAUAUCUUAUAAUGUAUUGAUUAAAAAUAAUCCUAAGAGCUCCCAAUUGAAACUUUCAUAAGUAUUUUAAUUGUUUUGGAUAAACAAAUUGCACUAGGAUAAAAAUUUGGCAAAUUCAGAGGAUAAUGGAAAAUAGUUAUGCUUCAAUAGGCCAAAGAUUAGAGAACAAAUAAGAAUUAUUUAUUGAUAUACAAAAGAGAAACACUCCAAAAUUUCAAGCAAAAAUAGUUUCAUAUAUCAUUUCGAUUUUGAAAGGGAUGAGAUUUUGAACUUCAAUAGUUUCCUCUAAAAUUAAAAGGUAGCAAUUAAGCUAAAAAGAGCAAUGAAGACUUAUUGGUACCUUAUUAAAGGUAAACAUUAUGGAACUUUCAAUGUCAUUAUCUCACUGUUCAAUUUUUAUUGAGAUUUGUGUAAGCAUUUACCUAAAUCUUACCUCCGCCUUUAAAUUCAUAAGUUUUGAUUAAUUAUGAGACCUUAUAUUGGGAGAUAUUAUAAUCAAACUAAAACUUAAAAUUUCAAUAUCAUUAUUCUUUAAAAAGAAAUUGAGAUAUCAGAGUAAUAUCACAUAGAAAAACUUGCCCACGGACGGUAAGCCAAAAGUCUAGUCAACCACACGCAUAAAGCUAACUAGAACAAGAGAACAGAGAAACGCGUGGGUCCCUAAAAGAAAAGGCAAGCACAUAAAUAACUUUCAAAAUGCCCAAGCAAAUACCGAUGAAAAUCACUGUUUAAGAAUAAUUUAUUAUGUGGUUGAAGCUUUCUUUUUAUCAAUCUUCUUUCUACCCAUUAAUUUUCCCACGACUUUCCCGUUUCAUUUCUUGAAUCUCCAUGGAUUAACUUUCAAUAAACCAUAAAAUAAACUAAGGAAUCAUUUUCUCGAAUACAGCUAUGAUUUUAAUAAAUGGGCGGACCAUCUAGAAUAGUAUAUAUAAUUCUGUUUAAUUAAUAAGUUGAAAAAACCAUCAAGAGAAAUUCUAAUAUUAUGAGCUUGACACGAAUUCUUCACUAAUUCCAAAACAAGGAGCUGUUUUAUAAGAACUGUGGUUGGAUUAUUAAGUUUUACAAUUUGAAUAUAAAUAAGAAAAUAAAAUCAGUCGCGUUGAUGUUUUCGAUACAUUUCGCUGCUAACUUUUUUUUUUUUUUUAUUACAUGAGACUAUUGCUCAAAUUACAACUCAUAUUACAUGAGAAUAUAACUGAUAUUUACAAAUCAGACUAUAACUGGGACCAAUAUACAUCAAUACUAAUGGAGCGCUGCCCAGAUUUUAACCCUCUCAAAUAUUCAAGGGAUGUCUACACCUCACACUUGGGUAAGGAAACAGACUGUCUUCACUUAAAUUUACUUGAGGAAUGAAGACCCCCACAAUACAUUGUGGGGGUUCACCACUCGACCAAAGGCCGAGUGGCUCAUUUCGCUGCUAACUUAAUUAAUUACUUUACUUCAACUUUAUUUCCUUAGGGGCACUUUAUGGUGGGUCCAAGAUGGGACCUACAAUAAUCAAUCCUAAAAUUUAGUAUGGUUACCAAAUAGCUAGUAGCUAGUGUUAUUUUGUGUUUGGUGGAAGAGAUUGAAUAUUUAGUUUUAACUUAACCAUUCAACUAAUUAGAAAAUAAAUAAAAUUAAAUGAAAUGUUUAGAUAUCAAUUUAAAUAUUAAUAUCGGGGAUAUAAAUUAGUUAUAAUAUAGUUCAUUACAUAAAAUUGAUUAAAUUAAUAAUUACCCGUGAACAUAGAUGUAUAUGCUUUCCAAUUUCCAAAGUGCUCAAAGCACUUUUCUCACCAAACUUUCCUCUGAAUUUCCCGUAGCUGACUCCUUUGUUUGCGUUUUGUGAAAUUUCUAGGAACUUUUUUCGAUUUAGAAUAUUGUACAUUUUUCUUUUCAGCUGAGAUUAAUUUAACUUAUAGAAAAUCUUAUCCUUUUUUAAUAUUAUUUAAAUAAAAUUUGUCUAUCUUUUAUUUUAUUAGUCUACUUUUUACCCAUUAAUUAAGACUUUUCAAUUUCUUUUUUACCUGAGGUUUUCAGUGACUAUCUUUCAAUAAACCAUAAAAAUUACUUAGUCAUUUAUCGAACAAUUAGAUGACCAUAUUUCAAAAUAUCAACUAGAAGUUGUCCUGAAAUAUUUAAUUAAUAGUUGAAGAAUUGUGAUUAGUGUGGGCAUCUACAUAAAAAUUAUAUUAAAACACCGCUAAAAGAUAAAAAUAAAAUAAAAUAGUACAAACAUACACCCAUAGGUUAAAACAAAGAAAAAACACGAACCAAUACACUAAAAUGUUUUAGCUGUAGUUAGUUUUCAGUUUCAUUACUUAAGUCCCACGUGCAUGUCACGUGACUGAGGUCAAAAAAUGAUUGUCACAUUAAAGUUCAAAAUACGGAGCAGGGUAAUUAAGGAGUGGAGCUAUUGGCACCCCUCCAUUAUUCUUACAAAACUCCACUUUAAAUCAAAAUAUAAUUAAGAAUAAUUGAAAAUUAAACACUUAUAGAUUUCUUUACAACAUGUUGAGUGAUAAAAAAGCACCAGUCGGGCAUGUCCCCAUUUCUUACCCGGUGCCGAAUCUCCACGGUCGAAUGGUAUGAGUAGACUCUUGGUGAUGUCUUCUAUGUGGAGCACGUAACAACAGACCAGGAACUAGUACCAACCAAAAACGAGUACUGAUCGAAACAAGCAUGACCAGAAACGCAUACCGACCAGAGACUUGUGGGUCCGUAAAAGAAAAGGCAAGCACACAAAUGAAAAAGCCAUUACAUUUCUAUUUUACAUGUCAUUCCUAAUUUUUGUAACACGAUGUGGCAGCAUAUGCACAAUCAAAUGAGGCAAAAGGGAUUCGACUAUCGUGGCAGAACAUGGACGAGGACGCGUGAUGAAUAAUUCCUUCGAUAAAACGAAAAACAAACGCAGAGAAAAGAAUUUCUUAUAUGACAAGAAAUUAAAGUAAUGUGACGGAACAUGAUGAAGAAAUUGCAGAUCGAUCAAUUAUCCCCAUGGACUCCUAUAAAUUCAACCAAAAUAACAAUUCCAAUAUUACCAAAUUCUUGAGUUAAAUUUAUUCAAUGCUUUUUUUUAAGAGAAAUUUUUUCCAAUGCUACUUUCCCUUUUUUGGGGAAAUUAGAACUGCGGCAUGUAUAGAAGACAUUGAGGUAUAAAGCAACAUUAAUUUCAUGGGUUAUGCGUUAUACGCAUAAUAUAUUUUCAGUCCAAAUUCAACUAUGCAAAGAGGCUUGAGAACUUAAAAUUAAGCACAAACUAAACAGACGAAGUAAAUACAUGAUUAUGCAACAUAACAUUAAUUCUCUUAAUUUAUAACCGUUUUGCCACAUGAAUCUUGCACAGUUAAUCCUAAUUGAAGACUAAAAAAGAACAAUUGGAACAAGGUUUUGAAAUAGAAUGAUAGACAAUCGAUAUGAUCCAUUUCCAGUCGUCAACGCUAAUUAACUGCAGUUUCUAGACUCCUAAUUAUACUAGCCAUAAGAAACUGUUUAGAAAACUGGUGAUCAGAUUAGAUUUUGAAAUGAAAUAAUGUUCAUUUUCCCUUCGUUACCCUUUUAUUUAUUUAUUAUUUUUAUACCAAAGAAUUCUAUCAUGAAACGAAUCAAUUUAAUCACCUUUUCCAGCAGCACAAUUUUUCUUUUAUAAAAUUUGACCACAGAGACAAAGAAGAAUUAUUCAUACCUUCAUCAGUAAGGAAAUACUUUUCGGUAUGGCUAGGGUGAGAAAAGGCUUUCCACAAACACUUGUACUUUGUAUUCCUGUAAAUUUUCUUUAAAGUCAAUAAAAAUCAUAAGUUCUUUACAAUAACCAUCUCUUUGAUAAAAAAAGUGCCGUAUUCCUUUAGAAUUUAAAACCGGCAAAAUCGAAUCAGUGUCUUUGAAGAGACAUAAUGGUCAUAAUUCUUUAAAGAGUUGGCUAUGGAAAUCCUUAUCCAAGAUUCUUUUACGCCAUAUUCUUUCGUAAACCAAAAUUCAUUUUGGAAUACUCUGUUGAGAAUGUCAAAUAAAACGGUAUUGAAGGAAGUUUUCAAAGGCAGAAUCCGCACUUGUCAAAGGGAUGAUCUGCAUUUGUCAGAGACACAAUCUGCGUCGAAUGAAUCGACACAUUUCCUUUUGUAUUCGCAUAUGUAAUUUUUGAAAAAAUGUAGCUUCUGCAUCUAUAAAUAACGCUCAGUGUAUAAUGUUUUAUUCAAAAAAAGAAAACAAGUUUCUUCAUACUCGUCGUCCGAACAUACAGAGACCGUCUCUCAUAACUUCAGCCGAAUACUUAUGAUGAUGAUCAUUUGUGAUUUCAUCAGGCAUAGGGUUGAUGGUGAAAAAUUUUGUAUGUGUGAAGAAUUGAGCUGUGGAUAUAGGGGACUUAAGUGUAAUCGAAAGAGAGUUAUUAGGCCAUAGUGUAGAUUGCAUUCAGUUUAUGAGUCGAUAUGCAAAUAAUUUGUUGACGUGGCGAAAUUUGUUAUGGUCGUUACUAUUGUUUCUGGAAAUUUUCUAGAAACCUCAGCAUAAAAGGGGCUUUUGGAUAGCCUCUGGUGUGCGUGUGAUUUCUCUUUCGUUUCCUCAUCAAAUUCUGUAAUUCUUGCUUUGAUAAAAAGCUUGUAAUCUCUUCUGUAAUUGUGAUCAGUGCGUAAUCAUUUUGAGCGAUAAAAGCUUGUAGGUUUUUCCUUCAAACAAUGUCGUUUUGGUCAGUUUGUUAGUUUGAUCUGUUGGUGGAAUUUUCUUUGGUUAUUUGUUCUCAAAUUUCAACCUUAUAUAAAGUUUGAACUCUAAUGGCUUAUAAUGUAUUGAUUAAGAAUAAUCCUAAGAGUUUCCGAUUGAAAUUUUUAAUGACUAUUUUUAUUGUUUUGGAUGCACAAAUUGCAUUAAGAAAAAAUAUUGUCAAAUUCAGAGGAUAACGGGAAAUAAUUAUGCUUCAAAAGGCCAGAGAUUAGAGAAUAAAGAAGCAUUCAUUACUGAUAUAAAAACUGCUUCUAUUUGGAUUUUGAAAGGGGUGAAGUUUUGAACUUCAGUUGUUCCUCUAAAAUCAAAAGCAAUAAUUAAGCAUUCUCAAUUAGAAAGAGCAAAGAAGACUUAUUGGUACCUUACUGAAGCUAACAUUAUGGCACGGUUGUUCAUAUGUAAUGGCUGCUCUGUUAUGCUAGCUUCUCUGUUUUUGCUUCUAUUUUUGCUUACAGUUUUGAAGAUAAAUUCUUGCUCAAAUAACACAUAAUUAAAUAACACUAAUAUGGCUCAUGAAAUCCUAUAAUAGCUAAUUACGCAACUUUCUCCUCCUCCUCAAUUCUGUCUUCCCCUGCUCGGACACUAACUUCAAAAUUCAAUGCCCCGAAAAACAACACAAGAAAUCUUUGAGUUAGUUCGUGACCAGUUUAUAUAUAGUAGCAAUUGAAAAAAGAAAAAGAAGAAAAGAGUUAAUUAUUUUUCAGACCUUCACUUAUUAGGAAGUUUGUUCUGCUAUUGGGUGAGAUCAAGCUCUCAGCAUAUACUUCCACAUGAUACUUUCUAACAUUUUCUUGAAAGCCAUCAAUCAUUAAAUCUUCAUACUUUUUUCCAUCCUUUGGAUCAAUAAGUACAAAUUUCUCAUCUAAAAAAGACAAAAUAAAAUCACUGUCCUUCAUGGAAUCAGAAUUGAGCUUACAAAAACCGAAGUGGACAGUUCCAUUCAGAUUGGUCGCCCGAGAACAAUGAUGAGAAGACUUAAAAUCAGUUUCAAAGGUUUUCCAAGUAUUGUUCCUCUAAACCACUUGUAUAUUUUACCAGAACUCUUGGUUAAGAAAAUCCUAGUCCAUGGAGUAUGAUAUAUCAAUCAUGCAACAAUGACCUACAACAUCUAUGUGGAUUGAUUUUUGCAAAAUAAAGAACAAUGCUGACUGAGGAAUAAGGUGCAUACCCGAUUAGCAAUAUCUCAGCAAGUAACCAACAAUUUUUUAUCUGAUAAGAAAAAAUUACAAUUUCUUGAAUAUACAUGAAACAUUUUGCAGAAAGAACCAUGUCAUAAUUAUUAGUCCAACUGAAGAAUUAUCAAUACUUAUCACAUGAAACGAAAGAUACCCGAGUUCACUUAAUGAAAUUCUCUUUUUUUUUUCUCUAACAUUGAGAUAAGCAAAAACUUUUAACUAAAGACAAUCAUCUAGUGAUCUCAAACAAAUGAGGUUAGUAUGAAACCAUCAUAAUUUGUUCGCUCAUUGCCUAAUUUUAUUAAUGCAAGAGCCUGGAAGCAACUCAAAAAGAAAAUAACCGACAUAGGAAGUGUCAUCUCAUAUCUCACCAAUGAAUGGGAACAGCUUGAUGUGGCUGAGCAAACUGGCAGAAUUGUCAUUUUAACACACGUUCAAGAAACUCAGCAAAUUCUCAUAUCUGUUUAAAUUCCACAGCAAAGAUAGUUACAAGAAAUCUAAUCAAAAUUUAAAAUGUCAGAAGGCAAAUCUUCCAAUUAGGAUCAAAAGAAGAUAAUUAUAAUUUGUCAUUUCAAUUCUGAAUGUACAAUUUUAUUUUUUUAUGUGUGCAUUAAUUAAGAUUCUACCUUCUCUGCAAAAUUGUGAUGGACUUGGUAAAUAAUGAAUUGUAUCGACUUGAAUUUUAUACAACUUAUUGAGAUAAUAAUACGCCAAAUUCAACACCGUCCAUCCCAAAUCACAACAAGAAACUCAAACUUUUAUCCCCUCAAGUGGGUUCUUGAAACUGAAGCUUUAGUGCCAGUACAAUUUUGAAAGAUUGUGAUCAAACUAAAACAUCAAAUAAAAUAAGACGUAACAAAAACACGUCUUCAGAAAAUUAGUAUAGGAAUAAGAUAAGCUACACAGACCUACUUCAAUGAAUUAGAAAAAUUAUGAUAAACUUGAUGCAUUUCGAAAAACAACAAACAAAUAUUCCCAGGAAAACAAAAAAAAGACAACUUUGUUUAAGCUUAGACAAAAAUAACUAAGGACAUAUGAAUGCAUCAUAAUAGUAUCUCUAUGGGUAAUUUUCAGAAAUCUCCCCUAAGGUAUGGUGUAUUCUUAGUUUGAUAGAAAAUAUCUAAGUAUUCUUAUAGACCUCCCCUACUGUUAGUAUUCCAUUUCGUAUAUGUUAGGUAGAUGAGGGUAAGAUCGUAAUUUGAAUAAGUUAAUGAUAAAAAAUCCAGAAAUUUUAAGAUUUUCACAUUGGCCUCUGGGCUUUAUUCAUCUCUUUCAUCCACCAAAACCAGAAAUACAACUCACCUCUCUCCUCCACCUAAAUCGAAGCAAGGUAGCUCAAAACUCAUUUCAAAAAAUUGAUCAAUUACUUGGGUCACAAACUAGAGACAAUGACGACGAAGUUGAUGACGCCAAUAUCGACGACGAAGCUGAUGACGCCAAUAUCGACGACGAAUGAUUCGCAACUGCCAGGUAAGAGAGUAUAGUAGGUUUCGCCAUCGAACGCCCAAUCAUCCAGUUGUUUUGGAGCCGCGUUAUUUUUAUUAGCUAAAAUUAGAAUUUUUAGUGAAAAAUUGAAAGUGGGUCUCAAAAUUUUUUGAGAGCGUAUAUGUUUCUCCUGAUUUUUCGAUCGAUUCGUGUUAGUUGCAGUUAAAUGAUUAAUCCAAUUCGUGUUGAAGAUAGAGCUAACUCGAAUAUCUCUAUAGUCCUGUAAUUGAUUGAAAAUGGGUCUUGAAAAUUGUUUUAGAUUUCAGCUGUGUGCUUCUGAUUUUUUCCAUGGAUUCAUGAUAGAUGAAAAUGGUUGAUGAAGAUUUGCUUGACAUGUAUAUAGAUGGUAUUUUGUUAAAGGGGUUUUAAUUUUUUCCUUUUUUGGUGGUUUCGAUUGUGGUAUUUACAUGCCUUAGGUUGAGAAAAACGAAAAUGGUUUGUUGCACUCUUUUGUGUUGGAUCAGUGAGUUUAGGCGAUUUGAAAUGGUUUGCGGCAUUCAAUUGAUUGUUUUAUUUAUGUGGUUUGAUAUGGGAAAAGUAUAAUAAAAUUCAAUUGUUCCAUAUGUCAAUUUGGAUGUUUUGAAAUUAUGAACUACAAAAAGUUAAAAUUAAUUUCUUAUUAUAUUUUCAAUUGAAAGUUACUAUUGUCUUCUUUUUAGUACUUAGUAUGCAUUUUUCCCCAUCUUCUAGUGGUGGUGUUGCACCCAUUUUGAAUUUGAUCGGCAUCUUCUUCUGUACAUGCAUGUUUCUUGGACUCCAAUUUUUGUUUCAUAUGAUGAAGCUAAUUUAAUUCCUCCUUUUUAAUAUCAACUUUGUUCAUCUAGGUUUGCGAUUUUGAUCUUUCUCAUUUGAAGGCAAACACAUUUAUGUCAUCAAAAUUUCCAAUAUUUUUUAUUUUAUAGUAUCCAAACUGCUUAUGGCAAUAUGAAAUUGAGAAUAUUUCUUUCAUCAUGUUAACCUAAGUGGAUGGUGGAUGAUGUUUGUGUAAGAGAUUUAAGUUAUUUGUAUUAUAGAAUAUGUCUUAUGUUUUGAUUUGCAAUUUCACCAUUAAAUUGGCUUUGUAAAUGAUUAGAAGCUAAAUGCAUAAAAUGAAAACAAUAGUAACAUUUCUGAGUGGGGUAUAAUCAGAUGCUAACAUGGCGAUCCAUGACUUGUAAUUUCUAUUGUCGUUAUAAUUGGACUAGAUCGAGGUAAACUGACUUUUCUUGUUCUGUUUUUUUUUUCAUUUCUUUGUUCUAGAUUUUUCUUUCUUUGUUUUACUUCUGGUUUCUUCUUCAGCAUAUUCAAUAACUAGCAUGAGCAAAUGGAGAGGAAAAGGGUAGAAUAUGCUUUUAAAAAAAAAGAAAAGAAAAAAAGAGAUAGCUCUAAUUCAAAAAUAAGGAGGAGAAAAGGGCAAUGAUUGAAGUUGUGGAGAAGAAAUUCUUAAUGCAUAGGAGAUGACAACAAAGUGUUGCAACUGGGAGCAGUUUUAAAGUGCUAUUCGAUUGCUUUUGUAAUCAAAUUGUCUUUUGUACCUAUUUAUACACACACAUAUUUGUAUUUGUAAUUUGAAUUUUACAUUUUCUCAAGACAACUAUGUUUAUUUUAAAAAAAAUCUAAAUGUAACUAAAAUAUUAAAGUUUUUGUACUUAUUACUCCAUUUGAUGAUUUUUUUUAUUUUUUUGCUGACGAAUAUUCCAUGUCAAUUUUUUUCCCUUCAGCUCGUUUAAGGUGUUUUAUUGUCUGAUGUGAUAUUUGGUGCUCGGGAGGAAGGGUGUUUUAAGUCUUUUUUGGUGUCAGGGGCAAUUUUGUCUUUACAUCAGUCAACAAAUAGUCAAUGGAUGGAAAUGCAAACAGCAGGGGAGGUGUCUGAUAAUACACGGAUACUUUCUAUCAAACUUAUAAUACACAAAAUCUCAGGGGAGGUUUUUGAAAAUUACCCAACUGUGCAAAAUUAUGAAAAAAAUGAGCUAAACAUAUAUAGCAUUUCAGAGGAGUGCUUACUUGACAAAUCACUAAUACAAAGCUGCGAAUGGGCAUUCGGAAUGUUUUGAGAGACUCGUAUGGAUAAAAUAUGUAGUUAUUUAAGUAAUGACAGAAGGAGAAUCGUGUGGCUUGUCAAAGCCGUUAGCUCCAUCUCAUUUGCCUCGUCCUCUCGUUUUGUUUCUGUGGGGACAUAUUUGAUAUUUUGGAUUUUGUCUAAAAUUCGUCAUGUUUUUGGAUACUAACAUCUGCGCCUCUAGACCAAUAGCCAUUUGAUUAAGUGGGAGAACCCUUACACUAGUGUAAGAAUUUGAACUUUUAUAAAAUUAUUUAUGAGAUUAUUUAUAAUUUUUUUUAAUUAUCAAAUAAUUGAGUAGAGUCAGUUUAAUCCUUACGAAAUAUUUACUAUUCAUAAAUAUCUUUUUUUUUCUCUAUCUUACAAUUGAAUAUUCUCUCUCUACUCCAACAUUAUGUAACCUAAAUAUUUAAUUUCACUCUUUUUUAAUUUAUUUUUUUGUCUUUUCUUAGUAUAUUAUAAUCUUUAUUUCAUGUUUUCUAUAUAUAAGAAUUUUUUUAUAUCUAUUAAAUUUUGUGUUUAGUGAAAAUUAAUUUCUUGAUAUUUUUAAUUUUUAUAAUUGAUAAAAAUAUAUCAAUGUUCAUUUUUAAAUGAUGGGUUUUGUUCAUUUUAGUUUGUUAUAUUAAUUUUUUGUAGGUAAAAGAAUAUAUUUGAAUGAAUUGAAGGAAAAUUGUGAAAUUGAGAAGAGAAAGAGAAGAAAAAGUUAAUUAAAUAAUUUUUUCAAAAAUUAUUUAAAUAAUAAAAUUCUUAAUUAAAAACAAAGAUGGAGAGAGAAAUUUAGUGGGUUCAAAAUACUUAUUUUAAAUCCAAAAAAGAACCAAUAAAAGAAAUCAAAAGAUGAUUCUUUUCUUUCUGACAUAUUUCUCUGUACUUUUCUCUCUCUACUGAUUCACAAUUUUUCAUACUUCUAACUAUCAUUUUAUUCAAGUAUUUUGUAUUUUUAAUGACAAUUAUUUAAUUUUUAGUUAGUUUUGAUAUUGAUUAGAGAUUUAAAGUGUAUUUUAGAAGACUUCCGGUCUCUUGAAAAAAGGAAAAAUGGAGAAGAAGAAGUGUUCUUGAUUUUUUGUAGGCGUUAAAGUUAAAUGGUUUGAAAUGAUAUUCUUUUUUAAUUUCACUCAUUAAUCUCAUUCAAGAUAAAAUUAUAAAUGCAAAUAAAUGGGGUUUCAUAAGUAUUUUUAAUAGUGUUAAAAGGUCUACUCACUAAAUAAACAUGUUUAACCCAAACCAAUGCGAUUAGUAAGUUAUUGGGUUGGGUUAAUCAGGUUAAAAAUCAAAAUUAAAAAUUAAAUAAAUAAAAAAGGUAUAAAAACUAUCUGUUACUUGAAAAUAAAAAGAAUUUCUAAUUGUUAGUUCUAAUGUCCCAUAUCCAAAACAUGCAUAUUAAAUAAAUAUUAUAAGUUAGAAAUACAAUAUCCAAGAAAGAAUGAAUGAAAUACCAUAUUUUUGUUGAGAAUUAAGAGUGUGAUUUUAAUUUUGAUAUUGGAGUCUAAAGUGCCACGUUUAAAUAUUCUCUUUUAUAAAAUAAUAAAAAGAGGUUAAAAAUUAGGUUAGCAAUUUAGCCAUUUAGGGUUUAGCAAUUAAGGAUGAACAUAUUAUUGUUGUUGUUGUUAUUAUUAUUAUUAUUUAUAUGUUUACUAAUCCAAUCCAAUCCAAUUAUUAACGAAUUUGAAAAAAUUGAUUCAAUCAAGCCAUAAUAAUUCAUUCAACUCGUCUAAAUUGGAUUAGGUUGAAUUUGGUUUGCCACCCUUGUUUUGAGCAACAAACCUCAAUGUGAUUCCAUGAGCUCUUUGAUUGUUUAUAAAAUUGUUUAUGAAAGUGCAAAAUAAAUUAUUGUAUACAUUAAAAUGUGCAAAACAAUGAAUUAUAUGUACGAACGAGUGCAAACACAUUUUUCAAUAAGAAGUUAAAAGAUAUUUAUGCAUGAAAAAGCCUACGUUUGUAGUUAUUCUAAAUUUUAAAAACAAAAUUUACAUUUAGAUCCCUAAAAUUUACGUAUAAGUACAAAAGUUUCAAAUAUUGUCUAUUAUUUUUUUAACAUGCCUAUUCCUUGUGGAUAAUUCUAUCUCAUCACUAAUGUUGUUUCUUGCUUACAAUUUGUAUAGUGUCUCAAAAUAGACAAUAGGGGGAUUUUGAAUUUUUUAAGUCUCAAUAUAGUCUCUAAUCUUGUGAGAAAGAUUUUCUUUCAAUAAUUUGGAGGUAAACAUAACAUAACUUUUUGGACUAAAGCCUAACUCUGCUGGUUAUGGUGGUAUCCUUUUCAAGACCUGCGUCUUUAGAUUCGAGUUUUAUAGUGUGCAUGCGUAUUUAAUUAAUAAUUUUUUAAAACAAUACAUCAAAUAUUAAUAUCCAUGACAUAAUUUAGUUCUUAAUUUUUUUUUUAAAUACAUCAAAAACAUAAUUUUUUUAACAACUUAUAGGCAUGACAAAUUUCAAGAUAUAAAUAUCAGUCAAAAUAAGUGAAAGAAAUAAUGGUGCCAAUUCUAAUUUCUUAACUAAAUUAAUUAGUGCAUGAGCCCCGAAUACGACACGAGAGUUUGAUGGGCUAACAUGGCACAAGAACCUGAAUAAAUAAUUGAUUUAAGAAAUAAUUCAAUGAAAAAUAUAAUUGAUAAGAAUUCAGUAUUGAAAUGAGUUUUUUAUGAAACACUGAAUUAAUGAUUAUUAAGCAAGAACAAUAAAAAAUAAAUAUUAAUCAUUGAUAAGUUUCAACAAAAGCUUAACACAAUCCUCAAUCCUAAUUCAAAUUAUAAAUGUCAUUCAUAUAUUCAUUAUAAUCAACAACAAAGGUUAUAAAUGUUUAGAAAUUCUAGAGGGAAGGAAGCUAUCGCUGGGCAAUCAACAACUAAAUUUGAUGUAAUUGUGGCACGAGAUGGAAUAUGGAAACUACACCAUAAUUUCAAAUGCCGCCAUAGACAUUGACUUAUCUACAAUAACAAUGAUCUAAUUAAAAUAAAAAUAGAGUUUAUGGGCAUUUAUUAAAAUAAAAAUAGGAGUGAAGUAAAAACAUUUAGAUUUUAAUGUAUGUACGGAAAAAUUUAUCUUUAAAAAUACUUUCUUAAUGUGUGUGUGCAUAUUGAAAUACUCAAACCAAUUUUGGUUAUAUAUAAUUCAACAAAAUUUAAAAUAUGAAAAAUAUAAUGUAGUUAUAGUGGAUAAGCAAUAAGUGAGCACAAUAUAAUUAAUCAAAUACUAUGCUAUCAAAAGUUAAUUUUAGAAAUUCCAAAUCCAAUAGCUAACACAAUUCUUUAAAGAAAUAACAAGGGGCAUUGGGCAAGAGUAAUGAAUGCUUAGUGGGUGCAUUUGAUUGAUAGAUAUAUAAAGGGCCGAAACUUGAUAUUAUAUUACUUUUACAAAAUUUAAUCCAAUCACAUAUUUAAUGAAAACAAAAUGAGUUAGGAUUGUUUAUUUAGAACCCACAUUUUAAUAAGGCUUCAUUUGAUGUAGUUUUUCAAACAUUGAUUAUUUGAGUAAUUACAAAGUACAAUACGUACCAAGUUUGGUAACUUAAUUGACAUCUUCUCAUAUAACCUUCGAUCAAGUCGAUUCUGACCUGACGACUAAUUGGUACAUCACCGUUGUUCUCUAUACUCGCAUGCAUCCGAUCACAAAUCUCACUCCAAUUGUCGUCUUUCUUCGGCGUUUUAGCGCAUCCUUCUUGAAUUUCCCGCAUUUCGUUCCCUCCUGUUACAAGUCUCCGGUCAGGUCAGUUCACUUGACGAUUAAUUCGGCAAAUCUCGAAUCUCUUCUCUAUCCCUCUCGUUUUCUCGUGUCUCCUUUCAGUUUAAGUGAUUGAAUCAAUUUUAUCGCAGUCUUAAGAGAAAUUAAGUAAUGCUCUUGGAUUUAAAAUUUUUUUGCUUUCGACUUUAGAUCUCGAAAGUCAAACUCUGCUACGAAUCCAUAGAUUCUCAAUGUUUAUAAUCUUAUUUGUGUUUGACCAGGUAACUGGAUCGUGAAAUUCGUCGUUUUGUAUCAAUUCAAGCUUUCGCGAGCUCAUGGAAUCCCCUGGUGAGUUGUGGUGAAACGUUAUCGUUUCAAUUUUCGCUUAAUUCUUUAUUGCAUAUUUUUUUCUCUCUAAUAUUUCAGUUUAAUUUAGAAAAGAAAGAGGACCCAAAAAGAGAGAGAGAGAGAGAGAGACUCUACCAUACUCAAUUCCUUGCUCAUUCUGAUUUGGCCUGAAUGUUGGCAUUGACUAUUAUUUGUUUUCAUUUCGAUUUAAUUCUCAUUUAGACAGUCUUUUUUAACUAGCAAUAAUCUUUUUAAGGAAAAUGAUAAUAGGGAUUCUGCAAUAAUCUUUUUAAGGAAAAUGAUAAUAGGGAUUCUGCAAUAAUCUUUCUGCAUUGUUCAAGUUAGUAGACAAUGAAUAGGGUGUUUAUGUUUACCUCAUUUUGAACCCUGAGGGCUUCGUUGAGUAGUUGAUCCAACAUAUCCAGCACCGGUUGAUGUGAGAACAGGAUGCCAUUUAGAUAGGCUUAAACUGAUUUUGGAGGUUUGUAUUCAUUCUAUUGUAUGUCUUGCUUACAAAUUUUUUAUUUUUUAUUUUUAAUUUUGUAUAAUAUGCUCUUUGUUGGUAAAUCUCAUUUGACUUAGAAGAGAUAGUUUUAUCCCAACAGUGGGAUAAAUCAUUGAGAUGCAUGGCAGUGUGAAUAUAGUAGACAAAAUCAUUGAGACAGAUGGUGGUGUGAACAUAGUAAACUUUGUCAAACACAGCUAAGAUAAACAAAUUGUUUCAUUAGCCUUUAUCUUAUCUGCUGUGAUGAUUCAAAUUAAUGCUGUUUGGUAGGUUGCAAAAAACGAAAUGAGCUGACUGUUCAUAUUAUUUAGUCAGAUCUAUUGCAAUAAGUUGAAGUUCACUGUCACAUGGGUUGGGAGUAGCGUGGGCUGUGAGUAGUAGAAUGGAUUUAUGGAGUUGAUACAAGUGCCCAUAAUCUAUCAUGUCAUUCUAGGAUUAAAUGGAUUGCACAUUACUGUAAAGAUGGAGGUUAAAUUUAUAUAAUUCGGAUUGAUUGUAAAAUGGGAGGCAGAGAUGAGUUAGAAAAAAAAUGACCUGUGUCCUUUUUGAGCUGUUUCUAAAUCUCCCUGGUGUGCUUCAUGCUUAACACGUGUCUGUCCAAAUAAUUUUGCUUAACCUGUGCUUGUCUACUUCUUGUGCUAUUCUGUGCCUGGUCCUGAGCUGUGUUGGUAGAUUGACAUAAUUUUGCUCUGCUAAAUGUAUAACUUAUUAAUCAGAGUCCUGUUAUUAUGGUUUGACACUACUGACAUGUUGUGUUGGUAUUUAUUUGUACUUCCCUUGGUUGAAUUAUUUGCUGUCUCCAUGCCAUUCGAUAUGGUGCUACUUGGUUUUUGAUCAUCCAUGACGCUAUAUAUAUGUAAAGGAUGAAUUGAUUGUUUUGGCUUGUAUUCUCACAUUUUAUGAUUGAUCGAUGGAAAGGUCUUCAUGUAUUAAAUUCAACCUCACAAGCGUAAGAUUGACAGAUUGUGGGAAAAUUUUCAGGAAAAGAAACUAGACUUCAUGGAAGCAAUGAAGCUUGAAAUUGAACGUCUGCAGCUGCAUCUUUCUGCAGCUGAAAGGGAUAGAGCUUUAUUGUCAAUUGAAACUGAUCCUGCCUCUAUAAAUCCAAAUGUAUUGCUUGAUGAAUCUUACAUGGGAAGACUGUCGAGUAGCAACCACUCUUGCAUUACUUGGCCAAACUUCCCUAGAAGACAAAAUUGUUGGUGCAAUUGGCCUUGAGAAUAGUGAUGAUAGUGUUUUAGACUUCUGGAAUAUUACUAGAAUCGGAGAGAGUUGUUCUGGUGGCGGGUGCAAGGUUUGUGCAGAAACUAAGGUGCCUGCUCUUGCUUCCUCAACUGCAACAUCUGUUGGAGCUUCACAAUCCCCUUUGUUGUGUUCUCAAUGUGAAAGAAAAGUUUGCAAAGUUUGUUGUGCAGGAAGAGGAGCUCUACUGUUUUCAAAUUAUAAAUCAAGGGAUGUGACCAACUACAAUGGCUUCUCAAGUCAGAGUGGAUGAAGCCAUGGAAGCCAAGUUGAUGUAUCUACCAGUCGUUCACUAACACUGGAUGGCGUUAUCUGUAAACACUGCUGCCAUGAGAUUGUGCCUGAUGCAUUGAUGUUGGACCAUGUUAGGGUCUUGAUUAGCUUGCGAAGAAGUUCCUGUGCAGACAACGCAGUCAUACAAUGCUUUGAAUGAGGUUGUUGGAUCCUGCUUAAAGGAUAGUGUUUCUGAAAGGAUUCAGUCUUCCGAUAACGUGCAAGCUGCUGAAGUCCUUCACCAAUUAUGUGGUGGACAGGAAUCACUUGCUGAAUUUCCAUUUGCUAGCUGUUUGCACUAGGUAUGUUCUUGGUUUGUAUUCAGUUCUCAUCAUGUUAUGUUUUCCUUUUAAAUUUCUUUUCUUGAUUAAAAUUUUUAGAAAUAUGUUUUAGUAUUUGUUCUUAUGAUAUAUGCCCAGAACAUUCAUCCCACUUAUCCAUGAGAAUCCUUGUCUGGUUUGAUUUUCAAUUGAGACAUUUUUGGGAACCCUGAGCAGGUUCCAUAUGCUAAUAAUCUUUGAGGUAAGGUGUUGUAGGAUGCCUUGAGAAGCUAAAAACCUAUUACAAGGAAAAGCUCUUGCAUUGUUUUGUGGAAUCUGUGUUGUGAAAAUAGGUAGAGAAAAAGUUUAUGGAAUAAUUCUCUUAUUUCAUAUGUUCAUGAGACUGUACACAGUCUUUAUAUAGGGAUACAAGAGACUAAGAAAGGAAAGAAAAAAUUAAAGCAGAAUAUUACACACUGAUUUCUAGGAAGCAAUAACUCUAUAUUUACACCAAAUAUACACCUAAAUAUAUAAGGAAAACCAAAUCAAUUUGAUUUGGUCAACCUUUCAACACUCCCCCUCAAGCUGGUCUAAAAAUGUCUUUCAUGGCCAGCUUGCAAACCAAUUUCUCAAAAUGUUUCUUAGGUAGUCCCUUGGUGAGUAUAUCAGCAAUCUGCUCAUUUGUAGGAAUGUAGGGCAUGCAGACCAAACCACUGUCCAGUUUUUCUUUUAUGAAAUGUUUGUCCACUUCAACAUGUUUAGUUCGGUUGUGGAGUACUGGAUUAUGUGCUAUUGCAAUGGCAGAUUUGUUGUCACAAUAUACUUUCAUAGGUAGAGAAUUAUUUGCCUUAAGUUCUUCAAGAACUUUUUUGAUCCAAAAAACCUCACAAAUUCCUAGAGCUACUGCUCUAUAUUCUGCCUCUGCACUACUUCUUGCUACCACAGUUUGUUUCUUGCUGCGCUAAGUGACCAAAUUUCCUCCGACAAAGGUGCAGUAACCCGAAGUGGAUCUUCUAUCGGUUACACUACCAGCCCAGUCAGCAUCAGUGUAGACUUCUACUUGUAGGUGCCCGUUUUUUCUAAACAAAAGACCUUUACCCGGAGAUCCUUUUAAGUAUCUAAGGAUUCUAUAUACAGUUUCAAAGUGUUCUGGUCCUGGAGCAUGCAUAAACUGGCUGACUAAGCUCACUGCAAAGGCUAUGUCCGGGCGUGUAUGUGAAAGGUAGAUUAAUCUACCUACAAGGCGUUGGUACCGAUCUAUGUUGGUCACAUCUUCAAUAUUAGCUGGCUGUAAUUUCAUAUUAGGAUCUAUGGGUGUCUCGGCUGCUUUACAUCCGAGUAAACCUGUCUCUUCAAGCAAAUCAAGAACAUACUUGCGUUGAGACACAACAAUCCCAUCUUUUGAUCUAGCAAACUCCAUGCCCAAAAAAUACUUCAGGUUGCCUAAGUCUUUGAUUUCAAAGUCACGUGCAAGCACUUUCUUUAAUCUGCAAAUCUCAACUAAGUCAUCACCAGUCAAAAUUAUAUCAUCUACAUAUACAAUUAACACGACUAAUUUCCCUUCAAUAGAAUGUUUGUAAAACAUUGUAUGAUCUGCCUGACUUUGGGAGUAGCCGUGUCCCUUUAUAACAUUACCAAAGCGUUCAAACCAUGCUCUAGGAGACUGUUUGAGCCCAUACAAAGACUUAUGUAGUUUACACACUUUACUGUUGCCAUGAUUUCCCUCAAAACCUAGUGGUAAAUCCAUAAAGACUUCUUCUUCUAGCUCCCCAUUCAGAAAAGCAUUUUUAACAUCUAACUGGUAUAGAUUCCAAUCAGAAUGUACAGCCAAUGAGAUAAGGACCCGGAUGGAAUUUAUCUUUGCAACGGGGGCAAAAGUUUCUUGAUAAUCAAUUCCGUAGGUUUGAGUGAAUCCUUUUGCUACAAGCCUUGCCUUAUAUCUCUCAACACUCCCAUCAGCAUUACAUUUAAGUGUAAACACCCACUUUCAACCCACAGUUUUCUUUUCUUUUGGUAAAUCCACAAUCUCCCACGUACCAUUCUUCUUUAGAGCAUUCAUUUCCUCUAAAACUGCUAACUUCCAAUCUGGGUGGUCUAGGGCUUCUUUUAUGGUUUUAGGAAUUGGUAUUUGAGAGAUUUUUGUGGUAAAGGCUCUUUGUUUAUUGGACAACUUUUCAUAGGAAACAUAUCUAGCAAUGGGGUGCUUAGUACAGGUUCGGGUUCCUUUCCUAUGUGCUAUGGGUAAGUCAAGAUCAGGAAAAAAAGUGCUGAAAUGUUUAGGAGAAGAAAUGUUACCUGAAUUUUCUGAGGAAUCAGUGCUUGGAGGCAACGAUUGAGGCUGUAUCGAGUUUAUGAGAGGGUCUUUACUGUUGUGAUGAUACUUUCGAGUAUAAACACGCAGCUCUGGUGGUGGAAUUUUAUCUUGUAGUAUUUCUCCCCCUGUCUCUGGUACAUUAACACUUGGUUCCUGUAGUUCAAGGUUUCCUAGGUUUUCAUUAUUAGAAAUAUCAGUUUUUUGAGUUUGAGUUGGAGUGCCCAGAUCAGGUAAAAACUGAUUAGGCAUAGGUGUAGAAGUAUGCCAAAAAUGAUCUUCACUAUUUUCUUUCUCCCCCUGAAGAGAAUUUUGGCCAAAAAAAGGUUGAUUUUCGAGAAAUAUAACAUCCAUACUGACAUGGAAUUUCUUUGUUUGAGGAUUGAAACAUUUGUAACCUUUUUUAUUAGGUGCAUAGCCCAAGAAAACACAUUUUUCAGAUCUAGGAUCCAAUUUAGAUCUAAGAUGGUUAGGAACAUGAACAAAUACAGUGCACCCAAAGACUCUUAACUGAAUAUUGGAGGUAAUCCUACUAGAAGGAUAUAUAAGUGUGAAGUAUUCUAAAGGUGAUUGAUACUUUAAAACACGGGUAGGCAUCCUAUUAAUCAAAUAACAUGCUGUUAAAACAGCAUCACCCCACAAAUAUUUAGGAACAUGCAUAGAGAGCAUGAUAGCCGACUAACUUCAAGUAAAUGGCGGUUUUUUCGUUCCGCAAUUCCAUUUUGUUGUGGAGUAUCACGACAAGUGGAUGUGUGAAUUAUACCCUUUUCCUUACAAAACACCUCUAGAUAAUUAUUAAAAUAUUCAGUACCAUUAUCUGUAUGGAGUAGACUUAUUUUUGUUUGAAAUUGAUUUUCAACCAUGUUAUAAAAAUCUUUGAAUAACCCCUCAACUUCAGAUUUUUCUCUCAUUAAAUAAACCCAACAAAGCCGAGUAUGAUCAUCUAUGAAUGUUACAAACCAUUUUUUUCCAGUUAAAGUGUUGAUUUUUGAGGGUCCCCAAACAUCACUAUGAAUUAAAUAAAAAGGUUUUGAGGCACGAUAAAUAAGUGCUUUAUAUGAAACUCGAUGACUUUUAGAUAAAAAACAACUUUCACACUGAAAAGUAGUACAAUCAACAUUUUUAAAUAAAUUUGGAAACAAAUAUUUCAAAUAAGGAAAGCUAGGGUGUCCUAGUCUAAGGUGCCAAAGCAUUAUUUGAUCCCUAGCAGAGUUUGAACUAAUACUACUGCUCAAACCUUGAGUUUGUUUAUUCCUUGAUAAGUAGUCAUCAAAAUAGUAAAGACCUUCUCGCAAACUAGCACUGCCAAUCAUCGUCCCCAAGUCCCUGUCCUGAAAUUCACAAUGGGAGUCAAAAAAGACAGCACAACAAUUAGAAUCUUUGGUUAAUUUACUGACAGAUAACAGAUUGCAAGAAAGUUUAGGGACAUGUAGCACAUUUUUAAGCUCAAUGGUUCCAGAGAUUUUUAUUGAUCCUUUUCCAGCUAUGGAAGAUAAGCUUCCAUCAGCAACUCUUACCUUUUUGUUACCAGGGCAAGGAUAAUAGGAAUCAAAUAAACUAGAAAUGCUAGUCAUAUGAUCAGAAGCACCCGAAUCAAUAAUCCAUGGUGCAGUAGUUGAGUGGCUAAAUAGAGCAUUAAUAAUACUACCUGUUUGGGCUAGUGAACCACUAGGAGUACUAGGUGGAGGAUUAGAAGUCAGCAGCUUUAUGAGAUGGUCAAUUUGCUCCUUGCUGAGAUUUUUUUCUAGAUUCUCCACUUCAUUGGCAGACGCACGGCUAUGCUUGCUGUUUUUCCAAUCUGCAGGCUUUCCGUGGAGUUUCCAGCAAGCCUCCCGAGUAUGGCGUGGUUUAUUACAGUAAUCACACCAUACUCGAGGUUUUUGUUGCUGUUGAGUGAUGGAGCGGGUAGCAUUAUCUGCUGUAACAAGGGCAGAUUUUUCCACAGAGACAACGGAGUUCUUUUUUCCCAACAUAACACCUCGACGACUUUCUUCUCUCCUUACUUAAGAGAAAACAUCCUCAAGAGUAGGAAGUGGCUUUCUCCCAAUAAUUCUUCCUCUUACCUCAUCAAAUUCAACAUUGAGCCCAGCCAGGAACUUGAAGAUUCGCUCAUUAUUGACAGUUUGUUUGUGGUGUUUAAAAUCUUCCAUGCUCUCCCACUCGUAGUCGUUGAAUAAGUCCAGAUCUUGCCACAAUCUCUUUAGAGUAUUGAAGUAUUUUGUUAUACUAUAAUCUCCUUGACGGAUAUCUCCAAGAGCAAGCUGCAACUCAUAGAUCUGGGACUGAUUUCCAUAGUCAGAGUACAUCUGACUCACAUUAUCCCAGAGUUCUUUUGCAGUAGAGUAGCACAUAUAAUUUGCACCAAUGUCUUCAUCCAUGGAGUUGACUAACCAUGCCAUAAUCAUGGAGUUUUCGGCAUCCCAAACACCAUAAGAGGGAUCAGAUAUUUCAGGAGCCUUAACAUCUCCGGUAAGAUAACCAAUCUUCCCUCUUCCCCUAAUAUACAUUCUAACCGACUGAGACCAUCUUUGAAAAUUUCCUUCAUUCAGCCGGAUAGUUGUAAUCUGGACAGAAUGAGAUUCAGAAUGGGAAAUUUUUGGUUCUAGUCUUUUUGAGGUGACUGUGGUUUCAGAAGAUUGGUCAGACAUGGUAGGGAAGAGAUCAGAAAGAAAGGGAGCCUAGCUCUGAUACCAUGUGAAAAUAGGUAGAGAAAAAGUUUAUGGAAUAAUUCUCUUAUUUCAUAUGUUCAUGAGACUGUACACAGUCUUUAUAUAGGGAUACAAGAGACUAAGAAAGGAAAGAAAAAAUUAAAGCAGAAUAUUACACAUUGAUUUUUAGGAAGCAAUAACUCUAUAUUUACACCAAAUAUACACCUAAAUAUAUAAGGAAAACCAAAUCAAUUUGAUUUGGUCAACCUUUCAACAUGUGUGCUAGCAAGUCAUGUCUCUAAUAAUUUCAUAGUUUGCUUGAUUGGAAUUUUUUAUCUUGAUAUGGAUUGUUUAUUCUAGAUUCCUUGGUGCUGUAGGUUGAAACAGCAAAAGAUUCAGCACCGAUUUUGUCACUGCUUGCUCCAUUAAAUUCUGGAUCAAGGCACUCAUAUUGGAGAGCUCCACCUUGUACUACUUCUGUUGAAUUUGUUAUUGUUCUCUGUUCUGUUUCUGAUGUCAGUGGGGUUAUCUUGCUUGUUAGUCCUUGCGGCUAUUCUGUGGGUGACACUCCGAUGGUAAGUGCCAUAUUUAUUCCCUUAUUUCCUUGUUGUUCAAUAAAUUUGGUGAUAAGCCAAGUGGCCUUAAUAAUGAAGCCCAGUACCAGGGGUGGUGGGUAAUCGAUAUUCAACUUGUGAAUAUUCCUAAGCAAGCACUGAAUCAACAUAGACCUCGGCAAAAGUUCUCCAUGCUAUUAUAACGAAAGUCAUAUUUUGAAAUGAUUAAAAGAGUCCCUGUGUAGUGCUAUUUCCAAAGAAAUUGCAGCUGGAGGUUUAGUUUCAUGUAGGUUAGUUUCCGAUAAUAAACUUUCCAUUUCAUUAAUUGCUGAUGAAAAAACCAAGUAAGAACAGUUUUGUUGCUCGUCAUUUAUGUAUAUUUUGGUAAACUGUAAUUUUAAAUUCUCAACGAUCUUCCCUUUGUAGGUAAGAAGAUGGUCCACUCACUUGAUAUUUAUGAUUGUAGAUCAGGUUUCUAUUGGUUUGCCUUUAUCAUUCGGAACCCAAGUUUGAUAUUAACAGAGAUCACGUCAAUAAUAUCCUAUUUGGGUAGAUGUGGGUGAGGAUUUAAAAUCAAAUUUGAAAUUGAGGGCAAAGAAGAGAAAAGAAACCGCAAUAAUUAAACAAAAUAUUAGGAACUAUUCUGAUGAGUUUUAAUCUCGAGAGGAACAAUUUUCAAAUGCAAAAUUUAACUGCUAGAGAAAUUGUAGCUUUUUGUCAUUAGUUAAGAGGAAAGAGAAUAAGAACUAUCUGGCCCUUUCCUUCAUGAAUGUGUGUUGAGGUUGCUGUAUUAUUUAGUCAGUAUUUGUAAUUUUCUUCCCUGCAGUGCUCUCUGCCUCCUGAAUUUGCUACUGAGUCCAUAUUUUUCUUUGAGCUGUUGCUUCCUAUUGCUGUUACAGGUACAAAUCUGGGCAAGCAAUAAGAUACACCGGGAGGACAGGUCAUCAAUGGGAAAAUGGGAUGUCCAAUCCCUCAUCACAUCUUCUUCAGAUUUGUAUGGUCCAGAAAAGUCUGCUAGUGUUGAAAAAUUACCUAGGCAUGUAAAAUUUACUUUUAAGAAUCCUGUUAGGUGCCGCAUUGUUUGGAUCACAUUACGUCUUCAGAGACCUGGUUCGGCUUCAGUUAAUUUCGGGAAUGACUUCAGUCUUUUGUCUCUUGAUGAAGAUGAAAACCCCUUUGCACAAGUAGACAGACGUGCUUCAUUUGGAGGAGCAGUUGAAAAUGAACCAUGUAUUCAUGCCAAAAGAAUUCUUGUAGUCGGAAGCCCAGUAAAAAGGGAGGGGCUUACCACAUCACAGAGCUCUGAGCAGCUAAGUAUUAGAAACUGGUUGGAUAGAGCUCCACAAAUGAGUAGAUUCAAGGUAUUAGUUGCUUUCACUCUUUGUUCAUUCAUAAUUCCAGCUUUCUGCUUGAUGCCUUGCCUCUGAUAAACCUCUUUUUUCUCUUCAGGUCCCAAUUGAGGCCGAGAGAUUGAUGGACUACGAUCUCGUCUUGGAACAGUAUCUACCUCCAGCGUCACCUUCGCUUGCCGGAUUCCGUCUAGAUGCUUUCAGUGCAAUAAAACCUAGGGUUACCCAUUCACCUUCCUCAGAUUCAGAUAUCUGGGACAAAUCAGUAACAUUUUUAGAAGACAGGUACAUCUCUCAAGCUGUGUUGUAUUUACAAGUAUCCGCACUCCAGGAACCACAUAACAUGGUAACUAUUGCGGAAUAUCGACUGCCGGAGGCUAGAGCCGGAACGCCAAUGUACUUUGAUUUCCCACGACCGAUACAGUCCCGACGAGUUUCAUUCAAGCUUCUUGGAGAUGUUACAGCAUUUGCAGAUGAACCUUCAGAACAAGAUGAUUCAGGAUUGAGAGCUCCACUUGUGGCCACAGGUUUGUCUUUGUCAAACAGAAUCAAGUUAUAUUAUUAUUGUGAUCCUUAUGAGCUCGGAAAAUGGGCAAGCCUUUCUGGAGUUUGAUCGUUAUUUAUAUGUCAGAGAAAGGGUUUUGGGUUUGAUUUUGAUUUUGAUUUGUAAUUUUUGUCAGUUUAUUGAAAUUUUUUGUUGUAUAAAAGCAGAAUGUAAAGGUAUAAAAAUUCAUUGAUGCUGCAAUGUCUGUGCUUUUGAGAAAGAAAGAAUUCUAUGGCUUUUCUAUGCCAUUGGAUUUUCCACUGCCUGUAAACUUGGGCUGUCGAAUGCUCUGUGAACCUUAAGGGCUAUAAAGUAAUUUUCAAGACUGAAGGAUUUAUUAAUCGAGUUCAAAAGAUUGCAAGUUGGUGAGCGUUGGCAUUUAAAAAAUCAAUUGUUAUUCUCUCAAUAAUCUCUGUCUUCUGCCGACACCCCAUGCUCAGAAACCCAUUGUUCCGACGGACGUGUAACACUUCUAGAAAUUGUUUUGAUCUCUCCUCGUGAAGUGUUUUCUUUUUCGAGUGAAGGUGGUUUUCUACUUGCAUACGUCGGGGGUCUUAUGAUAUGUAAUGUGUGAAAUUUCUUUCUCAUUUUACCAUAAAGAAAAAUGUUGUAAUAAUCUAAAGCUCGAGUCUUAAAUUAUCUUAAAUUUAUAUUUAGAGUGGAGCUAUUCGCAAUCCUACAUUAAAAUUACAAAUAAAAAUAAUUGAAAAUUAAACACUUAUAGAUUUUUUUUACAACAAAUUAUUUAAUUCAUAAUCAAUCCUUUAAAAAAAAAAAUCCAUAUGUUACUUGCUAUCUAACUAAAAUAAAUUUUACAAAUUUAGAAUAAUCUAUUGAUUUCUUUUGAUUUCUUAUUAAUUAAAUAUUUUUAUACAUAAAAUUGCUUUGAAAUUAUAAUUUGAAAUAUGUGUUAUUUCAGCCAAUGAUUAACACUAAAAAACUUAUCACCCAUAUAACUUUUUAAUUUGUGUGUAGGGUAAUAAUAAAAUCAAAAAUAAUUAAAAAAAUAGUACAAUAAUGAGUUUUAACAAUAAAACAAAUCAAAUGAAAAUUGAAAAUUUAGAAAAAAUGUAUCUAAAAAAGGGAACGUUUUUUAAAAUAAAAUGAAUAUAACUAAAAAGGGGUUUUAUGAGAAGAGCAGAGGGGUGCCAAUAGUCCAACUUGUAAUUAAGAAUCUCCCAUUAUAUUGUCAACCAAAAAGACACUUGAAUAAGAAGAAGAAUUUAUCAGUUUGAUUUUAUUUAUAGAUCCAACAUUUCUCAUAUCCUAAACGCCUUUCCGUAUCAAAUUAAAACAGUAGUCGCAAAAUCGUAGUAUUAAAAUCGUAGUGCACAUUCAAUUAACCAACUAAUAGUCUUUGGUAUAAGAUUUUAUAUUAGCUAGCCAAGUAGGUUGUCCAUCCCACUCAGACAUGAACGAAAGCUAAAUUCAUCAAAUGGUGUUAUACUAUUAAAUAUUUUUAUAUUUAAAAUUACUUUGAAAUUAUAAUUUCAAAUUAAAAUAGUAGUAGCAAAAUCGUAGUGCACAUUCAAUUAACCAACUAAUAGUCUAAGAAGCAAAGAGAGGAUUACAAGUUCACAACACCAUUACAAAGGAUUCAAAAUUCCCACACGAAAACAUCAAUGUACAGAUUAUAAACAAUCCGAAUUGGACACAAGAAAAAGCCCUUCAAUGGAUUGCUUUCCUUCCCAAUGCUAUAUACUGUGCAAACUCCGCACUGGCCAAGAAAAUGUUUUCAAUUUAGUGUAUUUUCAAAUUGCUUAUUUUCUCAUAAUAUAAAAAAUAAAAAAGAAUCCUUACAUGUUUCAUCAGCAUGAUUAAAAUCAAAGAAGAAAGCGAAGACGUAAUGUCUCUGACAUAAUAAAAUUACAAAAAUUUCAAGGAAAAAAAAAAGGUUAAAACAUGUAAUCUUCAGAAGCAUAUAAUAAAAGAACACUUCCACAAAUUACUACAAUUUCAUGCAGUAGAGAUUGAAGAGUUGAAUUCCACUAAUUUUAAUAAUGAAAACAACAACAGAGGAUUAACUGAUGCUUUGACUUAUUAGCAGGUUGCUUUGACUUAUUAGUUCUGCAGCUAAGUUAAAUAAAAUAAGCUAUUUUCAAAAGCAAAAUGGAAUACAUAGAUAAAAACAUCAUCUUAAACAAAUCACAAUCUAGAAUUAGAGCAUUUUCGACAUACCUAAGGAACACGAAUACGUGAAAACGGGUGAUUUAUUUGUUAAGGAGUGUUGAUUUGGUCGUCUCUGCAAAUUCUUUAGGGACUCGGUUCCAAUUCCUCUUCAUCAAAACUGUAAUAUAAUUCCCCUUCAUCAGAACUCGAAUCGAUGCAAUAUAAUUCCCCUUCAUCAGAACUCGAAUCAAAUUCACUUGCAGCAGUUCCACUCGCGCUUGGCAAAUCAUCCAAUUUCCAAACUUCGGUAACAAAAUUGAGAGUAAAAGUGUUGGCUUUGAUCUCGCUGGGAUUUGCAUAUACUGGACAUACUCCGCAACGUUUUAUCUUCUGACCCUUUUGGACCUUUAUUAUGUUUCGGUGACACUCAUUGAAGAACUUAAAUGUGGCAGUUGAAUGAUGGUCACCAUCAGGAAAGCCAACAUUCAAGCAAGGUUUAAAACCAAGUAUGACAUGAUCUGAAUCAUGGGGGUCUUGAAUUGAGUGCAAAUUGUAACCCAGAUGAACAUGUUUGGUUUCAGAGAGAGUCUUUAUUUCUAAGUCGGAUCGACAGUAAACGUAAAAAUAACGAAAACGAUCAGAAUAAAGUUGCUUAAAAUCAAGAACAGCACAAAAAGCAAACCCGAUUAAGUUUCUGCAAAAAGAGUGCGGUGGCAGUUGAAUACGUAUCGAAGAUCCUGAACUUUGAUUGCUGAACCAGUCAGGAAUUUCGCUCCCAGGUAAAACAAUUUGGGAUCCCCUGAGUUCAGAAAGUUUCUGCGAAACGACAUUUAAAAAAAGAAAAUUGUAAAAUGAAAACCAUGAUUUCAGAUAUAACAAAGAGGGACAGAGUAAACAAGAGAGGGAAUUUGAUACCUCGUUGUAUGCAUUUUCAUAGCCCAGUCUCAGUGAUGCUGCAAUUGCCAUACGUAGUGAAUCUGCCAAAAUCUUGUUGUUUGCUUUUCCAUCAAGUUUCAAGCAGUUAGUAAACUCAAAACAAAUUGGUUGUGGCGUCACAUAUUCCGGAUGCCAUUCACGAAGGUCAGGAGAGGGUUUGGAUAGCUUUUCGAGUACGGAUGCAUCUAGUUCUUGUACACAUGACGGAAUCUCUGGCAAAGAUUGAAGCCGGUUGCAGUUCAUUGCUUUUAGUGACUGUAGACACAAUGGAAGUUCUGGUAAUGACCGAAGCAUGUUACAAUCCUCCAAGUGAAGAGUUUCUAGACCCAAUGGAAGUGCUGGUAAUGACUGAAGCAUGUUACAACGCCUCAAGUAAAGAGAUUUUAGACACAAUGGAAGUUCUGGUAAUGACUGAAGUAUCUUACAAUCCCUCAAUUCAAGAUAUUUUAGACACAAUGGAAGUUCUGGUAAUGACUGAAGCAUAUUACAAUCCUCCAAGUUAAGAUAACUUAGCCACGACAGUUGCUUGAUACUUGCAGGUAAACUCUCAAAGUUAUUUCCACUUAAAUUGCCAAUGUUAUCCGGCAACUUGUCAAGUAUAGAGCAACCACUUACGGACAAAAAUGAAAGCCCCGGUAGAUUUUCAAAUGGCGAUGGCAGCUCUGUAAUUGCCGUCCAGACUAAAUAGAUGCAAUUUAAAUGUUCCAUUUUCUCCAAGAUUUCUGGGAAACGCUCAAGGUUCAAGCAGCCAAAAAGAAAAAGAUCAACCAAAGAUCUCAAUUUACAGAACCUAGUUGAAAUCCUCUUCAGCCGUUUGCAAUGCCCCAAAUCCAACACUUCAAGAUCAGUUAGGCACUCUAUUGAUGAUGGAACUUCUUCUAUUGCAGACUGGCCUAAGGAUAGCUCUGUGAUUUUCCCAGAAAUCCGUGGAAACUCUUUGAGAUUAACACAAUAGGAGAAAUUAAUAGUUACUGGACAAACAAAAUGAAGAUUGCUUGGAAAAGACCUAAGACUUUUGCAGCCCUCAAAAGACAACGCACUGAGAUACUUGAAAUUCUGGAUAGAUGAGGGAACACAAGCCAAGUUUGUAUAAUCCAAAAGAUUUGUUUCAACAUUUGGGGUUUCUAAUGGGCCUGGCAUCUUAAUGAAAUGUCGAGAAUGAUUGAGGUUAAUAGAUUUUAACUUGAAAGCUUCCUGCAAUAACAGAUAUAUAAAGACUAUAUUAAUUAAAAAGCAACAUUGAAUUCAACAAUUAAUUGCACGUAUGUUUAAAGAAAGAAAAAAAUUAAUGUUUUAGUUUUAGUACAAAACUUACCUUUUCUCCUUCCCAAAGUUGCUCAACUUUACUAAAACGCAAAUUCAGUUCAACAAGGUUCAUUGGCUUGAAAUUUGAUGGCAGUGUCCUUAAUGGAUAUGUGUCCCAAUGAAGAUAUCUCAAUUUUUUAGGAAGAUAAUCUAGGCCAUUUGGAAGCUGCACUUUAGAGUAUGAAAGUUGCUCUUCAAUGCUCAUACUUAGAAACCUUUCAAUCUCAGGUACAUAAAAUUUGAGCAAUCUUAGAUUAGACAUUUUUGUGAAGGCUCCUGGGUCUAAAUUGAUGCCUUUUAUUUUGGACAAAUCCAGAAAUAUGCCUUCAAUUGCAUCGGUCCCCUUAUUAAAAAAAAAAAAAACAAAGAAUGAGUAACCCUAAAACAGAAAAGAAACAUUCGUAAACUUUAUUAACUAAGAGCUUCUUAAACAAAAACAAAUUCUGCAAUCUUUGAUUUUAUUUUUUUAAUAUAUUAAAUAUCUAUAUACGAGAAAAGAAAAUUUUGGGGACCAUUGCAAAAUUAAACUAACCGAAAAAAAAUUCAAAAUUUCUCUAAUUUACAAACCUGUUAUCUUAAUAACUAGAAGUUGAGAAGACAAGGCCUAUUUGAUUGGUAUAAGAUUUCGAUUUGUUUUUUAGUCCAUAGAAUCCAAAAUGUUAGUUCAAAAUUAGGGAAAAAAAAUGAAAGUUAUUUUUUUUCCACUAGUUGUAAUUGUUUCCAAGUCAAAUUGAGAUACGACCCUUUUCGAAAGGAUUUAAUCAUCUUAUAGCCUCCUUAAGAUACAUUUAAGCUAAAAGGAGUGAUUGGAGGCAGAACUAGGUGGGCCAAUCAGUCCCUUUUAUUAGUGACUGUUGCUUAAAAAAAAUUAUACUCUAAAACACACUUACUUUUUUGAAAAAAAAUAUAAUUAUAUUGAAGUAGAACCAGGUGGGCCAAUCCUCAUGGCACUCACUUUGUUCUGACACUCUUCACUAAAUUUGAAGAAAAAUAAAAUUAUACUCUUCACACUCUUAUUCAACAUUCCAAAAUUGAUAAAAUCUAGAGUUUUCUUUAAAAAUUUAAAAUUUGAAGACUUGUUCUCUUGACAUCCUCAGUCAUUAAUUUCACCUAAUUAUGGUUUUUAUGAUUUUGGUUGUUUUGUUCAUAAAACAAUUUUACUAAAGGAUGUUCUCGUAAUAAUAAAAAUUAUAAAAAAAACAUGGGUGUGCUGGUAUGGUUGGGAAAAUACGAGUACAGAACUCCAAACAAAUAAAAGAUUUAUAUAAAAAAAAAUGGAGGAUUCUUACCAUAUUAUGCUUUAGUACGCGGCGGAUUUCCUUAGGAUCCCACAACCUACUACGUCUGCCUGGCACUUCCUCAGAUUCUUGGCGAACAGUCUCUUGGCCCAUUUCUUGCAAUAAAUCAUGCAUUUGCAAGCGGUUAUCUGACACAGUUAUGAGUGACUUGUCGACGAGGACAUCCAGUCUGUGAGACCCAGAAUCAUCAAGUAUCCUUAACACAAAAUCUUUAUCCUCUCCCUCAAGGAAACACGCAAUAUCUAGAAACAUACUCUUCACCCUGGGCGUUAAUUCUUUAAAACUAAUCUUUAAUGUAUCAUAAAUACCAUGAAUAUCAGAUUCACAAAUCCGAUUUAAGUCGUGCAAUACAUUUUCCCAAUGGCUUUUCCUCUUGAGAUACAGGGAGGAACCCAACACUUUAAGAACUAAUGGAUUGCCAUCAGCAUACUCUACAACUCUCCACGAGUCACGUUUGAAAUCUUCAGGACGAUGCUUUUCUUUAAAAGCGAAGUUACAAAAGUGCUCGAAAGCCUCAUCAAAUUUCAAUCCAUUGACCCUAUAUAUUUUCUCCACUCCAAAUUUUUCGAGGACUCGUUUAUCCCUGGUGGUUACAACAAUUCUACUUCCUGGACCAUAUUGAUCAAGCCCUCCAAUCAAACCCUCUAAUUGUUCAUCUUUAUUCACAUCAUCGAGUACAAUCAACACCUUCAUGCGUCGGACCCUCCCUUUAGUAAAUUGUGGAAUAUUGGGACCAGCUACUUCAAGUUUUUCACUUAAUAUUGUCGAAAGCAUUUCCUUUUGUAGGUCUUCUAGGCCACCCUCUGUUUCUGAUUUUCUCCUAACAUUUUUUGCAAAGUAUUUACCAUCAAACUCACCAGCGAAUUGAUCGAAAAUAGCUUCAGCAAGGGUAGUUUUGCCUAUACCGCCCAUACCCCAAAUUCCAACAAUUUGGACAGUAUCCGACAAAUCCAUACACAAAAAUGGUUUAAUCUGCUCAAUUCGUGAAUUUAAUCCAACUAGGCCGUUGGAUGAGUCCGUUGAGACUGUUAUUUUUUCCAACUUCUUCAAAACAUCUUCGACAAUUUUGUUUACAAGUUGCGCAUCAAGCCUAAUAUGAAGGUGCAAAGAUGCAAAAACAUUGAGUCAAAUCGGGCCAAGACAGAAACAGAGAAAAGAUGAAUUAGGAAAGAGAGUUACCUGAAUUUCGUGGAUUCAUGGCCGGCUAGAUGGGAUGUUUCUGUCAGUGCAUCCCUCCACUUCUGAACCAUUUCUUGUUUAUCUUUGAACUGUUUUUUGAGCUCAUCAAAACGGUCUCCAAAUGUUCCGUUUUGAUGCCGCACAUCAGAUGGACUUACUCCAUAGAAGAAUGGAAUAAUAAUUUGGCCGUUUGUGUUCUUGCAUUCAAGAAUCUUGACAAGUUCAUUCAGGCACCAUUUUGAAGAAGCGUAGUCCUUCGAGAAAAUGACCACCGAAAUUUUUGAACCUUGGAUUGCGUUCAAAAGGGCGGGUGAAAUCUCAUCUCCUCGCCUAAGCCCUUCAUCAUCAAUAAAUGUUUUGAUUUUCUUUCCUUCAUACAAUUUAUCAUAGAGAUAGCAAGUAAAGCUCUUACGAGUGUCCUCCCCUCUAAAGUUGAGGAAGACUUCAUAAUUGGCACAAGAAGAAGAGGAAGCCAUGAAGGAAAUUUUAGAAAAUUGGUGACAGAAACAGAGAAUUAAUCUUGAGAGUUGAGAGAGGAGAUGUAAGAAUGAACAUGUGCGAAGAUUCUUGCGAGUACAUAGUAAAUAAUUGAAUGGCUGGAGCUUUCUUAGUUUCCUGGAAAUUUCCUGGAGCUUUCGUAUACAUGAUUUGUCAAGUCAUGAAACAUAAUCAUGAUAAUGGGGCAGACCGAAAAGAAAAGCAACAAUUCAAAUAUUUGAUUCAACCAGUAUAAAAAGGAAGGAAAAGCAAAGAAAGGAAAUGUUGAAAGUAGAGUUAGGGAAUUAUAAAAAGCUGAAGGAAAUUGGAAUUUUGUACAAUUUCUCCAGCGAGGAACUUUCACAGUCGUUACCUCAUUGUUACAGUUUAGAUUAAGAUUUGAGGGUGCAAGCAUUUACCUAGAUUUUACCUCCGCACUAAAUUCUUAAGUUUGAAAAAUUAUGAGACCUUUAUAUUGGAAGAUAUUAUAAUCGAAUCAAAACUUAAAAUUUUAAUAUUGUUAAUCUUUAAUCUUUAAAAAAAAUUACCUUGCCGUUACAAUUUGGAUUAAGAUUUGAAUAAGCAUUUACCUAAAUUUUAUCUCCGCCUGUAAAUUCUUAUGUUUUAAAAAUUAUGAGACCUUUAUAUUGGGAGAUAUUAUAAUCGAAUCAAAAUUUUGAAUUUCAAUAUUAUUAUUCUUUUAAAAAAAAUUUGAGAUAACAGAGUGAUUGAUAAUAGAGAACUUGUCUAGGCAAACACAUGCAUACACAAAAAUGUGAUGGAUUCAAAAAGAAAUUAAAGUGAUAAUGUACGUGGAUCCUUAAAACAAAAAGCGAAAUCGCUUGGUGGCCCAGUAAAAUUAAGACUGAAUAUUUUUUACACGAGAAGUGUAGCUCAUAAAUGGCAAAAGCCAUUUCAUUUCACUUUUACGCGUCAUUGACUUUUGUAACAUGGUGCAUGCAUCGUCAAGUGAGGCAAAAGGGUUUCGAUUACAGUGGGAAAACAUGAACAAGAAUGCAUAAUGAAUAAUUCCUUUGAUAAAGCGAAAAUUAAACACAGAAUAAUCCUAAAAUUUAAACUCUAAUAUCUUAUAAUUUAAUGAUUAAAAAUAAUCCUAAGAGUUCCCAAUUGAAACUUUCAGAGAUAAUAGAAAAUAGCUAUGCUUUAAAAGGCCAAAGAUUAGAGAACAAAGAAGAAUUAGGUAUUGAUAUAAAAAUUAUUAAUUUUUUUGAUUUCAAGCAAAAAUAGUUUCAUAUACCAUUUCGAUUUUGGUAGGGGUGAGGUUUUGAACUUCAAUAGUUUCCUCUAAAAUCAAAAGGUAGUAAUUAAGUUAGAAAGAGCAAAGAAGACUUAUCGGUACCUUAUUGAAGGUAAACAUUAUGGAACUUUCAAUGUCAUUACCCCACUGUUUAAUUUUUAUUGAGAUUUGUGCAAGCAUUUACCUAAAUCUUACCUCUGCCUGUAAAUUCAUAAGUUUUGAAAAUUAUGAGACCUUAUAUCGGGAGAUAUUAUAAUCGAACUAAAACUUAAAAUUUCUUUUCUUUUUUUUUUUUUUUAUCAUAAAAGGGCUCUUAAGAGAGCUAAGGCAACACUAAAUGGGAGUGUGCAACCCCAUGAACAUCAUUAAUCAAUAUGUUUAGCGUAUUUGGAGGAAUAGAUUGAAAGCAAUGUAAACCCAAAGGAAAAGAAAAGCUGUACGAAGUAAGGAAAUCUGCUGCUACAUUGGUUUCUUGGUAGAUAUGAUCCACUUUGAUCAGCCAAUCACGCCGAAGGAGUUCUUCGAUGGCCUGAAUGAGAGUAAAAUGCUCAUUGACGGGAGGGUUUGAGUUAGAGAUUAACUUCAUAACACACAUGCUGUCCACUUCCACGUAAAACUUAAAAUUUCAAUAUUAUUAUUCUUUAAAAAAAAAUUGAGAUAUCAGAGUAAUAUCACAUAGAAAAACUUGCCCACGGACGGUAAGCCAAAAGUCUAGUCAACCACAUGCAUAAAGCUAAGUAGAACAAGAGAACAGAGAAACGCGUGGGUCCCUAAAGAAAAGGCAAGCACAUAAAUGAAAAAGCCAUUACAUAUCUAUUAACACGGUGUGGCAGCAUAUGCACAAUCAAGUGAGGCAAAAGGGAUUCGAUUAUCGUGGCAGAACAUGGACGAGGACGCGUGAUGAAUAAUUCCUUCGUUAAAACCAAAAACAAACGCAGAGAAAACAAUUUCUUAUAUGACAAGAAAUCAAAGUAAUGUGAAGGAACAUGAUGAAGAAAUUGCAGACUGAUCAAUUAUCCCCAUGGACUCCUAUAAAUUCAACCAAAAUAACAAUUCGAAUCUUACCAAAUUCUUGAGUUAAAUUUAUUCAAUGCUUUUAUUUUUUUAGAAAAUUUUUUUCCAAUGCUACUUUUCCUUUUUUGGGGAAAUUAGAACCGCGGCAUGUAUAGAAAACAUUGAGGUGUAAAGCAACAUUAAUUUCAUGGGAUAUGCGUUAUACGCAUAAUAUAUUUUCAGUCCAAAUUCAACUAUACAAAGAGGCUUGAGAACUUAAAAUUAAGCACAAACUAAACAGACGAAGUAAAUACAUGAUUAUGCAACAUAACAUUAAUUCUCUCAAUUGAUAACUGUUUUUGCUACAUGAAUCUUGCACAGUUAAUCCUAAUUGAAGACUAAAAAAGAGCAAUUGGAAGAAGGUUUUGGAAUAGAAUGGUAUACAAUCGAUAUGAUCCUUUUCCAGUAGUCAACGCUAAUUAACUGCAGUUUCUAGACUCCUAAUUAUACUAGCCAUAGCAAACUAUUUAGAAAACUGGUGAUCAAAUUAGAUUUUGAAAGGAAAUAAUGUUCAUUUUCCCUUCGCUGCCUUUUCUUUUCUUUUCUUUUUAUAGCAAAGAAUUAUAUCAUGAAAAGAAUCAAUUUAAUCACCUUUUCCAGCAGCCCAAUUUUUCUUUUAUAAAAUUUGACCACGGAGACAAAGAAGAAUUAUUCAUAACUUCAUCACUAAGGAAAUACUUUUCGGUAUGGCUAGGGUGAGAAAAUGCUUUCCACUAACACUUGUACUUUGUAUUCUUGUAAAUUUUCUUUAAAGUCAAUAAAAACCAUAAGUUCUUUGCAAUAACCAUCUCUUUGAUCAAAAAGUGCCGUAUUCCUUUAGAAUUUAAAACCGGCAAAACCGAAUCAGUGUCUUUGAAGAGACAUAAUGGUCGUAAUUCUUUAAAUGAGUUGGCUAUGGAAAUCCUUAUCCAAGAUUCUUUUAUGCCAUAUUCUUUCGUAAACCAAAAUUCAUUUUGAAAUACUCUAUUGAAAAUGUCAAAUAAAACGGCAUUGAAGGAAGUUUUCAAAGGCAUAAUCCGCACUUGUCAAAGGGAUGAUCUGCACUUGUCAGAGACACGAUCCGCGUCGAACGAAUCGACACAUUUCCUUUCGUAUUCGCAUAUGUAAUCUUUGAAAAAAUGUAGCUUCCGCAUCUAUAAAUAACGCUCAGUGUAUAAUGUUUUAUUCAAGAAAAGAAAACAAAUUUCUUCAUACUCCUUGUCCGAACAUACAGAGACAGUCUCUCAUAACUUCAGCCGAAUACUUAUGAUGAUGAUCAUUUGUGAUUUCAUCAGGCAUAGGGUUGAUGGUGAAAAAUUUUGUAUGUGUGAAGAAUUGAGCUGUGGAUAUAGGGGACUUAAGUGUAAUCGAAAGAGAGUUAUUAGGCCAUAGUGCAGAUUGCAUUCAGUUUAUGGGUCGAUAUGCAAAUAAUUUGUUGACGUGGCGAAAUCUGUUAUGGUCGUUACUAUUGUUUCUGGAAAUUUUCUAGAAACCUCAGCAUAAAAGGGGCUUUUGCAUAGCCUCUGGUGUGCGUGUGAUUUCUCUUUCGUUUCCUCAUCAAAUUCUGUAAUUCUUGCUUUGAUAAAAAGCUUGUAAUCAUUUCUGUAAUGUGUGAUCAGUGCGUAAUCAUUUUGAGCAAUAAAAGCUUGUGGGUUUUUCCUUCAAACAGUGUCGUUUUGGUCAGUUUGUUAGUUUGAUCUGUUGGUGGAAUUUUCUUUGGUUAUUUGUUCUCAAAUUUCAACCGUAUAUAAAGUUUGAACUCUAAUGGCUUAUAAUGUAUUGAUUAAGAAUAAUCCUAAGAGUUCCCGAUUGAAAUUUUUAAUGACUAUUUUUAUUGUUUUGGAUAUACAAAUUGCAUUAAGAAAAAAUAUUGUCAAAUUCAGAGGAUAACGGGAAAUAAUUAUGCUUCAAAAGACCAGAGAUUAGAGAAUAAAGAAGCAUUCAUUACUGACAUACAAAAGAGAAACACUCCAAAAUUGCAAGCAAACUAGUUUCAUAUACUAUUUGGAUUUUGGAAGGGGUGAAGUUUUGAGCUUCAGUUGUUCCUCUAAAUAGCAAAGAAGACUUAUUGGUACCUUACUGAAGCUAACAUUGUGGCACGGUUGUUCAUAUGUAAUGGCUGCUCUGUUAUGGUAGCUUCUCUGUUUUUGCUCACAGUUUUGAACAUGAAUUCUUGCUCAAAUAACCCAUAAUUAAUUAACAUUAAAAUGGCUCGUGAAAUCCCAUAAUAGCUAAUUACGCAACUUUCUCCUCCUCCUCAAUUAUGUCUUCCCCUGCUCGUACAAUAAAUUCAAAAUUCAAUGCCCCGAAAAACAACACAAGAAAUCUUUGAGUUAGUUCGUGACCAGUUUAUAUAUAGUAGCAAUUGAAAAAAGAAAAAGAAGAAAAGAGUUAAUUAUUAUUCAGACCUUCACUUAUUAGGAAGUUUGUUCUGCUAUUGGGUGAGGUCAAGCUCUCAGCAUAUACUUCCACAUGAUACUUUCUAACAUUUUCUUGAAAGCCAUCAAUCAUAAAAUCUUCAUACUUUUUUCCAUCCUUUGGAUCAAUGAGUACAAAUUUCUCAUCUAAAACAGACAAAAUAAAAUCACUGUCCUUCAUGGAACAUAAUGGCUGCAAUGCCUGAACUGAAUUGGCUAAUGAAACAUAGUCUUCUUUUCUUUCUCGACAUGGAACAUAGUCUUCUUUUCUUUCUCGACACAUGUCUCUGUACUUUUCUCUCUCUACUGAUCCACACUUUUUCAUACUUCUAACUAUCAUUUUGUUUUUUUUUUUUGAGUUGUGAUUUAUUCAAUUAUUUUGUAUUUUUAAUGACAAUUAUUUAAUAUUUAGUUAGUGUUGAUAUUGAUUAGUGAUUGAAAGUGUAUUUUAGAAGACUUCCGGUCUCUUGAAAAAAGGAAAAAUGGAGAAGAAGAAGAAGUGUUCUUGAUUUUUUUGUAGGCAUUAAAGUUAAACGGUUUGAAAUGAUAUUUUGUUUUAAUUUCACUCAUUAAUCUCAUUCAGGAUAAAAUUAUAAAUGCAAAUAAAUGGGGUUUCAUAAGUAUUUUUAAUAGUGUUAAAAGGUCUACUAACUAAAUAAACAUGUUUUACCCAAACCAAUCCGAUUAAUAAGUUAUUGGGUUGGGUUGAUCAGGUUAAAAAUCAAAAUUAAAAAUUAAAUAAAUAAAUAAGGCAUAAAAACUAUAUGUUACUUGAAAAUAAAAAGAAUUUCUAAUAGUUAGUUCUAAUGUCCCAUAUCCAAAACAUGCAUAUUAAAUAAAUAUUAUAAGUUAGAAAUAAAAUAUCCAAGAAAUAAUGAAUGAAAUACCAUAUUUUUGUUGAGAAUUAAGAGUGUGAUUUUAAUUUUGAUAUUGGAGUCUAAAGCAAUAGAUAGUACAAUGAAAUCAUGAAUGCUACGUUUAAAUAAUCUCUUUUAUAAAAUAAUAAAAAGAGGUUAAAAAUUAGGUUAGCAUUUAGGGUUUAGCAGUUAAGGAUGAACAUAUUAUUAUUGUUGUUGUUGUUGUUAUUAUUAUUAUUAUUAUUAUUAUUAUUAUUUACAUAUUAAUUAAUCCAACCCAACUCAAUUAUUAACGAAUUUGAAAAAAAAUGACCAAAUUAAUCCACAAUAAUUCAUUCAACUCGUCUAAAUUAGAUUAGAUUGAAUUUGAUUUGCUACACCUACAUUGAGCAACAAACCUCAACGCGAUUCUAUGAGCUCUUUGAUUGUUUAUAAAAUUGAUUUAGAGUACAUAAUGGAGUGUAUCGACAAUGAAAGUGCAAAACAAAUUAUUGUAUACAUUAAAAUCUGCAAAACAAUGAAUUAUAUGUACGAACGAGUGCAAACACAUUUUUCAAUAAGAAGUUAAAAGAUAUUUAUGCAUGAAAAAGCAUACGUUUGUAGUUACUCUAAAUUUUUUAAAAAAAAUUUACAUUUAGAUCCCUAAAAUUUACGUAUAAGUACAAAAGUUUCAAAUAUUGUCUAUUAUUUUUUAACAUAUGCCUAUUCCUUGUGGAUAAUUCUGUCUCAUCACUAAUGUUGUUUCUUGCUUACAAAAAACAAAUGUCAUCUCCUUUUACAAUUUUUAUAGCGUCUCAAAAUAGACAAUGGGGGGAUUUUGAAUUUUUUAAGUCUCAAGAUAGUCUCUAAUCUUGUGAGAAAGAUUUUCUUUCAAUAAUUUGGAGGUAAAGAUAACAUAAUUUUUUGGAUAGUGUGCAUGUGUAUUUAAUUAAUAAUUUUUUAAAAAAAUACAUCAAAUAUUAAUAUCCAUGACAUAAUUUAGUUCUUAAUUUUUUUUAAAUACAUCAAAAACAUAAUUUUUUUUAACAACUUAUAGGCAUGACAAAUUUCAAGAUAUAAAUAUCAGUCAAAAUAAGUGAAAGAAAUAAUGGUGCCAAUUCUAAUUUCUUAACUAAAUUAAUUAGUGCAUGAGCCCCGAAUACGACACGAGAGUUUGAUGGGCUAACUUGGCACAAGAACGUGAAUAAAUAAUUGAUUUAAGAAAUAAUUCAACGAAAAAUAUAAUUGAUAAGAAUUCAGUAUUGAAAUGAGUUUUUUUGUGAAACACUGAAUUAAUGAUUAUUAAGCAAGAACAAUAAAAAAAUAAAUAUUAAUCAUUGAUAAGUUUCAACAAAAACUUAACACAAUCCUCAAUCCUCAUUCAAAUGAUAAAUGUCAUUCAUAUAUUCAUUAUAAAUCAACAACAAAGGUUAUAAAUGUUUAGAAAUUCUAGAGGGAAGGAAGCUAUCGCCGGACAAUCAACAACUAAAUUUGAUGUAAUUGUGGCACGAGAUGGAAUAUGGAAACUACACCAUAAUUUCAAAUGCCGCCAUAGACAUUGACUUAUCAUAAUAACAAUGAUCUAAUUAAAAUAAAAACAAAGUUUAUGGGCAUUUAUUAUUUUGCCAUUCCUCAUUUGCAAAUAGGGAUAUAAUUAUAAUUUUACCUAGUCAAAGCAAUCGGUAGUUUUCUUCAUUAUAGGAGUGAAGUAAAAACAUUUAGAUUUCAAUGUAUGUACGGAAAAAUUUGUCUUUAAAAAUACUUUCUUAAUGUGUGUAUGCAUAUUGAAAUACUCAAACCAAUUUUGGUUAUAUAUAAUUAAACAAAUUUUAAAAUAUGAAAAAUAUAAUGUAGUUAUAGUGGAUAAACAAUAAGUGAGCACAAUAUAAUUAAUCAAAUAUUAUGCCAUCAAAAGUUAAUUUUAGAAAUUCCAAAUCCAAUAGCCAACACAAUUCUUUUUUUUUUAAAAAAGUUGACACAAUUAAUAAAAUUAGCGACAUGAAUUUCACGCCAUUGAUAAUCAGCAAUUAGUAUUACUUUCUAAACUUGCUUCAACUGGUCGUUGAUGUCCGGGUCACCAAAAGUAUAAGCGAUAAUAAGGGGCAUUGGGCAAGAGUGAUGAAUGUUUAGUCGGUGCAUUUGAUUGAUAGAUAUAUAAAGGGCCGAAACUUGAGAUUAUAUUACUUUUACAAAUUUUAAUCCAAUCACAUAUUUACUGAAAACAAAAUGAGUUAGGAUACUUUAUUUAGAACCCACAUUUUAAUAAGGCUUCAUUUGAUGUAGUUUUUCAAACAGUGAUUAUUUGAGUAAAGUUUCCUCAAUAGAGUUUUUAUCAAAUAAAUUUUAUUUAUUUGGUUGUCGAUAAGAACUUUUAUUAAAAAUUAUAAAAUUAUUUAAAUAAACAUAUUUUUUAAAAUUACAUUAUAAAAAGAAUUAAAUAAAGUUAUAAAAGUAAAAUAUAUUUUAGAUAUUUUAAUAUUUAAGAAAAAAAUUUUGAAUCUCUACUUUCAGAAGCUCAAAUUUUUAGUUUUUAGUUGUAGAGACAAAAUAUCUUAUUUAAUCUUUAAAAGUUCUGCUAAAAACAAUCAAAUAACUAUAAAAUUUUUAAUAAGAGUAUAUAAAAUUAAAUAAGCAUUUAUUAAUAAUCACUUUAGUGUACUUAUCUAAUGACCAUAAGUGUUUAUUUAAUCUCAUAAGUUCUUAUUUAAUCUCAUGAGCUCUUUUCAAUUUUUUUUGUUGUUUGCUUUUUUUAGUAGAGUUUUUGAAAAUUAAAUAAACUAUUUUGUCUCUAUUAGGAAAAACUCAAAUUUUAGGUUUUUGUGAGUAAAUGUUUAAAUUUUUUUUAAAAUAUUAAAAUAUUAAAGUAAAAGUUGUAGAGACAAAAUAUCUUAUUUAAUGUUUAAAAGUUCUGCUAAAAAUAAUCAAAUAACUACAAAAAUUUUAAUAAGAGCAUAUAAAAUUAAAUAAGCAUUUAUUAAUAGUCACUUUAGUAUACUUAUCUAAUGACCAUAAGUGUUUAUUUAAUCUAAUGAGCUCUUUUUAAUUUUGUUUGUUUGUUUUUUUAGUAGAGUUUUUGAAAAUUAAAUAAACUAUUUUGUCUCUAUUAGGAAAAACUUAAAAUUUAGGUUUUUGUGAGUAAAUGUUUAAAUUUUUUUUAAAAUAUUAAAAUAUCUUUUCUUUAUUUCAUAAUCUUAUUUCAUUCUUCACAACAUAACUUUAAAUAACUCACCUAUUAAAAUAAUUUCACAAUUUAUAAUAAAAAUUUUAAUUGACAAUCAAAUAACAAAUUUUUUUUUAUAAAAACUCUAAUAAUAAAAAUUCUACUUAAAUAAAUUAUAUUUGAAAAGGUAUACCAAACGAACCUAACAUAAAAACAAAAAUUUUUACAUCCACACAAUUAAGCUUAAAACAAUUUCAAAUGAAUUUUAGACUACUCAAAGUACAAUACGUACCAAGUUUGGUAACUUAUUGGGGUCCGCUUGUAAUACAGCGUCUGUAUCUCAUACAGCCAAAUUUAAUAAUUUAUUAAGAAAAAGGGCAACCAUUAGAUAGAAGUAGAUACAUCCAACGGUUAAAAUGUUUGAUUACUCAUUUUGGCGACCGGAUAUGCCAGUUAUUAUUUCAUCAAUUAACUUACCUAAAAAAUCACAGCCGUUGGAUUGAGAUGCCUCUCUUUCCCUCAAAAUAACAGCCUUCGUAUUCUCUCUGCUAUUGUUUUCUCCUACAUCCAGAAUUUUGGAUGAAUGAACUUGGUAUUCAACAAUAUUCACCACCCAUCACAGCAAAGAGCAAAGAUGUAGUCAAAGGAGUGCCAUUUAUUCAGGCUAACUCGAUCUGUCACUCUCGCUUCAAUUCGUCACUCAUUUUCUCGCGCUCAGCUUCAAUCUAUCACUCUCAGCUUCAGUUCGUCACUCACAGCUUCAAUUUUUCACUGUCGUGAAUCAUCUCUCUUGCUGUAUCUCUCUCUUAUGUCUUCCAAUAAUUUCGGUGAGCUCUCUCUCUAAUUUAAUAUAUGAUUAAAAAUCUUAUCAUCUUAUCAUGUCAUUUAAAUAUGCUUGAAGUUUCAAUUUAGUUUAUGAAUAUUACUUGAAAUUUCAGUUUCAAUAAUUUGAUUUUGCAAUUGAGAAAUUAUUACUUGAAAUAUUGAGAUGAUUUCUAGGGAUUGAUAAUUGAAUGAUAAUUGCUAAGGCUUGUCAUUUUUUGUUUUUGAACAGAUAGAGUUACAAUUAAGUCAUACUGCAAUAUUUUAUCUUGAGAUUCUAUUAUUCACAAAAAGAAAAAAAUCAUAAAUUGAAAAAAAAAAAAAAGAGGUUACGAGCAUCAAGCAACUGCAAGUAAUGGGGUUUGUUUUGAUGAGCUGCGAAUUGGGGCCUGUCAUUUUCUUGAAGUAUCUUCAAUAUAAGUGGAAGGAGAUUUCUUCUCUCCAAAAAAUUAUUGUAUAUUUCCUUUUAAAUUCUAGAUUCGCAUGUAGCUGAUUUUUUAUGUUUGAAGGAUUUUAUUAAAGAAUGUGCUGCUGCUAGUGGCAUGAAUUAAUGUAGUCUCGCUAGUAUUCGUGAUUUGGGGUAAGGAUCGAAUUGAACAAUUAUAUUUCUAUUAUUCUUAUAUUCGAAUCCAGUGAUAUUGUGGUGGUUUUAUGAUAAUAUUCAAUUGUUUUGUGCCUCAAAUCAGCCAAUGAGUUGGGUAUGUGCUGGGUAUAUGCCGUAUGGGCUUGUUGUUGAAUUUGCUUGACCUUGGAUGUGAUUCUUGCCGUGUUUAUAAGAAAUAGACACAGGUCUUUGUGUGGUAAUAGAAUUGUCUAAGGUGCCUUACAAUAAAUUUAAGAGUCUUAAGUAACUAUGCUUUGUAACCUUAAACCUUUAUUUGUACGACUUGGUGUUCUUGGUUGUGAAAGAAUGUUAAAUGUUGACCUAUUUUCAUCGGUGAAGAUAAAUGAAGUUAGGGAAGGUUUGUAAUCACUAUAACCCUGACAAUUUUUUUGGUGGGCCGUGAUAAUUUUAUUCAUGGCAUGUACUUUGUUUUUAUCAGAAGGCCCUGUUUGCUUGUAGUCUCAAAUCUAGGGUAAUAUUUUAAAUAAGUUCUGCAAUAUAUGUUUUGCUAUUUUUCUUUUUUGUUUUUAUUUUAAUUAGUUUUAGUAUUACUUGGAGGGGAAUUCUGAUCUGCUGAAGUUUAUCAAGCUGGUGCAGUGGUGCAGCAAGCAGACCUUUAUCUUAAUCUUAUGAUUGUGCUAAGUGGAAUUUUGUGUAAGUUACAACAAUAUAAUUUUUUAAAGAGCUGACAAGACGCUCUCUCUUUUUUUUGGAAUGUUGAGCAAAACUUUUCUUUCUUAUUAGGUGUUUAUAAUAAUUCAUAGCAUGGGUUUUGUCAUAUUGGUUUCAAUGCAUUGAUUUGAUCUUGGUUACAACCCAUCAGCCCUUACUCCUCAUUCCCAGCAGCUUUUAAUGCCUUUUUUUUAAGCAUUGUACUUUGUUUCAUGAUGAAAUUUGUUUAUAUGACGCAAAGUUGAGGACACGGUAAUAGUCAUUAUUUUAAUUUAUGCAACAAAGAUCAUUAUCCAUUAAAUUUUAUGUUGUUGAAAUAUUUAGAUUUUGUAAAUUUUGUUGUAAGAAAUGAGGGCUCUUGAUCCCAUCCCUUUAUUAUAUACAAUUUUUUUUCACUCUGUCAUUCAUUUAUUGUGUGUUAGAGGUAUUAGUCAUGUGCAAAAGUAAAGAUCUUUAUUUUGUUAUUUUUGUCAUCUUGUGCUUCAUUGGUAUAAAUGAGGAAAAAAAAGAAUAAAAUAAAAUAAAAUUAUAGUUUGUGCAUGAAUUCCACCAUAUAUGAAAUGUUUAAUAGAUUAAAAAGUAAGGAGUACACAGUGACUUUGAAUAGCAGGUGGGGGAACUCAUUUUGUUUUAAAAAAAAUUAAUACAUAUUGAUAGAAUAAUUAUCCUUCACUUAAUUAUUUAAAAAUUUUAUUUUGGAAGAAUACAAAUGGACAGUCACCAAUGAAAGCGUAAACGACUACCAGGGGGCUUACAGAAAAAAUUGCUCCUAUUCUAAAAGUAGAUGGUCAGGACAAAGUUCCAACAACUUCAACUUAUGGAUUUGUCUCUUACUUGUAAGGUAAUCUCUUCUUGUAGGGUGUUUAAUUGAAUUAAAAACAGAAUAUUAUUUGCAUUAUAGAGUACAGGCAUAAAUUCAUUAUCUAUGUCAGUUCAUUCAUGAUUUUACUCCAAAUGGAGUAAUAGAUCACCAUUAAUUUAUUGAUACAUCGUCCAUGUUUGUUUUCGUCUUCAAUUUUUAUAUUACAAUAUCUAAUCUAUUUAGUAUUCGUAAAAAAACAUACGAGAAAAAGUUGGAAAAACACUUUAGGGGUGAUUGUGUACACUUUCGUAUGGCACAAAUAGCGUUAGGCUUUGUUUUUUAAGUGGACGACGUGUCCAUUUUUUGUGUUACAUCUUACUCAUUAAUAUAUUUUUGAGUUUCUUAUGGAAAAAAAAUUGAAAAAACACUUUAAGUGAAAAAAAUUUGUAUUUCAAUUUAUAUGUAACAGUGAAUUGGAAAAUAAAUUCUACCAAUAAUUAAAAGAAUACUUUUCUUUUAAUUAUUAAAAAGAUAAGGUAGUUACUCAUUACCCAUAUAAAUGGACAGUUUUAAUUUGUUCCAUAUCUAUACAACAGAAGAGCUUCAGACACGGUUUGCAGCGUUCCACGAUCACUUCCAUUCUAAGCAGCAGCGUCUUCCGUCUUUUUGCACACCAACAGCAGAUUCUAGAUGGCCAGAAGCUCAUCUGCCGCACUCUCGGGAUUUCGCUGCCAUCCUCAUCUUCAUCUCCACUACCUCCUCAGUGAUUAUCCCCUGGUUUUAUGCUCAGAAAUUAUGAUUAUUAUGUAUCUUGUUUUCAGAUUUGUCAAUACUUGUUAUAUUUUGAUUAUGCAUUAUGGACAUUUUUCAUAAGAUAGCUUAAUUUUGUGGUUUGUGUUGACGAUUUCCAUGUAUGGAUGUUUGGAUAGGUAAUUUCGCCUUCCAUGCAUUCUUCAUUCCUGCAUCCUGUGGGAGAAAAUUGGAAAAAGUGGUUUUUGAUGAGAAACGGGGAGAAGGAUGAGAUAUAUAUUUUUGAAGUGUCACAUUAUUUCAAAAACAAACCCCAAAUUUAAUUUCUCUUACCGAUCAUGAGUUAAAAUAUAAAAAUUAACGUUUACUCAUCACACUGUUAUAAGUAUCAAAGCAUUACUUAUAGAAAAAUUAUCGUCACCUAUCCUACAUUUGUGAUUGAAUAGUGGCACAAUUUUAAUUGGGAUAUUUAACAUUACUCUUUGUAAUUGUUUGGUCUUAUUUGAAGUUUGUAAAUUUUUCAUAACUAUGACUUCAACAGCAUAUUUCAGGUUGCAUUUAAUCGUUGCUAUAAUUAGGUACUUUGAAAUAAUUUAUUGGCCACGAUUACAGUCAUUGUUAUUAGUCACCCCUCUUUUUUCUCUUUUGGCCAACCAGCUCUUGGAUAUUUGGGAACCGAUGACAAUAGUUGGGAAAUUAUGUAAUAUUGGUGUGUUUGCGAAAUAAAUCAAGAGAUUUGCCUUGCCGAAGUUAAAAGAGAUAUUGUGGCCUGAAUUUUUUUUUUUUUUCUCUAGGGGCCAUGGCUCUCAAGGACAAGGCAUGAAUCAUGCAUUAUAAUUGCUCGAAAGGGUUAGUAAAAUAGCAAUCUAAAAUACCCAAGUUGGAUCUGCUGUUGAAUCACAAAAAGAACAUAAUUGGGAUAUGAAGUCAUGGUUGCAAGUGUUGGACCCUUAGGUUACGUUUGGCACGUAGGAUUGGAUUGAACUAAUUACUAAAAUUGGAUUGAAUUAUAUUCGAUUGGAUUAAACUGGAUUAUAUUAUAUAGUUCUAUGGUUAGUACAAUAUCGGAUUAAACUAUGUUAAAUUAUAUUUAAAUAAUAUUAAAUAGCAUUUAAGUUGGUAUUUUAAUAUUAAUAUCAAUUAUUCAUGAAAUUUCAUAAUCAUAAUUAAAAUAAAUUUAAAAAACAAUUACCAGGAAAAUUAAAUAUAUUGUAAAUAAGUUACUGGGUAGUCAUAAUACAGUAAACAAAUGAACAUAGAUAAAAAAAUUAAAUUUUAAAUAAUUUUUAUCAAAUUUUAAAAAAAAAUUAUAUAAAAUCAAUUAUUUAAUGGUAUUAUUAAUUUUCAUGAUUAUUUUUAAUAGUAUAUAACAAUGAUUAUUAAAUUUAAUACAAUCAAAUAAUGCAAUAAAUAAUUAAACAUUUAAUUUUAUCAAUAAAUUACUAAAUAUACAAGUGGUGAAAAUUUAAUCUCCAGAGUUAGUACAAGUAAAGGUAUUAAUUUAAUUAGAUCAUAGAUAAUAAAUAAAAAUAAGUUUUAAGUAAAUCAUAUUAAAAAUUAAUUAAUUAAUUAAUACUAGGUGUAAAUAAAAAAAAUGAUAUAAAUAAAAAUCUCAUAAAUGGACAACUUUUUUCUUUAAUCUUAUCCCAACUAAACCCAUGCGUAAAUUAGGAUUAUCAAUUCCAUGAUUUUAGGAUUAAAUUUAAAUUACUACCCCCUUAAUCCAAUCCAACUAAGCUUGCCAAACAUUGGAUAAAUAUUUAAUUCCAAAAUUAGUCUAAUCCCAUACUUAAUCCUAGAAUCCAAACAUGGCAUUAGCACCUUAUAUAACAAAGUGUCACUGAAAUACAGCAAAACGUUAUAAACAAGAACUUAUUUCUGUACAAAAUGUUAUUUACUUUUUGUGAACUUCCAAAUACCUACUAUAUGAUUUGCAAACCCUACAAAAGUCUACCUUGCAUGCUCUUUCUAACGUGAAAUUUGAUUUUUAUUAAAUUUUUGAUGUGUUCACUAAUAAAUAAUUGGAAUCUAAAAAAAUUAGAAAAAAAUAGAAUUAGAAUGAGCUACAAUAAAAAUGAGGAAUAACAAAAAAAAUGAUAUUUGUUGAGAUGAAUGAAACACAAUUGAAAUACUCUAUAUCGCUCUUAAUAUGUUCACUUUGUGAACAUAAAUUAGAAUUAGUUGUUAUAACUUAGUAAUUUAUCCUCAAUCAAUUAUUAUCAUUAUUACUAUUUGUUAUAAUAAUUGUAAUUAUUAUUUUUGAUAAUUUUAAUACUAAGAAAAUUAUUGUUAGGGGUGGAAACACCAUAUAGAGAAGGAACAAUUAAAUUUAUAAAAUUUAGUGGGGAUAAAAUAGUCACUUAAGACAGCAAGCGUCUCCCAUUCUCACCUCCACGAGCAUGAAAACACUAGUAAUCAUUCUUAAAUUUUGAUGGAAUCUGUUGCUUUUAUUCUAAUAACGAACGCAAAACCUAUGGAAUUAGUUGGAAUAACGAAUGCAAAACCUCUGGAAUUACAAUUGAAAUACGUCAACCCAAAAUGGAGAAAGCACAACUAAAAUUAGAGACCUACAAAACCAAAAAUAAACUUAUAGAAAACAAACCCGGUACCUAAUCUCAAUAAUUGGAAUCUCAACCAGUUAAUGGAAAUAUUCAACUCAAAAUUAGGGAAAAAUUAGAUGAAACACGUGAACCAUUGAGAGAGAAAGUAUGACGAAAAUUAGAAACUCAUUUAACGAAAAAUAAUAUUUACUUGGAAUCUAACCCAUGAUACUGGUACCUAAGGAACUUUAUAGGAAUAUGAAACGCAAAACCAGUGGACCAAUAAGUUGAAACAUGUGAACCAAAAAAUGAAAAACUAUAACCAAAUCUUGAGACUAAUCAAACCAAGCAAAAGUAAUAUUGAUAUUUAACCCAUAUAAUUGGAAUUUUACCAAAUUAGUUGGAAUAACGAAUGUAGAACUUGUGGAAUUACAAUUGAAAUACAUCAACAAAAAAUGGAGAAAGCACAACCAAAAUUAGAGACCUACAAAACCAAAAAUAAAUUUAUAGAAAAUAAAUUUGGUACCUAACCACAAUAAUUGGAAUCUCAACCAGUUAAUGAGAAUUCUCAACGCAAAACUAUAGGAAAAAUUAGCUGAAACACAUGAACCAUUAAGAGAGAAAUUAGAACGAAAACUUGGAACUUAUCCAACGAAGAAUGCUCGUGACUUGGAAUCUAACAACAAAUAUUGGUACUUGACUAAUUUAGUAGGAAUAUCAAAUGCAAAACUCAUUGACCAAUAAGUUGAAACAUGUAAACCAAAAGAUGAAAAAGUAUAACCAAAACCUGAGAAUAAUCAAACCAAGAAAAAGUAAUAUUGAUUUUUAACCCAUAUAAUUGGAAUUUUACCAACUUAAUUGGAAUAACGAAUGCAAAACCUGUGGAUUUACAAUUGAUAUACGUCAACCCAAAAUGGAGAAAGCACAACCAAAAUUAGGGACCUACAAAACCAAAAAUAAAGUUAUAGAAAACAAACCUGGUACCUAACCUCAGUAAUUGGAAUCACAACCAGUUAAUAGGAAUAUUCAAUGCAAAAUUGGGGAAAAAAUUAGAUGAAACACGUGAACCAUUAAGAGAGAAAGAACAACGAAAACUAGGAACUUAUCCAACAAAGAAUGAUAGUUACUUGGAAUCUAACAGUAAAUAUUGGUACUCGACGAAUUUAAUAGGAAUAUCAAACGCAAAAAUAGUGGACCAAUAAGUUGAAACAUGUGAACCUAUAGAUGGAAAAGAAUUACCAAAAUUUGUAACUAAUCAAACCAAAAAAAGUAAUAUAGAUAUCUAACCCAUAUAAUUGGAAUCUCGACAAAUUAGUUGAAAUAUUAAACAAAAAACUAGUGGAAUAAUAGUUGAAACACAUGAACCAAAUGUGGAGAAAGUUUAACCAAAUUUUGAAACUUAUCCAAUGAAGAAUGCUAGUUACGUGGAAUCUAACAACAAAUAUUGGUACUCGACGAAUUUAAUAGGAAUAUCAAACGCAAAAAUAGUGGACCAAUAAGUUGAAACAUGUGAACCUAUAGAUGGAAAAAUAUUACCAAAAUUUGGAACUAAUCAAACCAAAAAAAGUAAUAUCGAUAUCUAACCCAUAUAAUUGGAAUCUUGACAAAUUAGUUGAAAUAUUAAACGAAAAACUAGUAGAAUAAUAGUUGAAACACAUGAACCAAAUGUGGAGAAAGUUUAACCGAAUUUUGAAACUUAUCCAACGAAGAAUGCUAGUUAUUUGGAAUCUAACAACAAAUAUUGGUACUCGAUGAAUUUAGUAGGAAUAUCAAACGCAAAAAUAGUGGACCAAUAAGUUGAAACAUGUGAAUCUAUAGAUGGAAAAGCAUUACCAAAAUUUGGAACUAAUCAAACCAAAAAAAGUAAUAUCGAUAUCUAACCCAUAUAAUUGGAAUCUCGACAAAUUAGUUGAAAUAUUAAACUAAAAAUUAGUGGAAUAAUAGUUGAAACACAUGAACCAAAUAUGGAGAAAGUUUAACCAAAUUUUGAAACUUAUCCAACGGAGAAUGCUAGUUACUUGGAAUCUAACAAAAAAUAUUGGUACUCGACGAAUUUAGUAGGAAUAUCAAACGCAAAAAUAGUGGACCAAUAAGUUGAAACAUGUGAACCUAUUGAUGGAAAAGCAUUGCCAAAAUUUGGAACUAAUAAAACCAAAAAAAGUAAUAUCGAUAUCUAACCCAUAUAAUUGGAAUCUUGACAAAUUAGUUGAAAUAUUAAAUGAAAAACUAGUAGAAUAAUAGUUGAAACACAUGAACCAAAUGUGGAGAAAGUUUAACCGAAUUUUGAAACUUAUCUAACGAAAAAUAAAUUUAAUUGGAAUUUAACCCAAAAUAUUAGUGUUUAACGAGUUUAGUGGGAAUAUUAAACAUAAAACUAGUGGAUCGGAAAAUGGAGAUAAGCAAACCAAUUAGUGAGAAAGUUGAAUCAAAAUUAGGUAUAUGUGAAAUUAACUUGGAAUGUCACCUAAUAUAUUGAUAUUUAACCAAAAGAAUCGAGACAUGCUCAUUUUAAUUUUUUUAAACUUUUGUUGCAAUUAAAAAUAAUUUUUUCACUUAAAUAUUGUUUGUGUUAAAUAUUUACAAAAUUUCCUUAAUUUUUCCUGUUUCAUUUUAUUUUUUCUACAUUAAAAAUAAUUUUUUAAAAAUUAUUAAAUGAACAACCGGUAAAAUACCGGUUGUUCAAGUUUCCUUUUUACUGUUGAAGGGGCUGUAUUUUAUACAGCACUGUACUAUAGGAAGACUCAACUUAUUGACAUCUUCUCAUAUAACCUUCGAUCAAGUCGAUUCUGACCUGACGACUAAUUGGUACAUCACCGUUGUUCUCUAUACUCGCAUGCAUCGGAUCACAAAUCUCACUCCAAUUGUCGUCUUUCUUCGCCGUUUUAGCGCAUACUUCUUGAAUUUCCCGCAUUUCGUUCCCUCCUGUUACAAGUCUCCGGUCAGGUCAGUGAUUGAAUUUCCCGCAUCUCUAUCCCUCCCGUUUUCUCGCGUCGUUUCACUUCAAUUUCUCGUGUCUCCUUUCAGUUUAAGUGAUUGAAUCAAUUUUAUCGCAGUCAUAAGAGAAAUUAAGUAAUGCUCUUGGAUUUAAAAUUUUUUUGCUUUCGACUUUAGAUCUCGAAAGUCAAACUCUGCUACGAAUCCAUAGAUUCUCAAUGCUCAUAAUCUUAUUUGUGUUUGACCAGGUAACUGGAUCGUGAAAUUCGUCGUUUUGUAUCAAUUCAAGCUUUCGCGAGCUCAUGGAAUCACCUGGUGAGUUGUGGUGAAACGUUAUCGUUUCAAUUUUCGCUUAAUUCUUUAUUGCAUAUUUUUUUCUCUAAUGUUUCAGUUUAAUUUAGAAAAGAAAGAGGCCCCAAAAAGAGAGAGAGAGAGAGACUCUACCAUACUCAAUUCCUUGCUCAUUCUGAUUUGGCCUGAAUGUUGGCAUUGACUAUUAUUUGUUUUCAUUUCGAUUUAAUUCUCAUUUAGACAGUCUUUACUAACGGUCAAUAAUAGUUUAAGGAAAAUGAUCAUAGGGAUUCUGCAAUAAUCUUUCUGCAUUGUUCAAGUUAGUAGACAAUGAAUAGGAUGUUUAUGUUUACCUCAUUUUGAACCCUGAGGGCUUCGUUGAGUAGUUGAUUCAACAUAUCCAGCAACGGUUGAUGUGAGAACAGAAUGCCACUUAGAUAGGCUUAAACUGAUUUUGGAGGUUUGUAUUGGUUCUAUUGUACGUCUUGCUUACAAAUUUUUAAUUUUUAAUUUUGUAUAAUAUGCUCUUUGUUGGUAAAUCUCAUUUGACUUAGAAGAGAUAGUUUUAUCCCAACAGUGGGAUAAAUCAUUGAGAUGCAUGGCAGUGUGAAUAUAGUAGACAAAAUCAUUGAGACACAUGGUGGUGUGAACAUAGUAAACUUUGUCAAACACAGCUAAGAUAAACAAAUUGUUUCAUUAGCCUUUACCUUAUCUGCUGUGAUGAUUCAAAUUAAUGCUGUUUGGUAGGUUGCAAAAAACGAAAUGAGCUGUCUGUUCGUAUUAUUUAGUCAGAUCUAUUGCAAUAAGUUGAAGUUCAUUGUCACAUGGGUUGGGAGUAGCGUGGGCUGUGAGUAGUAGAAUGGAUUUAUGGAGUUGAUACAAGUGCCCAUAAUCUAUCAUGUCAUUCUAGGAUUAAAUGGAUUGCACAUUACUGUAAAGAUGGAGGUUAAAUUUAUAUAAUUCGGAUUGAUUGUAAAAUGGGAGGCAGAGAUGAGUUAGAAAAAGAAUGACCUGUGUCCUUUUUGAGCUGUUUCUAAAUCUCCCUGGUGUGCUUCAUGCUUAACACGUGUCUUUCCAAAUAAUUUUGCUUAACCUGUGCUUGUCUACUUCUUGUGCUAUUCUGUGCCUGGUCCUGAGCUGUGUUGGUAGAUUGACAUAAUUUUGCUCUGCUAAAUGUAUAACUUAUUAAUCAGAGUCCUGUUAUUAUGGUUUGACACUACUGACAUAUUGUGUUGGUAUUUAUUUGUACUUCCCUUGGUUGAAUUAUUUGCUGUCUCCAUGCAAUUCGAUAUGGUGCUACUUGGUUUUUGAUCAUCCAUGACGCUAUAUAUAUGUAAAGGAUGAAUUGAUUGUUUUGGCUUGUAUUCUCACAUUUUAUGAUUGAUCGAUGGAAAGGUUUUCAUGCAUUAAAUUCAACCUCACAAGCGUAAGAUUGACAGAUUGUGGGCAAAUUUUCAGGAAAAGAAACUAGACUUCAUGGAAGCAAUGAAGCUUGAAAUUGAACGUCUGCAGCUGAAUCUUUCUGCAGCUGAAAGGGAUAGAACUUUAUUGUCAAUUGGAACUGAUCCUGCCUCUAUAAAUCCAAAUGUAUUGCUUGAUGAAUCUUACAUGGGAAGACUGUGUCGAGUAGCAAACACUCUUGCAUUACUUGGCCAAGCUUCCCUAGAAGAGAAAAUUGUUGGUGCAAUUGGCCUUGAGAAUAGUGGUGAUAGUGUUUUAGACUUCUGGAAUAUUACUAGAAUCGGAGAGAGUUGUUCUGGUGGUGGGUGCGAGGUUUGUGCAGAAACUAAGGUGCCUGCUCUUGCUUCCUCAACUGCAACAUCUGUUGGAUCUUCACAAUCCCCUUUGUUGUGUUCUCAAUGUGAAAGAAAAGUUUGCAAAGUUUGUUGUGCAGGAAGAGGAGCUCUACUGUUUUCAAAUUAUAAAUCAAGGGAUGUGACCAACUACAAUGGCUUCUCAAGUCAGAGUGGAUCAAGCCAUGGAAGCCAAGUUGAUGUAGCUACCAGUCGUUCACUAACACUGGAUGGCGUUAUCUGUAAACACUGUUGCCAUGAGAUGGUGCUUGAUGCAUUGAUGUUGGACUAUGUUAGGGUCUUGAUUAGGUUGCGAAGAAGUUCCUGUGCAGACAACGCAGCAUACAAUGCUUUGAAUGAGGUUGUUGGAUCCUGCUUAAAGGAUAGUCUUUCUGAGAGGAUUCAGUCUUCCGAUAAUGCGCAAGCAGCUAAAGUCCUGCACCAAUUAUGUGGUGGACAGGAAGCACUUGCUGAAUUUCCAUUUGCUAGCUUUUUGCACUCGGUAUGUUCUUGGUUUGUAUUCAGUUCUCAUCAUAUUAUGUUUUCCUUUUAAAUUUCAUUUCUUGAUUAAAAUUUUUAGAAAUGUGUUUUAGCAUUUAUUCUUAUGAUAUAUGCCCGGAACAUUCAUCCCACUUAUCCAUGAGAAUCCUUGUCUGGUUUGAUUUUCAAUUGAGACAUUUUUGGGAACCCUGCGCAGGUUCCAUAUGCUAAUAAUCUUUGAGGUAAGGUGUUGUAGGAUGCCUUGAGAAGCUAAAAACCCAUUACAAGGAAAAGGUCUUGCAUUGUUUUGUGCAAUCUGUGUGCGAGCUAGUCAUGUCUCUAAUAAUUUCAUAGUUUGCUUGAUUGGAAUUUUUUAUCUUGAUAUGGAUUGUUUAUUCUAGAUUCCUUGGUGCCACUGUAGGUUGAAACAGCAAAAGAUUCAGCACCGAUUUUGUCACUGCUUGCUCCAUUAAAUUCUGGAUCAAGGCACUCAUAUUGGAGAGCUCCACCUAGUACUACUUCUGUUGAAUUUGUUAUUGUUCUCGGUUCUGUUUCUGAUGUCAGUGGGGUUAUCUUGCUUGUUAGUCCUUGCGGCUAUUCUGUGGCUGACACUCCGAUGGUAAGUGCCAUAUUUAUUCCCUUAUUUCCUUGUUGUUCAAUAAAUUUGGUGAUAAGCCAAGUGGCCUUAAUAAUGAAGCCCAGUACCAGGGUUGGUGGGUAAUAGAUAUUCAACUUGUGAAUAUUCCUAAGCAAACACUGAAUCAACAUAUACCUCGGCUAAAGUUCUCUAUGCUAUUAUAACAAAAGUCAUAUUUUGAAAUGAUUAAAAGAGUCCCUGUGUAGUGCCAUUUCCAAAGAAAUUGCAGCUGGGGGUUUAGUUUCAUGUAGGUUAGUUUCCGAUAAUAAACUUUCUAUUUCAUUAAUUGCUGAUGAAAAAACCAAGUAAGAACAGUUUUGUUGCUCGUCAUUUUUGUAUAUUUUGGUAAACUGUAAUUUUAAAUUCUCAACGAUCUUCCCUUUGUAGGUAAGAAGAUGGUCCACUCACUUGAUAUUUAUGAUUGUAGAUCAGGUUUCUAUUGGUUUGCCUUUAUCAUUUAGAACCCAUGUUUGAUAUUAACAGAGAUCACGUCAAUAAUAUCCUAUUUGGGUAGAUGUGGGUGAGGAUUUAAAAUCAAAUUUGAAAUUGAGGGGAAAGAAGAGAAAAGGAACCACAAUAAUUAAACAAAAUAAUAGGAACUAUUCUGAUGAGUUUUAAUCUCGAGAGGAACAAUUUUCAAAUGCACUGCUAGAGAAAUUGUAGCUUUUUGUCAUUAGUUAAAAGGAAAAAGAAUAAGAACUAUCCGGCCCUUUCCUUCAUGAAUGUGUGUUGAGGUUGCUGUAUUAUUUAGUCAGUAUUUGUAAUUUUCUUCCCUGCAGUGCUCUCUGCCUCCUGAAUUUGCUUCCUAUUGCUGUUACAGGUGCAAAUCUGGGCAAGCAAUAAGAUACACCAGGAGGAAAGGUCAUCAAUGGGAAAAUGGGAUGUCCAAUCCCUCAUCACAUCUUCUUCAGAUUUGUAUGGUCCAGAAAAGUCUGCUAGUGUUGAAAAAUUACCUAGGCAUGUAAAAUUUACUUUUAAGAAUCCUGUUAGGUGCCGCAUUAUUUGGAUCACAUUACGUCUUCAGAGACCUGGUUCGGCUUCAGUUAAUUUCGGGAAGGACCUCAGUCUUUUGUCUCUUGAUGAAGAUGAAAACCCCUUUGCACAAGUAGACAGACGUGCUUCAUUUGGAGGAGCAGUUGAAAAUGAACCAUGUAUUCAUGCCAAAAGAAUUCUUGUAGUCGGAAGCCCAGUAAAAAGGGAGGGGCUUACCACAUCACAGAGCUCUGAGCAGCUAAGUAUUAGAAACUGGUUGGAUAGAGCUCCACAAAU